GGUACUCGCAAACUUGUUUAUGUCACUCCAUUAUGAGAACUUAGGAGUACCACUCCAGUUAGACUAGUUGCACAUUUUUAUUGUGCAAUUUAGUAUUGAGUUCUGAUUGAGAAGCUCCUUUCGCAUAAAGCAGUUUCUGGGUAUAGCUUCUAUGCAUAGAAUUCUGCUGCUAUUUGAAUCAUUUGAUUAUUGACUUGCUUUGCUAUAUCUGAAUACGCUGAUCAAGGAGCGAAAGGUGAGCCUAGGACGAAGAUGGUGGUGAUAGUCAUUUCUAUUGCUGCUCUGUCAGCUGUGGUGAUUGCAGCUGGCUACUUGGUUCACAAAAGAAGGAGAAAUAUAGUAGGUAUAAUAUUGCUCCAUUUUCCUUCACAAAUUUUCGCUGACGAUUUGAUGCAGGCAAAUCAAACUCUUAUAAAUAUUAAAUUUAUAAGAGUAGAUUAAAUUUUUAUAUGCAGCAAUAACUGUAUAUUUGUUUCAAGAUGAAGCGUUAUCAGUGCAUAUCAUUUAGAUCAGGGGCAAGGUAAUUAAACAUGUAAAUUUUUCGUUGGAAUAGCAGGUUUACUUAUUUGCAUUUAGUGUUAUAUUAAUACACGCCUCUUUUUCACCUAUGGUUCUUUAUUUACUUGCACUUUCAUAUUGACUGGAAAAUAUCUUUAAUACAAAUUUACAGAUAACGAACCUUCUCAUCAAGAACAUGAAAAUUGUAGUUACUAGUUAGGAGUUUAAUAUUAUCCAAUAUUUCAGAGAAAACAGAAAACAACAGAGAAACUGAUCAGGUUCAAAACAUGGACCUGGAGCUACCACUGUUUGAGUUAGCUACAAUUGCUAAUGCCACCGAUAACUUUUCAAUCAACAACAAGCUUGGAGAAGGUGGCUUUGGACCCGUUUACAAGGUAAACUUGAAAGCUGCAAGUCAAGAAUACUUAUUUUACUGGGUAACUAAAUUCACAUAUAUCUUCCCAGGGCACCCUAGUGGAUGGACAGGAAAUUGCGGUAAAAAGGCUUUCGAAGAUUUCUGAGCAAGGAUUGAAGGAGUUAAAGAAUGAAGUUAUACUAUUUUCCAAAUUACAGCACAGAAAUCUUGUAAAGCUUCUUGGCUGCUGCAUUCAAGGAGAGGAGAAAUUGUUGAUUUAUGAAUUCAUGCCCAACAAAAGCCUGAACUCUUUCAUUUUUGGUCUGGGUCCCUGUAACCUUAAAAUAUUCGGCUAGCUUGUGCCUUGAUUAUAGACGUUUCUUAUGUAUUUUCAGAAAAUUUUGUGCUAACCUUAAUGUGGUAAUUUGUAGAUCAAGAAAGAUGUAAGAUAUUGGAUUGGCCCAAGCGUUUCCACAUUAUUUGUGGGACUGCUAGGGGUGUUAUGUACCUUCAUCAAGAUUCUAGAUUGAGGAUUAUACAUCGAGAUCUCAAAGCAAGUAAUGUGCUACUCGAUCAAGAUAUGAACCCAAAAAUUUCAGAUUUUGGUUUGGCAAGAGCUUUUGGUGGAGACGAAAUAGAAGGAAACACAAACAGAGUGAUUGGAACAUAGUAAGUACUUCUUGUCGUGUGAUCUUUACGAUUCACUUGUACUGAUUAAUGAAAAUUAACUUAUAUAUUUUAAUCUUUUGAAGUGGUUAUAUGGCACCGGAAUACGCUAGUGAUGGGAAAUUCUCAGUAAAAUCCGAUGUCUUCAGCUUUGGAAUUUUAUUGCUGGAGAUAAUAAGUGGAAAGAAAAAUAGAGGAUUUUAUCAUUCCGACAACAAGCUUAACCUUAUAGGACAUGUAAGUAAAAUGCAUACGACAUUUUCUAACAUAGUUUGAACUAAUAAACUGUAGAUGAUAAAAGAGUUUUAAUAUGUUGUAGGCAUGGAAGUUGUGGAACGAAGGCAUGCCUUCACAAUUAAUCGAUCCGUGUAUUCAAGGUUCAUUCAAUCUUGUUGAAGUGAUACGAUGCAUCCACAUCGGUUUGUUAUGCGUGCAACAGCAUCCAAAGGACCGGCCAAGCAUGCCCUCAGUGAUUUUGAUGUUGGGCAGCGAGAUUGUGUUGCCUCAGCCAAAGCAACCCGGUUACUUGGAGGACAGGAAAUCUACCAGACAAGAUUAUUCAUCAAGCACGCCUGAAUCAUGUUCAACAAAUACAAUUACGAUCUCUGAGUUGGAGGGUCGGUAGAGAAUCUAUUUGUGGUAUCAAGUGCAAAAGCAGUAAUAUGUCAACCAAAUGGAAAGUUAAGAUAAAUGAUUGGAGAAAAAAUGAUGAGGAUCAUCCAGUGAAUGCAUGUUGUGGAUCUAAAAGUUCAGAAGAUAGGACAAUUUUGCAGCUGACUGGUUGGCUAAAAAUGCAGGCUCUAUGCCUCUCGGAUUUCAUGUUUAUCAAGAACCUCCUGUAGGUCAUGAUCCUUGGCUUUGUUAUGAUAGGUAUGGGACAAUGAUUUCUCAUUCGGUUGUGUCUUAACUUGGCUAAGCCUAUUUUUGGUAAAAAAAAAAAAAAGAAUUUAAACUAAUGUUCAUAUAGAAAUUGUAAAUUAGAGGUACUGUGAGCAGUGUUGGGUCAAAAAAAUGAUUAACCCAGACUUAAAUUAAAUAAAAGCAAGACAUUAUAAUUGUUUUGAUAUAAAAUAUUUGCUAAUACAUUUAUGAGAAUAUCUUUGGUGCUUUUGGAGCAUUUUUAUCUAUUCACAAUUUAUUACUUGUGUAUAUAUGUCAUCAGGAUUAGUAGAAACAUACACAUGACAAAGUGUAAAUGAAAAAGGAGAAGCUCUCCAAGAGUACCCAAGAUUUUUUCUACAUUUUGAAAAUCAUGUGCAAUAUACUCAUUAUCAAUACUAUUAAGUACAUCCUUUUCUACGUAAACAACAAAAUUAACAUUCAUUCAUUCAUCUCUCAUCCAAUUUCAACGUUGACUCUUCAUGAACUUAAUUGCUGAAAACGUUCUCUCUACUGUGGCUAUGGGAAUCGAAAAAAUUAUAGUUAAGUGUCACCAACGAAUACAUUAAUACUGUAAUGGAUAUUCUUUAUCUUUUUUAGUCUCAAACUGUUCUUUUAGCAACUCAUUGAUUCCCUUCAUUCCUGCAAACCUGCCUAAUUGUUCUUUCCUAAUUUAACGCAAGCCCUAAUUUUCUGUUCUUUUUAGAACAAGAAAGAUAAAAUUUGUGAUUGGAGGAGUGGCUAAUUAUUAUUUUUAAUAAAAUUGAAUCUAUUUUUUUGAAAUAGAAAAAUGUUUUGGGUUGUGGGUUAUUAUUAUUUUUAAAUAAAGCGUGACUUUAAAAGUUCAAGUUAAAAUUUAAAUUUUGUAGGUUUAUGAAUGUAUAGAGGCUAUUUUAAUAGAUUGAUGAAGGUUAAUUAGAAACCGAAAUGAUUUUUUCUUUUAAUUUUUUUUUUGUCUUUAACAUGCUAAAUCCACCACUCCUACCGAUAAGAAUUGGGAUGAUUUAUUUUUAUCUUAAUGAUCAUAAUAAAAAUCUUUUAAAAAUUUUACUAUUUUAUCAAAAUUAUUAUUUAAAAAUUAUAUUUACCCCAAUUUUUUUUUUAACUACAAUAUUUUUUUUUCACCACACGACUGUAACUUUUAAUAUAACUUAGGUUAUCAAAAUUUUGAGCUUCAUUCAACCAACCAUAACUAUCAUGAUCAAAGUCUACGUUGCUUAAGUCAAGAAGGACUUUAAUGGGAGGGAGAUAAUUAUUAUUAUCGACAUUACAAAUGGACCCCAAUUAUAUCUAAAGUCUUUGGGCUCCUGUCUCGUUUUCUUCUUCUUUUUCAAAACCCUAUUUACUAACCAUUAAUUUGGUUGGUUGAUGAAUCCGGCCGUUUCUGAUUUUCUUAUUUAUUUUGAUGGGAGUGACCCCCUAACGAUGGCAUCGCAAUCUCAUGAAAAAAAAUUUCCAAACGCAUGAAAAUUGGACACCCGUCAACAAAAAUCUUUUUGUUACAGUAUUUACUGUACUUUCAAAAAUUUGAACAUGACAAAAAUUAAGUAAUCUACUUAUUAUAAUAAUCUAUGACCAAAAAUAUUGAACAUGUAUUUUUUUUUUUUGUAAUUAUACACGCACAUCACUCUUUUACGAUUAAUUGACUAAACUUGUAUGAUAAACGAUUUUAUAAUGGAUUGUCUCAUAAUCUAAAUUUAUCAAAUAUCUUAAUGGUGAGACUAUUUGAAUUGAAUCCAUAAAAUUCUUUUAAAAUUUUCUUUACAACUUAUAACAUACUUUUCAGAAAGUCUGUCGAGUACUAAUUCAGAAAUUUAUUUCAAUAUAUAUCAAGAAAAAUUAUUUGGUUAAGAGAAAUGAGCCCCUUUGAAAAUUUGAGUUGGUGAAGCAUGAGCUCAUCAUUAGUCAACCCAUCAAAUUAUUCAAGAAACACAUUUGCCCCACACAUCCAUAAUUAAUUAAAAGGAUGGAAUUAUUUGAACUUAUUAAAUUUCUCUUAAGAUCCAUUUAUUUAAUAUAUCCUCUGUCAAAAUCUUAAAAUUAAAUUUUAACUCUAUAAACCUCUUAAUACCCCACAAAUAACCGUUUUAUGGUUGGUGCAAUAAUUUAGAUAAUUAAAUUAUUUAUUAUUUUGGUAAUUUUUAUUUAAGAUUAUUUUUGUAAUAUAAAUUUUUAUUUAAAAUAGGUCUAAGGUGCAUUUUUAUGGGGGCCCAAAUGACCUUAAAAUUAGAAAAAGUUAAAUUUUACCAUAUAAAAGUAAAACCUCUUGUAAUUCCUAAAGUAUCCUUGAUUAGAUUUCUUUUUUUAAUUUUAAUAUUUUCUCUCUUCUAUAGAAGUUGCUAUAUCCUUUCUUGGUAAGAUGCUCUGUUCAGGCUUCCAUGUAUUUGGCUUGAAUUGGCAACUUAACUCGAAUCAAUUCGGUUUAUGCCUUUGAUCAAACUCAUUUCGCCUCUCCAAGAAUCUGCAAAAUUAAUUGGUAUUAUCAUGUCGGUGCUGCUUAUAAUUGGCAGUGCUUGCAUUGCCCUGAAUCCAGGCGUUGCUCGAGUAUAGUUGGGCUUCCUUAUUCAUUUUAGUGACAGAUGAAAACAUUAAAAAAAAAAAUCAGGACUUGUUUGUCAAAAUUUACAGAUAUUUUGUUCUUUAAUUAAUUUUAUUGUUACAAACAAUAGGAUAGCAGUGUCGUUGAACCAGUUGCUUACACCUGGGGCAACAUAGUUUUUUUUUUUUUUUUUAGUUUGUGAGAUGGCCAAUAUCUGUGUAUAUAUAUAUAUAUAUGGAUCCCCCUAUCUUACAUGCAUGUAAGAUACAUCCCUCUCACAUGAAUAGUGUAUGGACCCCACACAUGCACAAUUCAUGUGAGGGGGAUAUAUCUUACAUGCAUGUAAGAUAGAGAUGUAUCUUACAUGUGAGGGGGAUGUAUCUUACAUGCAUGUAAGAUAGGAAUUACCAUAUAUAUAUAUAUAAUUAUUGACUCAAUGUGUAAAAGGUACCAAUAUUGACUCAAUGUGUCAAAUUUCUUGAAAAGUUUAACAUCAAAUGCCUUUUUUCCACUGUUGUUAGUAUAAGUCAAACGGCCCACCCUUCUGUCCUUCACAUGUUCUGCGUUCCCCAUGUUCACAUUUUACAAUAUUAAAUAGAGAAUUUUGAGUCCAGAAGCAAUGACUUUCUGGUCAGUCCCCUCCAAGAUGGAUUAUCAGUAAUGGUGUUUAAUUAUAUUUAUUUAAUUUGUUAGAGAGAGCUCUACGUCUAUAGAGUAUAACAAAUGGAUGUAUUUAUGUUUUCCUUCAUCUGUUGUAAGUUACUGUUUUUCUUGUCUGAAUCCUCUUUCGCUUCCGACACCAUUACUUCAUCUCAGUCCCUCAGUGAUGGCAGGACCUUAGUUUCAAAAGAUGGAAGCUUUGAGCUUGGUUUCUUCAGUCCUGGUAGUUCCAAGAAUCGUUACGUGGGAAUUUGGUACAAAAAUAUGCCAGUUGUUAAGGAAGCUUACAGUGUACAAAAGGGAGUUGCAUAUUGAGCACGUGUGUGUCAAUGAUGAGUCAUCAGUUAGUUGAGUAAAGAAGCCAGCUCAACAAAUCUGUUAAUCAUGUUUUACGUUCUGUUCUUCAAUUGUUAGUAAUGCUUUAAUUCUGUUGAGAUUUGUGAGUUAGUAUAAAUAAGGUUGUGAUUGUAUUUGUAAUUAAUAACGUGAGAUUCAAUAAAAGUAAAUAGUUUCUAAGAAAAUCUUAUCAUCAUUUUCUUAGCUUCCAAACAACUUUUACAGUCACGAUCCAACUUUCAAACAUGGUAUCAAAGCCAGUAAGAGCAAGCUCUAGUACUCAGCAAACAAAUCAACAAAGUCAAAUAAAUUUUUCUUUCAACACUCCAAUUACACUAGAUCGAUCAAACUAUCUACUUUGGCGUUUUCAAGUUUUAGCUUCCAUAAGAGGCAAUCGAUUGGAAGGCUUCAUCAAUGGAACAAAACCAGCACCUGAAGAACAGUUCACUCAAGUUGGAGCUGAUGGAUCUAUUCAGAAAAUUGAUAAUCCAGAAUAUCAGAAUUGGAGAUCACAGGAUCAAACAUUGUUUGGAUGGAUGCUAUCAUCAAUAAGUGAAGGUACUCUAAACCUUGUCAUAAAUUGUGGUAGCUCGUUUGAUGUUUGGAGAACUUUAGAAAAGAAAUUUGGUGUGCAAUCUGAAGCUAGGGUUUUUCAACUUAGAUAUGAGUUAAAUACUCUUAGGAAGGAAUCAAUGAGUAUUGAAGAUUACUGCAUCAAAAUGAAAACUGUAGCAGAUAAACUUGCUAGUGCUGGAAGUCCUAUAACAGAGAAAGAUCUCAUGCUGACAAUUCUUAAUAGCUUAGGAGCAGGCUAUCGUGAUAUUGCUAGGGCUUUAUAACUGGUUCAAAAAUGGACUAUGAUGAUGCUUAUGCAUUAUUAUUAACUCAUGAAACCAGACUUGAACAAGAGCAGAAUGAUAAAAGCAUGUUUAAUGCAAAUUAUGCUUAUACAAAUGCCUAUUAUCCAAGGGCAUUCUAUGCUCAAUCAAGAAAUAAUUUUAGAAGAGGAGGACAUGCUGGUGCUCAGUUUGGCAAUAAUGGUAGAAAUCAUACUGCUAGAAGAGGAAAUAUUUUUCAGUCUCCAAGGAUGUUUAAUGGCAAUCACAGAGGUGGAUAUGGAAGAGGACACUCAUUUGGCCCAAAUAAUGUUAACUCCUUUCAUGCACUUAGGAAUUCAAUGCAAUUCACUCGGACUGGAGUUACUAAUAUGAAUGGACCUCAAGGAAUUCCAAGCAAUGCAGAAGAAUUGGUUUGCCAGAUUUGCUUUAAGCCUGGUCACACUGCUGAUAUUUGCUGGCAUCGAUUUGUGGAGGAUUAUGUCCCUUAUUCAAGGAGUCUAGGCAGAGGAAAAGGACCAAGAUCAGCAUAUAUUGCUAAUUUUGAUGGCUUUACAUAUCCAUAUCAAGGUUAUGAUAACUAUGAUAAUCAUCCUGCAUCUGAGACAAGCUGCUAUUCUGGAAUUGAUAACUAUGCACUUGCAGAAGCUUAUGUGGCUAAUUUUGAAAGCUUUGCUGAUGAUGGCUGGUAUUUGGAUAAUAGGGCAACUCAUCACUUGACCAACAACAUGGAGAACUUGCAUUUUAAGGAAGACUACAAAGGUACUGAUCAACUCAUUAUUGGAAAUGGUCAAGGUCUGUCAAUUUCCCAUAUUGGUCAUGCAUUUUUAUCAUUUAGAGCUUCAAAACAUCCUUACACACAUGCCUCCACUAUAACACUUAAAGAUAUGUUGCUUGUUCCUACAAUCACUAAGAAUUUACUAAGCAUCUCCAAACUUACAUCUGAUAAUUCACUCUCUGUUGAAUUUUGUGGAAAUGUUUGUUAUGUUAAGGACAUGAAGGGGCAAGUUCUUCUGCAGGGCCUUGCUGAGAAAGGUCUUUACAAGCUGUUGAUGAAAUCUUCUUCCAUGUCAUCUUUUGCUUAUCACGCAUCACCUGCCUUUCAUCUUUCUCAACUUCAGUCACAUAAACCAAUAUCCAUGCUGUCAUGCUCAAAUGUGUCUUCUAUUUCUCAUCAUUGUAAUUCCUUUGAUAAGACUUGUUUCAGCUCAAUUUCAAAUAAGUGUAACCAGAAACAUGAUGAACUUACCUUGUUACACAAAAAGUUUGGUCAUCCAAGCUCAACAGUAUUGAUGCAUUUUCUUAAGACUUGUAAACCAGUUAAAGUCUCUCAAAAAUCAAUUUUAUCUCCUGAGCAUUCUAUGUGUGAAGCAUGUCAAUUAGGAAAAGCUCACAAGCAACAUUUUUCUACAACCGAAACCAAAACAACUCAAGUAUUAGAACUGAUACAUACUGAUCUAUGGGGGCCUUCACCUACUACAUAUAGAAAUGGUUUCAAAUACUACAUUAGCUUUGUAGAUGAUUACAGUAGGUAUACCUGAAUUUACCCACUCAAACUCAAAUAAGAAGCUUUUGAAGUCUUUAUAUUAUUCAAAAUCCAAGUAGAGAAUCAGUUCAAUACCAAAGUCAAGAUGCUGCAAUCUGACUGGGAGGGGAGAAUACAUAGUUUUUACUAACUUCUUAAACCAGAAUGGGAUCAUUUUCAGACAUUCAUGCCCUUACACACAUCAUCAAAAUGGUCUAGUAGAAAGAAAACAUAGACAUAUAAUUGAGUUAGCUUUGACUCUCUUAGCUCAAGCUAAUCUUCCUUUUAAAUUCUGGUGGGAAGCUGUUCAUACAGCAGUAUAUCACAUAAAUAGAUUACCAACACCUGUAUUGAAACUCUUAUCUCCAUAUGAGAAGCUCUUUAAGCAUAAACCAGAUUACAGCCUCCUUAAAUGCUUUGGUUGUCUUUGUUAUCCGUACUUGAGGGAUUUUAACAAAAAUAAAUUUGACUUUCAUACCAGCAAGUGCAUCUUUAUUGGUUAUAGCUCAUCUCAUAAGGGAUAUAAAUGUCUCACAAGCUCAGGUCGAGUUCAUAUCCUUAGACAUGUUUUUUAUGAAAGUGUAUUUCCAUAUACAACAUUCUCUGUUCCUUCUUCAUUUGAAAAUGUUGCCAACUCAGAAACACCAGUGUCAAAUUUCUCUAAACAGCAAGUCUAUCAUCUUUCAACUCUACCCUUAUUCAACAGCAGCUUUGAAGAUACUUACUCAGUAGGUGUACCAAGUGAUGAACAGAGUCCUGUUGUGCCUGAGCAUACAAAUAAUUUGAAUCAACAAGAAUCAUCCAAUUAUUCUUUAUCAAAACUAUCAAUAUCACAAGUUAUCCCUCAAAUCCCUGAAUAUACUCAAACACAACUUGAACCACAAACAAGCAAUCAACAACACUCUGAAAAUAAUCCAAACAGAAUUCAGAUCUCACAACCUACACACAAAAUGAUUACCAGAUCAAAGUCUGGAAUAUUCAAGCCUAAGUUGUAUACAACCACUUUGAUCAACAAAGAACCUGACACAAUUCAAGAAGCUCUGAAUGAUAAAAACUGGUAUAAGGCCAUGAAAGAGGAAUAUGAAGCUUUGAUCAGGAAUAAGACUUGGUCUCUUGUACCACCUCCAGCUGAAUACAAAAUAGUUGGAAACAAAUGGGUGUUCAGGGUUAAACAAAAUAGUGAUGGCAGUAUAGCAAAGUACAAGCUAGAUUGGUUGUUAAAGGUUUCCAACAAACUGAAGGGAUUGACUAUUUCCAAACUUUUAGCCUUGUUAUAAAGGCUUCCACAGUGAGGGUUAUAUUAAGCUUGGCUGCAAUGCAUAGUUGGAUGAUCAGACAGGUAGAUGUCAAUAAUGCUUUUCUGAAUGGUGACUUAACAGAAGAUGUCUACAUGUAUCAGCCUGAAGGUUUUGUUGAUGAGAAGAGAUCAGGUUAUGUAUGUAAGUUGAAGAAGGCUUUAUAUGGUUUGAAACAAGCUCCCAGAGCUUGGUUUGAUAAACUAAAAGGUUGUUUGGUUGCAAACUGGGGAUUUCAAAAUUCCAGAGCUGGAAAUCAAUUACAUUCCCAGUGAAGAACAGAUUGCAGACAUCUUGACCAAGCCUCUCACAUUCACUCAAUUCAAUUAUCUCAGGAGCAAACUUAAUGUGCAGCCAUGCCCCUUAAGUUUGAGGGGGGCUGUUAAGGAAGCUCACAGUGUACAAAAGGGAGUUGCAAAUUGAGCACGUGUGUGUCAAUGAUGAGUUAGCAGUUAGUUGAGUAAAGAAGCCAGCUCAGCAAAUCUGUUAAUAAUGUUUUACGUUCUGUUCUUCAGUUGUUAGUAAUGCUUUAAUUCUGUUGAGAUUUGUGAGUUAGUAUAAAUAAGGUUGUGAUUGUAUUUGUAAUUAAUAACGUGAGAUUCAAUAAAAGUAAAUAGUUUCUAAGAAAAUCUUAUCAUCAUUUUCUUAGCUUCCAAAGAACUUUUACAGUCACGAUCCAACUUUCCAACACCAGUUAAAACUGUUGUUUGGGUUACAAACAGAAUCAACCCCAUUAAUGACUCUUCUGGGUUGUUAGUUGUAAACGAGACGGGCAAUCUUGUUUUAACAAGCUAGAACAAGAGUGUAGUUUGGUCAGCAAACUUGAGCAAAGAAGUCCAGACUCCAGUUGUAUUGCAGCUACUAGAUUCAGGAAAUCUUGUCCUCAGAGGUGAACGAGAUGGCAGUUCUGAAACUUAUUUAUGGCAAAGCUUUGAUUAUCCUUCUAAUACAUUGCUACCGAGAAUGAAGCUCGGAUGGGAUUUGAAGACUGGUCUUGAGCGGCGUAUAACAUCAUGGAAGAGCCCAGACGACCCGUCUCCUGGAAACUUUACUUGGGCAGUUGAACGACAAGAUAAUCCUGAGUUAAUAAUGUGGAAGGGAUCAAGAAAGUUUCACAGGGGUGGCCCAUGGAAUGGCCUUGUCUUUAAUGAGGAUGAGCUGUACUACACCUUCGACAUGAUAGAUAAAGAUGUUUUCUCAAGGAUUGUUAUGAACCAAACACUCUAUGUACGUCAGCAAUUCACAUGGGAUAAAGCAACUCAAAGUUGGGAAUUGUAUGCAAAUGUGCCAAGAGAUCUAUGUGACACUUGUGCCCUUUGUGGUGCCUAUGGCAUUUGCAUCAUUAGCGAUACGCCUUUUUGCCAAUGUUUAAAAGGUUUUAAACCAAAGUCAAGGGGAUAUGUGGACUGGUCUCAAGGGUGUGUGCGCGAUAAGUCGUUAAACUACUCUACACAAGAUGGCUUUAUCAAGUUCAUUGAGCUGAAGUUGCCAGAUGCUACUUCUUCUUAGGUGAGCAAAAGUAUGAAUCUCUAUGAAUGCCAGGAUAAAUGCUUAGACAACUCUUCUUGUAUGGCAUACACAAAUUCAGAUAUCAGAGGAGAAGGCAGUGGUUGUGCCAUGUGGUUUGGCGAUCUGAUUGACAUGCGAAGAUUUCCAGAUGCUGGGUAGGACUUUUAUAUUUGAAUGUCUGCGUCAGAGCUAGGUAUCCGUUUACUUGUUUUAGUUACUCCAUUAUGAGAACUUAGGAGUGCCACUCCAGUUAGAUUAGUUCCAUAUUUUUAUUGUGUAAUUUAGUAAUGAGUUCAAAUUAAGAUGCUCCUUUCACAAAAAGCAGUUUCUGGGUAUGGCUUCUGUGCAUAGAAUUCUGCUGCUAUUUGAAUCAUUUUUUCUUAGCUAUAUGAUUAUUGACUUGCUUUGCUAUAUCUGAAUAUACUGAUCAAGGAGUGAAAGGUGAGCCUAGGACGAAGAUAGUGGUGAUAGUCAUUUCUACUACUGCUCUGUUAGCUGCGGUGCUUAUAGCUGGCUACUUGGUUCACAAAAGAAGGAGAAAUAUAGUGGGUAUAAUAUUGCUCCAUUUUCCUUCACAAAUUUUCGUUGACGAUUUGAUGCAGGAAAAUCAAACUCUUAUAAAUAUUAAAUUUACAACAGUCGAUUAAGUUUAUAUAUGCGACAAUAACUGUAUGUUUGUUUCAAGAUGAAGAGUUAACAGUGCAUAUCAUUUAGAUCAGCGGCAGGGCAAUUAAACUUGCAUUUAGUGUUAUAUCAAUACACGCCUCUUUUUCACCUAUGGUUCUUUAUUUACUUGCACUUUCAUAUUGACUGGAAAAUAACUUUAAUACAAAUUUACAGAUAAAGAACCUUAUCAUCAAGAACAUGAAAAUUGUAGUUACUAGUUAGUAGUUUAAUAUUGUCCAGUAUACACACUGCAUAUGUGCUUUUAGUUAAUAUUAUCCAAUAUUUCAGAGAAAACAAAAAAGGCUUGAGUUAGCUAGCACUGUUUGAGUUAGCUACAAUUGCUAAUGCCACCAAUAACUUUUCAAUCAACAACAAGCUUGCAGAAGGUGGCUUUGGACCAGUUUACAAGGUAAACUUGAAAGCUGCAAGUCAAGAAUACUUAUUUUACUGAUAACUAAAUUUGCAUAUAUCUUCCCAGGGCACCCUAGUGGAUGGACAGGAAAUUGCGGUAAAAAGGCUUUCGAAGAUUUCUGAGCAAGGAUUGAAGGAGUUAAAGAAUGAAGUUAUACUAUUUUCCAAAUUACAGCACAGAAAUCUGGUAAAGUUUCUUGGCUGCUGCAUUCAAGGAGAGGAGAAAUUGUUGAUUUAUGAAUUCAUGCCCAACAAAAGCCUGAACUCUUUCAUUUUUGGUCUAGGUCCCUGUAACCUUAAAAUAUUCGGCUAGCUUGUGCCUUGAUUAUAGACGUUUCUUAUGUAUUUUCAGAAAAUUUUGUGCUAACCUUAAUGUGGUAAUUUGUAGAUCAAGAAAGAUGUAAGAUAUUGGAUUGGCCCAAGCGUUUCCACAUUAUUUGUGGGACUGCUAGGGGUGUUAUGUACCUUCAUCAAGAUUCUAGAUUGAGGAUUAUACAUCGAGAUCUCAAAGCAAGUAAUGUGCUACUCAAUCAAGAUAUGAACCCAAAAAUUUCAGAUUUUGGUUUGGCAAGAGCUUUUGGUGGAGACGAAAUAGAAGGAAACACAAACAGAGUGAUUGGAACAUAGUAAGUACUUCUUGUCAUGUGAUCUUUUCGAUUCACUUGUACUGAUUAAUGAAAAUUAACUUAUAUAUUUUAAUCUUUUGAAGUGGUUAUAUGGCACCGGAAUACGCUAGUGAUGGGAAAUUCUCAGUAAAAUCCGAUGUCUUCAGCUUUGGAAUUUUAUUGUUGGAGAUAAUAAGUGGAAAGAAAAAUAGAGGAUUUUAUCAUUCCGACAACAAGCUUAACCUUAUAGGACAUGUAAGUAAAAUGCAUACGACUUUUUCUAACAUAGUUUGAACUAAUAAACUAUAGAUGAUAAAAGAGUUUUAAUAUGUUGUAGGCAUGGAAGUUGCGGAACGAAGGCAUGCCUUCACAAUUAAUCGAUCCGUGUAUUCAAGGCUCAUUCAAUCUUGCUGAAGUGAUAUGAUGCAUCCACAUCGGUUUGUUAUGCGUGGAACAGCAUCCAAAGGAUAGGCCAAGCAUGCCCUCAGUGAUUUUGAUGUUGGUCAGCAACUGUGUUGCCUCAGCCAAAGCAACCUGGUUACUUGGCGGACAGGAAAUCUACCAGACAAGAUUAUUCAUCAAGCACGCCUGAAUCAUGUUCAACUAAUACAAUUACGAUCUCUGAGUUGGAGGGUCGGUAGAGAAUUUAUUUGUGGUAUCAUGCCUUAUUCUACAUUGUCAAGCGGAAAAGCGGUAAUAUGUCAACCAAAUGGAAGGUUAAGAUAAAUGAUUGGAUAAAAAAUGAUGAGGAUCAUGAAAUACUAACUAGGCAACCCAAGAGGGGGGGUGAAUUGGGAUUUUAAAAUUUAAGCUAAGCAAACCACACAACAAUUUAAUCUAUUGCCUUAAUCAAAUUGAAAACAAUAAAUUCAAUCAUGCACAAUAUUAAAAGAGUAAGGGAAGAGAAAACAAACACAAUGAUUUUUACGUGGUUCGGCAAUCCCCGUCUACGUCCACGCCUCCAAGCUCACCGGGCUUGAGGAUUUCACUAAGCUAGCCUCCCAAGGCUUCAAACGCUUACAAUUGACUUCCAAGGUGUCAAUGGACCUUUACAACAAGAGAUUAUCCCCAAUCUCUUAACCCAAGUGUAUCCCAACACUUACAAUCUCUUAACUUGAUUUUACAAAAAAGAUUACAAAUGAAUCUCUCUCACACAAUGUGUUUGAUCACAAGUGAAAGCUCAAUGUGUGAAUGAAUGAGAUGAAUACAAAGAUUUAAAGCUCAAUGAAAGUUGUAUUCUCAAUAUUUUGCUCAAUGAUGAUCGUUAGAAUGAUUCUUGUUUGAAUUGGAUUGAGCUUAUUUAUAGUUGGAGCUGAAAACUAGUCGUUAUUGACUUUCUGCACACUGUCGGAUCGCCGCUAACUAGAUGUCGGAUCGCCGUUUGACUGGUCAAUAUGACCGUUGGGCUGAUAUUUCAAAUUGUCGGAUCGCCGUUAUCUAGAUGUCGGAUCGCCGUUAUCUAGAUGUCGGAUCACCGUUUAGGUCCAGAGGCUAAUCUUCAGUUCUGUUAGAUAUCGGCGAGCCAUUUAUCAAAAUUGUCGGAUCGCCGUUUAGGUCCAGAGACUAAUCUUCAAUUCUGUUAGAUGUCGGCGAGCCGUUAUCAAGAUGUCGGAUCGCCGUUUUCUACAGUAACUGCUACAGUGAAAUAUUUUCUAAAUUUAUAGUUUGACCCCAAAACUUUAUAAAACUGUGUUACGGCCCAAAACGUUAUAAAACUUUGCAAAUAGGUCCAAUUUUAGAAUUUCUAAGUAAUGCUUUGUUAAUCCCAAAACUUUCUGAAAUUAUGGUAUAGCCCAAAAUGCUAUGACACUUUUCAAAUAAGUCAUUCUCCAAAAUUUCAAGCAAUACUUGUUUAUUUCAAAGUUUUCAAAAUUCUUUCAAUUAAACCAUAAACUUUGAAAAACAACCAAUUUCAUAAAAUCAUUUUUCCAUUAAAUAUGAAACAUUUAUAAUGUGAAAAUAAUGAUUUAUUUAAAAAGAAUAAAAACAAUCAAUUUCAUAAAAUCAUUUUUCCAUUAAAUAUAAAACCUUUAAAAUGUGAAAAUAAUGAUUUAUUUAAAAUGUAUAAAAAAUAAUUUGAUCUUAAAAGAUUAAUCAUUCUUAAUCUUGUUUGUUAUCAUCAAAAUCAAUAUUAUGGAAACAUAUAUGUUAACAGAUCAUCCAGUGAAUGCAUGUUGUGGAUCUAAAAGUUCAGAGGAUAGGCCAAUUUUGCAGCUGACUACUUUGCUAAAAAUGCAGGCUCUAUACCUCUCGGAUUUCAUGUUUAUCAAGAACCUCCUGUAGGUCAUGAAUCUUGGCUUUGUUAUGAUAUGUAUGGGACAAUGAUUCCCCGCUCGAUUGUGUCUUAGCUUGGCUAAGCCUUUUUUUGGUUAAAAAAAAAUGGAAUGUAGACUAAUGUUCAUAUAGAAAUUGUAAAUUAGAGGUACUGUGAGCAAUGUUGGGUUCAAAAAAUGAUUAACCGAGAAUUAAAUUAAAUAAAAGCAAGACGUUAUAAUUUUUUUGAUAUAAAGUAUUUACUAAUACAUUUAUGAGAAUAUCUUUGGUGCUUUUGGAGCAUUUUUAUCUAUUCACAAUUUAUCACUUGUGUAUAUAUGUCAUCAUGAUUAGUAGAAGCAUACACAUGACAAAGAGUAAAUGAAAAAGGAGAAGCUCUCCAAUAGUACCCAAAAUUUUUCCUACAUUUUGAAAACCAUGUGCAAUAUACUCAUUAUCAAUACUAUUAAGUACAUCCUUUUCUACAUAAAUACCAAAAUUAAUAUUCAUCCAUUCAUCUCUCAUCCAAUUUCAGCGUUAAUUCUUCACGAACUUAUUUGCUGAAAACGUUCUCUCUACAGUGGUUGUGGGAACCGAAAGAAUUAUAGCUAAGUGUCACCAACAAAUAUAUUAAUAUUGUAAUGGAUAUUCUUUAUCUUUUUUUGUCUUAAACUAUUCUUUUAGCAACUUAUUGAUUCCCUUCAUUCCGACAAACCUGCCUAAUUGUUCUUUCCUAAUUUAACCCAAGCCCUAAUUUUCUUUUUAGAACAAGAAAGAUAAAAUUUGUGAUUGGAGGAGUGGCUAAUUAUUAUUUUUAAUAAAUUUGAAUCUAUUUUCUGAAAUAGAAAAAUGUUUUGGGUUGUGGUUAUUAUUAUUUUUAAAUAAAGCGUGAGUUUAAAAGUUCAAGUUAAAAUUUAAAUUUUGUAGGUUUAUGAAUGUAUAGAGGCUAUUUUAAUAGGUUGAUGAAGGUUAAUUAGAAACCCAAAUGAUUUUUUCUUUUAUUUUGUAUUUUUGUCUUUCACAUGCUAAAUCCACCACUCCUACCGAUGAUUUAUUUUUAUUCUAAUGAUCAUAAUAAAAAUCUUUUAAAAAUUUUACUAUUUUAUCAAAAUUAUAUUUGCCCCAACUUUUUUUUAACUACAAUAUUUUUUUUUCACCACAACCGUAACUUUUAAUAUAACUUAGGUUAUCAAAAUUUUGAGCUUCAUUCAACCAACCAUAACUAUCAUGAUCAAAGUCUACGUUGCUUGACUUUCAUUCAAAACCGGGGGGAUAUGUGGACUGGUCUCAAGGGUGUGUCCGUAAUAAGCCAUUGAAUUACUCAAGAAAAGAUGGUUUUAUCAAGUUUUCUGACCUCAAAUUGCCAGAUUCUACUUCAUCUUGGGUGAGCAAAAGUAUGAAUCUCAAGGAAUGUAGGGAGAAAUGCUUAGAAAACUCUUCUUGUAUGGCUUACACAAAUUCGGAUAUCACUAGAGGCGGCAGUACUGUGUUAUGUGGUUUGGUGAUCUGAUUGACAUCAGAUACUUCCAAAAUGGUGGGCAGGACUUGUAUAUUCGAAUGUCUGCUUCAGAGCUAGGUAUCCGUAUACUUAUUUAUGUCAUUCCAUUAUGAGAACUUGGGAGUACCACACUAGUUAGACUAGUUCCACAUUUUUAUUGUGCAAUUUAGUAUUGAGUUCUGAUUGAGAAGCUCCUUUCUCAUAAAGCAUUUUCUGGGUAUAGCUUCUAUGCAUAGAAUUUUGCUGCUAUUUGAAUCCUUUUUUUCAUAUCUAUAUGAUUAUUGACUCGCUCUGCUAUAUCAGAAUAUGCUGAUCAAGGAGCGAAAGUUUGACAUCAUUUCUUAAUCCUAGUGUCCAUCUCGAUCGUUUUGAUGGAACUAAUUUCACUCGUUGGAAAGGAAAAUUAUUUUUUCUCCUUACUGUUCUUAAAGUAGCAUAUGUUCUUGAUCCGAAAUUGGAACCAUUUCCAGAACCAAGAGAAGAUGAUACCGAAGUUGUUAAGGCUGCAAGGAAACGUCGUGAAGAUGAUGAAUUGAUGUGCCGGGGUCACAUACUCAAUACGCUUUCUGACAGGUUAUAUGAUCUCUACAAUUCUAUGACUUCUCCGAUGGAAAUUUGGAAUGCUCUUGAGUACAAAUACAAAACGGAGAAAGAAGGUACUGACAAAUUCCUUGUCUCUAAAUAUUUUGAAUUUAUUAUGGUAGACACAAAAUCCAUUCUUGAUCAAAUACAUGGGUUACAAAUUAUUGUUGCUAAGCUUCGAGAGUUAAAGUUGAAAUUUCUGAAUCAUUUCAAGUUGGGGCUAUUAUUGCUAAAUUGCCUCAAAGUUGGAAUGAUUAUAGAAAGAAACUCCUUCAUAGUAAAGAGAACAUAACCUUAGAAGAAUUACAAAAACACUUGGUAAUCGAAGAAGAGACAAGGUCUCGCGAAUCCAAGGAUAAGCAUGAUUCUAAUAAGGUUAAUGUUGUUGAAGCUAGUAAAAUUUCAAAGAAUUUUAAAGUCAAGAAUGACAAGAAAUUCAAGAAGUCCAGCACACAAAAGUUUUCUGGAAAUUGUUUCUUUUGUGGCAAGAAAGGUCAUCGCCAAAGUGAUUGCAGAUUCAAGAAGAAAAAGGAAGAAGUGAAUUCCCAUAAAGCUAAUGUUAUUGAAAACAAAUCUGAAGAGAUUUGUGCUAUGGUUUCUGAAAAGCAAAUUGGCAUGAUUACCGAAACCAAUAUGGCUGAAACUAAGUCCUAUGAUUGGUGGCUCGAUUCGAGUGCAACAAUUCAUGUUUUUAAUUAUAAGAAAUUUUUCUUAUCAUACAAAGAAGAAACGGAAGGACAAAUGGUUCUCAUGGGGAACAAUAAUGUAGCCAUGGUAGCGGGGAAAGGAGUAGUUGAGAUCAACUUCACUUCUGAAAAGAAAGUUACAUUGUAUAAUGUCUUUCAUGUACCUUCCGUUAGGAAGAAUCUUAUUUCUGCUAGUUGUAUGUGUAAGCAUGGGCUUAAGAUUGUGCUUGAGGGUAAUACUUGUAUUAUCUCAAAGAAUAGAUUAUUUGUUGGGAAAGGGUAUUCUUGUGAUGGAAUGUACAAACUCAGCAUUAAUAAUAAUAAUAUCAACUUAGCUUAUAUUAUUGAGUCUUGUGAUGUUUGGCAUGCUAGAUUAGCACAUUUGAAUUUUAGAUCUUUGAAAUACAUGUCUAAGCAUGGUUUGACUAAUUGCAAUGAUGUUAAAGGUCAUAAGUGUGAAAUCUACAUCCAAGCUAAAUUAACUAAGAAACCUUUUCCUAAAGCCGAACAAAAUACUCAAAUAUUGGAUUUAAUACAUACCGAUAUUUGUGAGUAUAAUGGCGUUUUAACAAGAGGAGGUAAGAGGUACUUUAUCACUUUUAUUGAUGAUUGUUCUAGAUACACUUACGUGUAUUUACUUAGAACAAAAAAUGAAGCUUUUGAUAAAUUUAAAAUUUUCAAAGCUGAAGUUGAGAACCAAAAAGAUAAGAAAAUCAAAAUGGUUCGUAGUGAUAGAAGUGGUGAAUAUUUCUGAAUUGAAUUUAAUAAUUAUUGUGAAGAAUUUGGAAUUAUUCACCAAAGAUCAGCUCCAUUUACUCCUCAACAAAAUGGUUUGGCUGAAAGGAAGAAUAAGAUCUUCACGGAUAUGAUAAAUUCCAUGAUCCUUAAUGCAAAACUACCAAAUAAUUUGUGGGGGGAAGCAUUACUCACUGCAUGUCAUAUUCAUAACAGAAUUACAUCUUUGAAAACACAUAUAUCUCCUUAUGAAAUUUGGAAAGGAAGAAAACCAAACUUGAUGUAUUUAAGGGUUUGGGGUUAUUUACCUUUUUAUAAAAUACAUGAUCUUAAAUCAUCAAAGUUAAGUGCUAGAGGUAUAAAGAGUGUUUUCGUAGGAUAUGCUGAAAAUUCCAAGGCUUAUAGGUUGUUAAUUCUAAUGUGAUUGUGGAAUCUAGAGAUGUUGAAUUUAUUGAGAAUAAAUUUCAACAUGAUUCUAAUAUUGAAUUAGAAUCAAUUAUUGAUCAACCAUGUGUUAAUACUUCUGUUACCUCCAUUAACAAUAAUAAAAGGAAAGAGUCUAUGACAUCUUUCGAACCAAUAAGGAGUCAACGUGAAAAGAAAGAAAAGAGUUUAGUUCCGGAUUUUAUUUCAUCACAAGCACUACUCUUCUUGGUUGAAGGGGAUAGAAAGAAUGUACUUAACAAAGUACCAUUGUUGUUAAAUAUUGAAAAAGAUCCAAAGACAUUUAGCGAAGCUAUGUCUUCUAGAGACGCUUCUUUUUGGAGAGAGGCGGUAAAUGAUGAAAUGGAUUCGAUUAUGUCGAAUCAAACAUGGGUCUUGGUUGAUCUUCCUCCAGGAUCUAAACCAAUUAGCAGCAAAUGGGUAUUUAGAAGAAAGUACAAUAGUGAUGGUUUUUUGCAAACUUGUAAGGCUAGAUUAGUAGCCAAAAGGUUUAAGCAAAGAAAUGGUAUUGAUUAUUUCGAUACAUAUGCUCCGGUAGCAAGGUUAACUUCUAUAAGAGUGCUAUUUGCAAUUGCUUCAUUGAACAAUUUGUAUGUGCAUCAAAUGGAUGUUAAAACCGUUUUUCUUAAUGGUGAUCUUGAGGAAGAAAUCUAUGUGGAACAACCUGAGGGAUUUGUUUUGCCAAGAAAUGAGAAAAAGGUAUGCAAGUUAGUCGAAUCACUUUAUGGUUUAAAGCAAGCACCAAAACAAUGGCAUGAGAAAUUUGAUUAGGUAAUUUUAUCUCAUGGUUUUAAGCAUAAUAAUGCUGAUAAAUGUAUAUAUUUUAAAUUUACGAAUGAUUUUGGUGUGAUUAUAUGCUUGUAUGUUGAUGACUUGCUUAUCUUUGGAACAAAUAUGCAAGGAGUAAAUGAUACAAAGAAGUAUUUAACUUCACAAUUUAAGAUGAAAGAUCUUGGUGAAGUAGAUACUAUCUUAGGUGUCAAAGUGAAAAAACAUAGUGGGGGUUACUCGUUGUGUCAAUCUCAUUAUAUAGAAAAAGUGCUUCUUAAAUUCAAUUAUUUGAAAUUUAAAGAAGCUAAUACCCCAUAUGAUUCUAGUAUUAAAUUACUAGAGAAUUCAGGCCGAGUAGUAGCACAACUAGAAUAUGCUAGUGCUAUUGGUAGCUUGAUGUAUGCUAUGCAUUGUACGAGGCUUGAUAUAGCAUUUGCAGUUUGCAAAAUGUCAAGAUUCACGAGUAACCUUAGUGUUGAACACUGGAAAACAAUUGGUAGGAUACUUGGUUAUCUUAAAAGGACCAUUAAUUUGGGUUUUUUUUAUAAUGAUUAGCCUGAAGUACUGGAAGGAUAUUCAGAUGCUAGUUGGGUAACCAAUACAAAAGAUAAUAAAUCCACUUCUGGUUGAAUUUUUACAAUUGCUGGAGGAGCGGUUUCUUGGGCUUCAAAGAAACAAACAUGCAUAACUCAUUCAACAAUGGAAAGUGAGUUUAUAGCACUUGCAGCUGCAGGCAAGGAAGCAGAAUGGCUGAGAAAUUUGUUGUUUGAUAUAAUGUUGUGGCCACAACCGAUGCCAUCUAUUUCUUUGUACUGCGAUAGUGAAGCUACAUUGUCUAGAGCUUAUAAUAAAGUGUAUAAUGGAAAGUCUAGACAUAUUAGCUUGAGACAUGAAUAUAUGAAACAAUUAAUAGCAGAUGGUGUUAUUAAUAUUGUUUAUGUUAGGACUAAUAAGAACCUAGCGGAUCCUUUAACAAAAGGUCUUACAAGAGACUUAGUUAAGGAUACAUCUUUUGGAAUGAGAUUGAAACCUUUAAAUAAUAAAGUCACCAACGAUGGUAACCCAACUAUGUAGUAGUUGUACUGCUACUCCAUAGUUAAAUGGGUAAUAAUAAGUUGUUGUUAUGUGACUGGUUUGGUACCGAGUAAUAAAUAAUCACAUUCGAGAUAUUCUGUGCAAAUAGCUAUGAGGUUGAGGUUGAGUAUUUACUCUUAAUGAAGUUCAAGUCUUAUAGUAGCUAAAGACAUGAUUUGAAACUUCAACUAAGUGAACAUAAGAAAUGGUGUCGUUUCUAACAAGAUCGUAGUUUAAUCUUGUAAAUGUUCAUGAAUCCAAGAUAGAGCACAAGGCCGGAAUAGUGCUAAAUAUUGGAACACAACUUCGAAAUCUGGGACAGCUUAUAUGUGAUGUAUCUCUAGUAUUUACUUAAGAGACAAAGUUUAAUGCUUAGCACACUAUUGUCUUGUAAAUACUUUGAAAUACACUCACUAAUUAAAGGUUAAAAUCGAAAGAUACCUUUUUGUAUGUAUAAGUUCAUCAUUAAUAAAUCUAAAAAAUAUUACAAUCUAGUGGGGGAUUGUAAGAGAGAUUGUAACAUUUUUCAAUAUUUGGUUUGAUAUUCUGGAAGAAAACGGUUUGCCGUUUUUGGAGAAAACGGCUAACCGUUUAAUUCCAGAGAGUAUGUUUUCUGUUCUAGAGAAAACGACUAACCGUUUAGAGAAAACAACUAACCAUUUAUUUACAGAGAGCAACUUAUUUGACAUUCUGGAAUAAAACGGCUCGCCGUUAUUGAGAAAACGGCUAACCGUUUAUUUCCAGAGAUCGUGUUUUUGCGUCAAUGGGAAAAACGGUUAGCAAGCUUGAAAAUUUCAAUUGUCUAUCGAUGCAAAUUCAAAUCAAAAGAGUGUCUUUGAAGAAGUACCAUUUCUAAUGGUUGUAUUCUUUCAAAUAAACAUCUUCUUCAUUAAAAGAUAGACACACAAUUAGAUCAAAUCAAAUUUUACAGGUUUCAUAUAUGUUCUGGAAAUACAAUCUUAUUUGCUAGAGAUUGUAUUCAGGAUUUGAUAUAUCUUGGGGGUAAUUUGCCAUUAAAACUCUAUAGCAAACCAAGAUUAGUGAGGGCAAAUAAAACCUUAAAGGAAAGUGUGCAAACACGUCUCAAAUCCUAAGAAAUUUUCUUUGUUCUUUGCCUCCAUAUUCUUAAAAUUCACCAACAUUUAUGUCUUGGCAGGGCACGCAAUUGGAUGGGCAGGAAAUUGCUGUGAAGAGGCUUUCGAAGAUUUCUGAGCAAGGAUUGAAAGAGUUAAAGAAUGAAGUUAUACGAUUUUCCAAAUUACAGCACAGAAAUCUUGUAAAGUUUCUUGGCUGCUGUAUUCAGGGAGAGGAGAAAUUGUUGAUUUAUGAAUUCAUGCCCAACAAAAGCCUGGAAUCUUUCAUUUUUGGUCUGGGUCCCUAUAACCUUAAAAUAUUCGGCUAGCUUGUGCCUUGAUUAUAGACUUUUCUUAUGUAUUUUUAGAAAAUUUUGUACUAACAUUAAUGUGGUAAUUUGUAGAUCAAGAAAGAUGUAAGAUAUUGGAUUGGUCCAAGCGCUUCCACAUUAUUUGUGGGACUGCUAGGGGUCUUCUCUACCUUCAUCAAGAUUCUAGAUUGAGGAUUAUACAUCGAGAUCUCAAAGCAAGUAAUGUGCUACUCGAUCAUGAUAUGAACCCAAAAAUUUCAGAUUUUGGUUUGGCAAGAGCUUUUGGUGGAGAUGAGACAGAAGGAAAUACAUACAGGGUGGUUGGAACGUAGUAAGUAUUUCUCAUCAUGUGAUCUUUACAAUUCACUUGCACUGAUUAAUGAAAUUUAACUAAUAUAUUCUAAUCCUCUGAAGUGGUUAUAUGGCACCGGAAUACGCUAGUGCUGGACAAUUCUCAAUAAAAUCCGAUGUCUUCAGCUUUGGAAUUUUAUUGCUGGAGAUAGUAAGUGGAAAGAAAAAUAGAGGAUUUUAUCAUUCCGACAAAAUAGAGGAUUUUAUCAUUCCGACAACAAGCUUAACCCUAUAGGACAUGUAAGUAAAAUGCAUACGACAUUUUCUAACAUAGUUUGAACUAAUAAACUAUAGAUGAUAAAAGAGUUUUAAUAUGUUGUAGGCAUGGAAGUUGUGGAACGAAGGCAUGCCUUCACAAUUAAUCGAUCUGUGUAUUCAAGACUCAUUCAAUCUUGCUGAAGUGAUACGAUGCAUCCACAUCGGUUUGUUAUGCGUGCAACAGCAUCCAGAGGAUAGGCCAAGCAUGCCCUCAGAGAUUUUGAUGUUGGGCAGUGAGACUGUGUUGCCUCAGCCAAAGCAACCCGGUACCUUGGCUGACAGGAAAUCUACCAGACUAGAUUCUUCAUCAAGCAUGCCUGAAUCAUGUUCAACUAAUACAAUUACGAUCUCUGAGUUGGAGAGUCGGUAGAAAAUCUAUUUGUGGUAUCAAGCCUUAUUCUACAUUGUCAAGUGCAAAAGGAGUAAUGUCUCAACCAAAUGGAAAGUUCAGAUAAAUGAUUGGAUAAAAAAUGAUGAGGAUCCUCCAAUGAUUGCAUGUUGUGGAUUUAAAUAGAACGUAGACUAAUGUUUAUAUAGAAAUUGUAAAUUAGAGGUAACGUGAGCAGUGUUGGAUCCAAAAAAAAAAAAAAAUGAUUAACCGAGAAUUAAAUUAAAUAAAAGCAAGACGUUAUAAUUUUUUUAAUAUCAAAUAUUUGCUAAUACAUUUAUGAGAAUAUCUUUGGUGCUUUUGGAGUAUUUUUAUCUAUUUACUAUUUAUCACGUGUGUAUAUAUGUCAUCAUGAUUAGUAGAAGCAUACGCAUGACAAAUAGUAAAUAAAAAAGGAGAAGCUCUCCAAGAGUACCAAGAUUGUUCCUACAUUUUAAAAACCUUGUGGAAUAAACUCAUUAUCAAUACUAUUAAAUACAUCAUUUUCUACAUAAACAACAAAAUUAACAUUCAUCCAUUCUUCUCUCAUUCGAUUUCAGAGUUGAUUGUUCAUGAACUUAAUUGUUGAAAAUGUUCUCUCUACUGUAGUUGUGGGAACCGGAAGAAUUAAAUCUAAGUGUCACCAACAAAUAUAUUAAGUUUGUAACUGAUUGACUUUUAUCUUUUUUAGUCUCAAAGUAUUCUAUUUGCAAAUCACUAAUUCCCUUCAUUCUUACAAACCCACCUGCUUGUUCUUUUCCUAAUAUAACCCAAUCCCUAAUUUUCUUUUAAGAACAAGAAAGAUAAAUUUUGUGAUUGAAGGAGUGGAUAAUUAUUUUUUUUAAUAAAUUUGAAUAUAUUUUUUGCAAUAGAAAAAUGGCUGUGGGUUAUUAUUAUUCUUAAAUAAAGUGUCAGUUUUAUAAUUCAAGUUAAAAUUUAAAUUUUAUUGGUUUAUGAAUGUAUAGAGACUAUUUUAAUAUAUUGAUGAAGGUUAAUUAGAAGCCCAAAUAAUUCUCUCUUUUAUUUUUUUAUUUAUUUUUUAUUUUUUGGUAGCUUGAGACUAUUUUAUUUUUAUUUUUAUUUUUUUAAUUUUAAUAUUUACUCUCUGCUCAGAAGUUGCUGUAUCCUUUCUUUGCAACAUGCUCUGUUCAGGCUUCAAUGUUGUUGGCUUGAAUUGGCAACUGAACUCGAAUCAAUUCUCAUGCAUGGGUUGGGGAAUUUGCUCAACUUAUAAUCGGUAGGUUUAUGCCUCUGAAUUCAGGCAUUGCUUGAGUAGAGUUGGGCUUGCUGAUUCAUUUUAGUGACAAAUGAAAACAUUAAAAAAAAAAUCAGGACUUGUUCGUCAAAAUUUACAGAUAUUUUGUUCUUUAAUUAAUUUUAUUGUAACAAACACAUAUUCAUAGAGAUGCCGAAUUCUCUAUCUUCAUCAUGAUUCCAAAUUGAGGAUUAUACAUAAAGAUCUCAAAGCAAGUAAUGUGUUACUUGAUAAUAAGAUGAACCCAAAAAUUUCAUAUUUGUUUGAGAUAAUACUGUUCACACUAUUCUUUUAAUUUCUUUAAUUAAAAUAACAAAACUAAAUAAAAAUGUAUAAUAUUUAAUAAAAUUAAAAAUUCAAGUAUGUUGCCGCCAAUGCUGAUGAACUACUAGCGAAAGUUCGACGGCAGCUAGCCACAGGUGGCUACUGCAUGACAUCAUCUUUUACGCUAAAAUUGGGUAUCAUUAAAAUUCUCAUUGUCGGGGCUUCACAGUAGUGCCAAAACCUUGGCUGUAGAUCGAUGGUGAAUGAAAAUUCCUUUGCUGAUGAUAGUUGACCAUUGCAUAGCCCUAAUAAUAAUGAUUCUAAUGAUAUCAAAAUAUAGUUCAAAUGGUACUAAAGUAGGAUGGUCAAUGGUGAAAAUUUUUAUUUUGAUUACAAAAUUUUAAAUUAUUAAUUGAAUGUAAAUAAUAAUAGAAUAUAAAUGAAACUUUGAUUAUUAAUUUAACAUAAAUAUUAAAAUAGAAAUUAUUGUUUUGAAUAAUACAAUGCAUGCUACAUCAAACAUCAUAUUGUAUUUCAGCUUAAUACAAUAUAAUAUAAUAUAAUACAAUAUGUCAAACGCACCCAUAAAAAAAAAGUCAAAAUCACAAUAUUAUUUGGUGGGCCUUACCUGCAUUAUCCUCAGUUUACUUUUUGUGUCAAAUAAACAAUAGGCCCCGGAGACUAUCAUGCUAUUGCUUUAGGUUUACAUACAACUACACUGAUCUUGGUAAAGAUGACAGUUUACUUUUUGCAUCAAAUACUAUGUUGGGAUUAAUUUUUUUAUAAAAUUAGUCUAUUCGACUGCCUUUACCUGCAUCCAAACAUACCCCAAUGGUUAACUAUGAGAAAAUUUUAAUAAAGACUUGCAAUUUGUUUACUUGGAAUUGGAAUGGACAAAAAUUGUAAUGAGCUGAAAUCAAAACAGGCUGGAAUUGAUCACAUGAGGAAUAAGAAUCAAAGUAAGUUGUAUACUUGAAUCCAAAUCAACAAUAUUCCAAUUGAUGUAUUUACUUAUGUCUUGUAAUCCAAAUGAGUUAUUACAAGUCAUAAAAAUGUCCUUAGUUCCACUCUUUCUAGACGUCAUGAUGAUAUACGUUUCAUCCAUCUGGUAAGCGAAGGAGUUAUUACAAGUUUAAAAAAAUGUCCUUAAUUACAAUUAUGUAUUUUUCUAUGUAAAAUAAAUAAGCAAACAGUUUAAAAGAAAACAUUGGCAUAUUUAUUAUAAUAUUGAGAGUAAUACAAUGAGUUUUUGAGUAAACUAGUUGUUGUUGUUGUUAUUUUAUAUUGAUAAUAACUACUAUUAAUAUUAUUAUUGUAGGGAAAUUAAACCCCUAACUUCCUAUUAAUUUAAUUCCCUCUUAUUACUAUAAGGGGAACCAAAGUUCAAAUACCAAGUUUUUGUUGUUGGCAGGACUCAAACCUAUGCCCCUCAACUUUCUAGGUAUAGGUUCUCCCAUUAGAUUACAAAGUCAGCUUGUGUUAUUGUUACUACUAAUACUAUUAAGAUUAUUUAAUUAUGUAAUAGGAAUAAAAUCAAAAUUUCAAAAUUUAAGGGAUGGUAAAAUAAUUAGUUCAGAAAAUGAAAAUCGCAUUCCCACCUUCCCAUAGAAAUAAGAUUCUCAUUUCCACCUUCAAAAUUUGGUGGGCCUCGCAAAUUUCAUUCACAUUCUCAAAUAUCAAAUAAGCAAUUAAACAAUGGAAUCAUUUCCAUUCCUCCAUUCUUGACUCCCAUUCCAAGAAGUUAAUAACCUUUAAUAGAACGUUCAAAUGAAAAGACUAGCCAGGCCCAGAGAACUGACAUCGAUCAAUUAUCUCUUCCGGAUUAGAAUUAUAUGUUAUUUAUUUUGUCUUUUUUUUCUAAUUCAUAUAUUGUUGAAAAGUCAAUAUUGGUGAUUUGUUUAUUCAAAUUGGUUGAAAAAAAAGAGGUGAGCCACAUGCAUAAUUGACUUUUGGAGGAGUUAGUAACCGCAUGCAUGAUUUCUUUAAAAAAUGAAGAAUUUUUACAACUUUAUGAAGACGUAUUUGAUGCAAUUGAAGAGUUUUUCAAAAGGUAGAAAUGGUGGCCAAAAUCAUUGAAAUAAUUGCAUGCAAAUUGGAUGUUAGGUGCAAGCUUGGUGCCUAUAAAUAGAGAGCAUUUCUUCAUUCCAUUUCAUCCCAAAAAUUAAUUUGAGAGUUUAAGAGAAAUUGCAAAUGAAGUAAUUUUAGAGUUUUGAGAGUGUGAGCAGUUGGAGAGUGUGUGUGAGAGUACUGAGUGUAUUUAAGUUUUUGGAAAUUGAGGUUUCUCUACUCAAAUUUGUGCGCUAAUAAUUGUUAGUAAUACAAUUAUUUUUCUCUUGUUCCCGUGGACGUAGGCAUACUGCCGAAUCACGUGAAAUUCCGUGUCCUUUAUUUUUCUGUGAUUAUUUGGUGCGUUUGAUUUCGCAUUCCGCGCACAACAUAUAUGAUUACUCUUAAAUCUCAAAAAGCAAAAAAAAAUUCCCAUUAAUAAAGAUCCAUUGCAACUUGUAGACAAAUACAAAAUAGAAAAAUUUGUAUUCCUAGUCCUCUGCCACGUUAAGAGACUAUCAUUUUUCUUACCUAUGAUCGAAGCUUCAUUUGGAGGAUAUGCUGUACAAAUGAUUUAGCUCAUGUGAUUAAUAAAUAUAUACGAUCAUAAUUAAUUUCCAGCUUCUAGGGAAGUUAAAAUCCUUAUUUUUCCAUUUGUGUUUUAAGCAUGGUUUUUUACAAUUUUAUAUUUAAGUUUAAUAAAUUAAAUAGUACGUGUGUAUCAUUUCAUUAUGUUUAUGUUUAUGUCUCUAUCUUUAAUUUUAAGGAUGCUAUAUAUAUUAACUCAUUUUUCUAACAUGAGUAUCUUGCAGCAGGGUUCGAAUAGGAUGACGAUGGGAACAAGAAGACAUGAUUUCUAUUAGAGCAUAUUCGACUGAUUUAUAAAAUUAUACCAAUAUAAAUUCAUUAUUAGUUAGAUGAGAAAUAAGAAAUUCAAUUCUAUAAAUUAACUAAUGUACAACAAAUGAUUUACAAGGAUGACCCAAGUAAACUAUCAGUCAAAGUCAAUGAAUAUAUGCUCGUGGCAAUGUAUAUUCUAUAAAUGAACUCGUGUCAAUUGUGAUCACACUUGGAAUCUCCCCGGCAAAAAAUUUUCCGUUGAUGACAACCGAUUGCAACUUACAGACAGAUACCGAAAAUAUAAUUAGUAUUCAAUGUCCUUUCUGAAGUUCUACACGUAAUUUAGCGAUUUCACAUACAAGUGCGGCUUAUCUGCUCAUCAUUGCUCUGCUCCUUUUUGUUUUUAUUUUUAUUUUUUUGUUUUUUGUUUUUAACUGCUGCUCAUAUCUGCCGGUGGGGUUUUUCGAAAUUAUUGAUUAUUCUUUCCUUUGAAAUUAAUAUAAAAAAAAAGCUCCAUAAUUUUUCUGUGUAAUUUAAAACUAUUGCACGACGUUUUCUAUUCGGCCAUCCAUUAUUUAAUUGAUAACGGCCCAGCAGGCAUAUGGCUAGAAAUUCUCUUCUUCAAUUUUAAUUAGAUUUCAUGUAAACUUUUCUCAGUUCUCAAUGUUUGCGGACAUAAUAAUAAUAAUAAUAAUAAUAAUGUAUUACAUCUCAAAUUGUCUUCAUUAUAAUAUUUGGCCCUAAAACUAAUAAAACUAAUAAAAAUAAAGAGUAUAUAAUAACUUAUUUUGAUAGAUAAUGCUAGAAUUGCCUUUCAAAAAAAAAAAUAUAUUUAGAUUUAGAGGUGCAACUGAAUACAGCACUUAGAUAUUCUAAAGAUAUUAUACUGAAUUUGUUAUUUACUUAUUAUUACAAUUUUGUUUUGUAAUGCUGUCAAGUUUGUUAGAGCAUCUCCAAAAGAUUUUUUAGAUUUUACUCUUCAAAUAUCAAUUUGCUUAUUGAUGUGGCAAAUAAGUGGAUGAAAAAAUACAAUCUUCUCCAAAAGACUCAUCAAAUAAGAAUAAGUUAACAUUAUUUCAAUCAAAUCUUUCCACUAUUAAAUUAAAUUGCUGUUAUGUUUUUGAAGGGAAACAUAAAUAAUAAUUAUUGCAGUCUUAUCUUUUCAAUAAAUAAUAAUAAAAUAUUAAUAGAAGAGGGAGAAACUCACUCGGCAAUAUUGAAGAGUGAGAAACAAAUCUUAUUUGAAAAAUCAAAAUUAACGUAUUUUUUGGAAUGUUUAAUAUUGAUAUGACUCUUCGAAUAAAAAAUAGAAUUUUAUUUGAAAAAUCUUUUAGAGAUGCUCUUAGAGAAGAUAUUCUUAGCCGUUUUUUAAAUUUCUCUAUAACUCGCUUGAAGGAGUAUUUAAAGAAAUGAAUAAAUAAGAAAAGGACAGCUCCCUUAAAUUUAAAAUACAAUUCCUCUAUUUUCUCUAGUCUCUAUUCUUCACUCUUUCUAAUUCUAGAGGACUCCACCCUCUAAAGUGGAAACUAAAAUUCCAGAACUUCCACUUGAAAUCCAAGUUGGAGAAUUUUAAAUGUUCUUUGGCAGAAGAAUUACGAGCUGUACUACUUACCGAACGUUAGUACGCACCUCGAUGGGGGAAACUCUUUUCUUUUUGGCUUUUGGGACUGAUUGUUGGGGAAAAAUCAGGUUUUUAAAAUUUUUAUAAAACCUUUUGAAGAUCGCUCUCAUAUAAUAUAUAAGAAUUUGUAAUCUAGAAAUCGUACCUUGAAAAUCCGAUUUGGCUUUUUCCGUUGAAGUGAUUUAGGCUCCUAGAUCACGAUCCGCCACCACCACUCCUGUUAGAUCACGAUCCGUCACCACCACGCUUGUUAGAUUACGAACUGUCACCAAUGAUCUUCCAGGUUAUGACUCAGGUUCGAUCUGCACUUGACGUGUGGGCGCCUUUAUCACUACCAAAGCAACUAGCACGAGAAAAAUUUUCUCUCAACAAUAGAGAGAAAAAUCUUUUUCUCUGAUCUGUAUAAAGUGGCUACCCUAUUUUCUUUCGAGAAAAUAAGCCUUUUAUAUCACCCUUUAGUGAAAACCCUAGGCUCCAAAUAAUCAAAAAACAAAAACUCACGCUUUUUCUAUAGGUGACCCACCUUGUAAAAUAACAUAAGGCCCCUUACACAAAAGCUAAUUAAAUGGAGCCUCCCACUAAAUGAUAUAUUUAGGCUUUUGACCCAAAUAGCUAGUUAUCUUACUUAUUAGUCCAGUAGUGGUGCAGUCAAUUAAAUGAGCUAACCUAGGGAUCAUUUGGGAACAUACAAUAGUGGCUACAAUAAUUAGGCCUGUAAUUAAACUAGCCCAAUUAUUUAAUUCCAAAUCUACUCCACUAAAAUAUUGGAACUGACUUCCAUAAUUGUAUGCUCGAAUAAUAAUUCGUCCCAAGCCACAUUGAUUUCUUUACUGCACAAUCGUUUGUACCACAUCGUUAAUUAAAUUGAUAUCUCAACUGUCCAAUCAAUUUAAUAACAUCUUAUUCCUUGAUCCUUACUGGUUUUCUCUAAUGAUCAUUUUCAACAUACUAAAUAUGUUGACACACUCUGACCAGAGAAUUCUAUGAUCAAGUGCCGAAAACCCAUCAAGAGAUGUGUUGUACAAAUUCUAUAUUGUUAAUCCAUAACUCCAAUACUCAUAAUUGCUCCCACCAAGAUACCGGGUAAUCUUGACCACAAGGAUGUGUCGUGCCCAUUGGUAACUCAAAUGGAAUAACAAUUACAAUCAUGAAAUCAUAAUUAACUCAAGAUUAAGAUUACAGUAAAAUCAAUGCCUAUGAGAUUUAAUAAGUCUGACAGUUAUUACAAAGUUAAUUAAACCUCAUAUGUGAUCCUGUUCAAUGUAGUCGUACUACAUCAAUAAAUUCAUACAUGAUUAAGACAAAUCAUUCAAUGAAUUUAUUACAGUCUAUACCUAAAUAAAGUGCCCAACUUUAUUUAUCAACUGCGAACUAAAUUUAUUUAAUCAUAAGAUAACUUGUAUUUAUGUCUUAUGUGAAUCCACAUGCUGAUUGUUGAGUGAUAGAAAAUGUAUAUUUAUAAAGGAGAAAAUCGUUAUUUUACACUUCAAGUUUUACUAACACCCUUACUUUUAUGUAUUUAACCUUCUUUUGAUUUAAUUCCGUGUGUUUUAUUUUAAUUAAGUAUUUUAUGUAUUUUAGGGGCAUCAUAGUCAUUUCACAAUGAACGAGAGAUCAGACGGCAAAACAGACAUCAAUUUUGAACUCAGGACGGUCGAAAACCUUAGAAGGAGCAUAAAAGGAAAAAUGGCACUGUUCACAUGUACGGUACUGUCUACGUUACUGUUCACGACACUGUUCAUAUAGAAAGAUCGAUGAUGUGGCAUUGACCGAUGAGGUGUCACAAUCCUGUUGGACUAAAAUUCUUAUGCACUGUUGAUCGAUGACGUGGCAGCAUAUCAGUGGACCAGAAAUAUCGCGUACGGUACAUGCAUUACACAGGAUUAUUUUCAACCAAACCGCGUUACUGUUCAAGCCGGGUCAAACCGUGUUACUGUUCACCCGCGUGGUCAAACCGCGUACUGUUGACUGAUGACGUGGCGCAAUCCUGAGCGUCCAAACUGUUUUUAAUCCGAUGGCUAUGAUUUACUCCAUGUAUCUAUAAAAAGGGGGCCUCCCCCCCCUAAUUUUAUAUCUCUGAAUCCAUUUUUGGACUCCAUUUUCUGUAAUUCAUUCUCUAUCUUGUAUUUUCUACGUAUUUUAAUAAAUUUCCAUUUUGCCCCUAGUUCAAUUAUGAGUGGCUAAUUUUCUUUCAAGCUUGGGUUGAAGGUGAAGUCUUAACAUGUGUCAUGGGCUUUAUUUGGUAAAUUUAUUUUCUCUUCCCCUCUAGUUUUUGUGGAUGUUUUGACUUCUCGUCGACAAAUAAUAAUAAUCUUGUCUAGUACCGCCCUGGUUUCACCGGCUCCCUAGUACAAGGUUAUUAUUAUUUGGCACGAUAAGCCCUUAGCACCAUAUUGAUUAGAGUGUGGUUCAUGAGGUGUGGAUUCCCCCCUCAUGAUUUAAUUGGUAUUAAUAAGGAAUAUUUAGCCCAUGAUGCAUGUUGAUAUGGAUCCAGAUACCCAAGUAUGUCAUUUUAAUAGAUUUCUAUUCAAUUUAUUCUCGCCAUUUAAAUUCCAAUUUUAGGAUAAUCCAAAUCAUUUUCACCACAAAUCCAACCACCUUCAUACAAAAUUAAUUCUACAUAUAAUUAAAAUCCACUUCCUCGUGGGAUCGACACUCGUCACCAUUGAUCUAUACUACAAUAGAUUCGUGCACUUGCGAGUUCAAUAAAAUUUGCACAACAAGUUUUUGGCGCCGUUGCGGGGGAGGUAAGUUAUUUUAAUUUGUAGAAUUAAUUUUUGUGAAUAAUUUCUUUUAUUUGUUUUCUUGUAUUUUUUUUUCUUAUUAAAAAAAAGAAAAAAAGUGAAUCUAUAUUUAGAGGUAAUAAUUUCUUUUAUUUCUCUAUUCUUUACAAUUCUGCAAUUUAAUUUUUAAGUUAUUUUUCUUUGUAAUUUUUUUUAUUAAUUUAUUUUCACGUAUUUUUUUAGUGUGUUUUUAUAGUAAGGUUGUAAUAGCGCAAUAAGGUUAGUAUCGUAAUUUCUCCCUCUUCUUUAUUUUUAUUUGUUUUGUUCCCAUCUUUAUUUUUAUUUUAUUUGUUUUGCAUGCAUGGUCGUAGGUCAUUAUUACCUAAUCUUGAACUUAUAGACCUUGAACUAGAAAAAACACUUCGCGCACACAAGCACGUUAAAAAUAAAUUUGGAAUGGAUUUACAAGCACCACAGGAGAGGCCAUUUAAGGACUAUUUUAGUCCUUCAGCUAACUUGAGCACAUCAUGUAUAAGAUACCCAAAUAUAGCUGCUAGGAGCUUUGAACUAAAAUCUAGUGUGCUAAAUUGUCUCCCCACAUUCUAUGGCUUAGAAAAUGAGGACCCAUAUAAUCAUCUGAAUGAUUUUCAUGCUAUUUGUCAAACAUUUAAAUAUGAGAAUUUUUCAGACGAUGAUAUUAAACUCAUAUUAUUCCCAUUUUCUUUAAAGGAUAGAGCUCGUUCAUGGUUAAAUACUUUGCCUGCUAAUAGCAUUACAUCAUGGGAACAAAUGGUAACUAAAUUUUUGAAUAAAUAUUUCCCAGUGCAUAAAACCAAUGCUAUUCGCAGGGAAAUUUCAGAGUUUACACAGAGAGAAGACGAGCAAUUUUUUGAAACAUGGGAGCGAUUCAAUGGGCUACUCUUGAAGUGUCCACAUCAUGGGUACGAGAAAUGGCACUAAUGCCAAUACUUUUUGGAGGGAUUAUUGCCGAAUGUACAAGAAUGGCUAAUGGCAACAAGUGGAGGAGAGUUAAUGUCAAAAAGUGCAUCAGAGAUUUGGGAAUUCUUCUAGUGACAAGCGGAUAAUUCCCAACAACGAAGUCGAUCGCUUAGGAAUACUAAAAGAAUUAAGGGAGUAAAUGAGGUUCACAUUGGCGAGUCAAGUUCAGAAAUUAAAGAAGUCAAAGCGAUAAUUGAAGGUCUCUCUCGAUAAAUAGCAUCGUUAUCGACUGCUAAAUCAACAGAGUCAUAUGACCAUGACUCAUGCUCAGAUCAAGCUAAUGCCAUAGGUGUAAUGAGAAAACCAUCAAAUUACAACCCAUACUCCAACACAUAUAACCCUGGAUGGAGAGACCACCCCAAUUUUUUAUGGUCUCAAGGAUUCCAACAGAAUGGACCAGCAACUCCAGCUCCACCAAUGCAACAAAUUCCUCAAGCCUCUCAGCCACCAUUUAGACCACACAAUCAAAACCAGAACUACUCUCAACCCAGACCAUGAGAGGAUGCAUUCCAGAAUUUCAAGAAUGUUACUCACUCCACGAUUGAGCAACAGAACCGCACCAUUGAUGGACUACGAAAUGAGUUGAGAGCAGGCUUCAACUCACAAGCCCAAUCAGUUUCAAGCCUUGAGAAGAUGGUGGGACAACUUGCUUCUUCAGUUCAGACUUUGGCAAUGACAAUUGAGAAAGGUAAAUUUCCAAGCCAACAAGUGUCUAAUCCUAAAGGAGUACAUGAAGCAAGUAUCAGUUCACCACAGCAGCAUGGAGAGGUCAAAGCUGUCAUGACCUUGCGAAAAGGAAAAGAAGUCGACAACAAACUGGAGAUGCCGGUGACAAAAGAAAAUCAAAUUGUACCUGUAAAUACUGAGGACUCAUCACCGGAGGAGAAAGAAGAAACCAACCCACGAGAAUAUGUUCCCAAAGCUCCAUUUCCUCAGAGGUUAACUAAAGGAAAGAAGGGAAAUCCACAGGUGAGAUUCUUGAAAUCUUCAAACAGGUAAGUGUUAACAUCCCUUUACUUGAUGCUAUAAAGCAAGCUCCAUCUUAUGCCAAGUUUCUUAAAGACCUUUGUACUAAAAAGAGAAAUAUUCAUGGUCAAAAGAAGACAUUUUUAAUAGAAAACGUUAGUUCUAUACUCCAACAUAAAAUUCCUCUAAAAUGCAAAGACCUAGGCUCCCACACUAUCUCAUGUAGCAUAGGGAACCACACAAUUGAGAAUGCUUUGUUGGAUUUAGGAGCUAGUGUAAAUCUGUUGCUUUACUCAGUAUUUUUGAAACUUGGACUUGGAGAAUUACACCCAACUUCAGUGGUGUUACAGCUUGCAGAUCGGUCCACGAAAAUACCUCGUGGUAUUGUGGAGGACGUGCUUAUCCAGGUAGACAAGUUUUAUUUUCCGGUUGAUUUUAUUGUAAUUGACACUCAACCAAUACAGGAUUCAAGGAAGCACAUCCUCAUUAUCCUCGGCCGACCUUUCUUGGCAACUGCGGAUGCUCACAUUCAAUGCAGAACUGAAAAUAUGCAGUUGUCCUUCGGCAACAUGACUAUGGAACUGAACAUCUUCAACAUUGCCAAACAACCUCAUAAUGCAGAUGAUGAAAUUGUUGAUGUGGAUUUAAUUGAAGCAUUAGUUGAUGACACUUUUCUUUCAAACCUUAGUGAUGAUCCUUUACAAACAUGCUGAACUCACUUUGGUUUGGAUUUUGAUAUUUACAGAUCAGUCGAUGAGGUCAACUCCCUGCUUGACUCAGCACCAUCCAUGGACACUAAUAAAUGGAAGUCAAGAGUUGAAUAACUAGAACCAUCAGAAAAGAAACUUAUCCCAUCAUCAGAAUCACCACCGAAACUCGAGCUCAAACCAUUACCCAACACUUUGGAAUAUGCAUUUUUGGGAGAAGAAAGUACUCUACCGGUAAUCAUCUCAUCAUCCUUAAAUGACGAACAAAAAGGUAAGUUGUUGGAUAUUUUCAAAGAGCACAAAGGAGCAUUAGGAUGGAUUAUAGUAGACAUCAAAGGUAUAAACCCAGUAGACUGCAUGCAUUACAUUCACCUCGAUGAAAAUGCUAAAUCUACUAGGGAAAUGCAACGUCGGUUAAAUCCUAAUAUGAAAGAAGUUGUUAGAACUGAAGUCCUUAAGCUAUUAGACGCAGGUAUCAUUUACCCAAUUUCUGAUAGUUCAUGGGUCAGUCAUGUACAAGUUGUCCCUAAAAAGUCAGGAGUCACAGUAGUUACCAAUGCUGAUAAUGAAUUGAUACUAACUAGAGUAACUACAGGAUGGCGUGUAUGCAUUGAUUAUAGAAAAUUGAAUUUUGUCACACGUAAAGACCAUUUUCCUUUACCAUUUAUUGAUCAAAUGCUUGAUAGAUUAAUAGGCCAUGAAUUUUAUUGCUUUCUAGAUGGCUACUCAGGAUAUGAUCAGAUUUCCAUAGCAUCAAAAGAUCAAGAGAAAACCACUUUCACUUGCCCUUUUGGCACUUUUGCAUAUAGGAGGAUGCCAUUUGGAUUAUGUAAUGCACUUGCUACAUUUCAACGAUGCAUGUUGAGCAUUUUUUCUGAUAUGGUUGAACGAUUCCUUAAAGUCUUUAUGGAUGAUUUUUCUGUCUUUGGUGACUCGUUUGAUCAAUGUUUACAUCAUCUAACAUUAGUUCUGCAGAGAUGUGUCAAGAAGAACUUAGUCUUAAAUUGGGAGAAGUGUCAUUUUAUGGUAAAACAAGGUAUUGUUCUCGGUCACAUCAUUUCAAGCAAAGGUAUUGAGGUUGACAAAGCCAAUGUGGAUCUCAUUUUUAAUCUUCCUCCACCCAAAACAGUCAGAGAAGUAAGAUCUUUCCUUGGGCAUGCUGGUUUCUAUAGACGUUUCAUUAAAGAUUUUAGCAAAGUUUCUAGACCCUUAUGUAAUUUACUUGCUAAGGAUGUACCAUUUAUCUUUAAUGAUUCAUGUCUUGUGGCUUUUGAAAAAUUAAAGCAAUCGUUGACAUCAUCACCCAUCAUUCAGCCCCCAAACUAGAGCUUACCAUUCGAGCUUAUGUGUGAUGCAUUCGAUUAUGCAGUAGGAGCAGUAUUAGGACAAAGAGUUGAUCGAAUUCCCCAUGUUAUUUACUAUGCUAGUAUGACAUUGAAUGAUGCACAGUUGAACUAUUCAACUACUGAAAAAAAAUGCUAGCAGUAGUGUUUGCAUUGGAAAAAUUUCGAUCUUAUCUCAUUGGUUGUAAAAUAAUUAUAUUCACAGAUCAUGCUGCUAUUAAAUAUCUUCUCACAAAGAAAGAUGCAAAAGCUAGACUAAUUCGUUGGGUGUUACUUUUGCAGGAGUUCGACUUGGAAUUUAAAGAUAAGAAAGGCACAGAGAAUGCUGUAGCUGACCAUCUCUCUCGUCUCCAUUUUGACACAAUUAUGGAAUCAUUACCAUUGAAUGAGUCAUUCCCAAAUGAACAAUUGAUGAGUGUGGAAGUAUUACCAUAGUAUGCUGAUAUCGUUAAUUAUCUUGUUACAGGUCAACUUCCAGAGCAUUGGACCAAGCAAGACAAGGCUAAAUUCUUUGCGGAAAUAAAGAAUUUCUUUUGUGAUGACCCGUAUUUGUUCAAGUAUUGUGCAGAUCAAAUUGUUAGACGAUGUGUCCUAGAAAGUGAAAUUCAAAAUAUCCUUUCAUUCUGUCAUGAACAAGCUUGUGGAGGCCAUUUCAGUGCUAAGAAGACAGCUACUAAAGUUUUACAAUGUGGUUUCUAUUGGCCAACUAUAUUUCGAGACGCUUACACUUUCUGUUCUUUAUGUGAUAGGUGUCAACGAAUAGGGAGCAUUACACGAAGGAACAUGAUGCCACUAAAUUCAAUUUUAGUGGUUGAGAUUUUUGACGUAUGGGUUAUCGACUUCAUGGGACCCUUUCCCCCUUCUUUUGGCCAUCAAUACAUAUUGGUUGCUGUUGACUAUGUAUCAAAAUGGGUAGAAGCAAUUCCAUGUAGAACCAAUGAUCAUAAAGUGGUGAUAGGAUUUUUGAAAAGUAAUAUUGUUUCACGCUUUGGAUUCCCUCGAGCAAUAAUCAGUGAUGGUGGUGCCCACUUUUGUAACAAAGCAUUCAAAGCUCUUUUGACAAAGUAUUCAAUCACUCAAAAAGUGGCAACCCCAUAUCAUCCGCAAACCAGUGGCCAAGUUGAGAUCUCCAAUCGAGAAAUAAAGCACAUAUUAGAAAAGAUGGUGAGGCCGGACAGAAAAUAUUGGUCAUUAAGACUUGAUGAUGCAUUAUGGGCAUAUAGAACAACGGCUUUCAAGACCCCGAUUGGGAUGUCACCCUACAGGCUAGUGUAUGGAAAAGCUUGCCACCUAUCUGCAGAACUCGAGCAUCGUGCAUAUUGGGCUAUCAAGAAAUUCAACUUUGACAUGCAGCAAGCCAGCUCAGAAAGAAGAUUACAGCUGGGAGAAAUUGAAGAAAUUCGCAAUGAUGCAUACGAAAAUGCCAAGAUUUACAAGCAACGAAUGAAAGUCUUCCAUGACAAGCAAAUUAUGAGAAAAUCUUUCACUCCAGGUUAGAAAGUGCUUUUAUUCAAUUCUCGCUUGCACCUAUUCCCAGGUAAGUUACGCUCUCGAUUGUCUGGCCUCUUUAUUGUUCAUACUAUUUUUCCACAUAGGGCAAUUAAAAUAAAAGACCCAAAGAACGGUGUUACGUUUAAAGUUAAUGGUCAAAGAUUAAACCCAUAUCUAGAGUACCAACCACAUGGAGAAGACACCGAAAUAAAUUUGAGUGACCCACUAGAUUUGAAUUGAUUUUUUUUUCUUUUCGGUGAUUUGAUUUUUUUUCUUUCUUUUUAUUAUUUUUUAUUUGCUAAUUGAAAUUAUUUUUGUAAAAGUGUGUUUGUUUAACCAUUAAGUUUUUUUUCUUAUCAUUGUUAAUCAUGAGUACCAUGCUUAAACCGUUCCUCCUGAACAUUCUUAAACCACUUCAACGUGUAAAAUCUCAUCUCAAAAGGCAGAUUCAAUUUUGUAAAACACAUCGCAUUUGGGCUCUGCAACCACCAGAGUUAGUAUCCUAUGUUAAGGGUUUAGAAAGCCAACUCAGAGACAUUGAGAGAAGUGUUUAUGACAUCCAGUUGGAGCUUGAGGUAAAUUCAAUAAGAGGACGAUUUUAAUUUUCUUUGUGUGUUUUAAUUUGUUUUUCUGUUUGUGUGCUUUAGUUUGUUACCCCGGUGAAGUGACGGAUAACGGUACUCCGUGACAAUCAAGUCGGUUACUUCAGUUUCCCAUAAUAACUGAUAUUCUGAGGCGAAGGUAUGGACAGAAACGAGAUUCUAGCGAAACUUCACAAGCGAUUCCCUUCACUUCCUCAGAAUGCCCUCCUUACAAUCUAUAAAGCCCGGUUCGAACGCAUGUGAUUGCUCAUAAGGAAUAACAUACCUGCUGACAUCCGUUGGUUAAUCGAGGCUAAAGUAUGAUUGGCAGGUGAGUUACCUCCAAAAUUUAUUGCAUACAUGCCUGAUUGUGGUAAAGGAAAUUAUGCAAGAAAACAACGAGCUCGAAGAAUUUCUAUUGCUUUUCAUAAGUGUGCCAGAAUGAGUUGCGAUAAAAACCCAUGUUCUUUAGGAAUGGUGUCUGAUAACAAGGAAGAUAAGAUUCAAUUCAUUAGGGAUGGCUUGAAUAAGGAGUCAUUGGAUGAUAUCCUUCUGUCUCUUGAAACGCAUCCCAGUGGAUAUGUGCAAGGAGCGAUUCUCCAGUUAUGGCCAUUAUUCCAGAAAGAGCAUGCACGAUAUAGUCUCGGGAAUCUGACUAUAAACGAUCUUGUUUGCCAGUUUAUAAGAAAACUGGAUGGGAAGCCCAUCCUCGACCCAUAGAGGGCGUUCAAGCCGUUUCUGGACGUAAAACCAGAGGAAGAUAUAAGCCACAGUCGCAACUACCUAUAAAUAUCCUUUUACUUCACUGCUAUUUUAUUUCACUGUUGUUUUAUCUUUUCCAUUAUUGUCAUUAAUAAUUUUAUUUGACCAUUGUUUCUUUUUCUUUUUACUGUUUUCUUUUUGACUCGCGAGCCAUGUGCUUUACGCGUUAUUUGACACUGACAUGCCAUCUCAUACACAGUUGUGACCCACUGUCACCAAGAUUCUUAAAUAAGACUUUUUGUUAAGCACUCACAAAUUGUUUUUGAGAAAUAUUCCAAUGGCAGUUACUCCCAAUAGACAAUUCAAGAACAUUUGUGUGCUUUCUGGAUUUAACUAUGGCAAACAUAAAGAGUUCGUUGAGGCAGCCGUAGAUCUUGGUCGAAGCAUAGCAGAGAGAAAAUUACACUUGGUGUAUGGAGGAGGUAACCGAAGGUUAUCAAAAUUGGUUUCAGAAGCUGCUUUUGUCAGAGGAAGCCAAGUGUUAGGCAUCAUCCCAAGAGUCUUAAAACCUUUGGGCAGUUUGUCUGACUCACCGACUGGAGAAGAGUUAGUCGUCUCAGGUAUGCAAGAAAGAAUAACUGAAAUGCUUAAUCAUGCUGAUGCUUUUAUUUUCCUUCCAGGAGAUCGUGCAACACUAGAGGCACUUAUCACACUAGCAUCUUGGGCCCAUCUGCACAUUCACCAGAAACCCAUUGGUUUGUUAAAUGUCAAUAAUUUUUAUGAUGGCUUUAUCGCAUUUCUUAACCAUGCAAUAAAAAACUAUUUCGUUCAUUCCAAUGCCAAAAAGCUUUUUAUUUGUGCUCACACUGCUAAUGAGCUACUUGAUAUGUUACAAGCUUAUAGAUCGGAGCCAAACCCCUGGACCUUUGUGUUAGAGCGUCCAAAUAAUGAUGGUAACAGUAGCCGCAGUAAGAAGUACAAAUUAGAUUUAACUCUCCACUUGUAAAUAUUUUCUUCUGUGUUGCACCACCCAGGUGAUGUCUUCUAAACUCUACUUCUUUCCUUUCAAACAUUGAGGACAAUGUUUCGUUCUGGUUGGGGGGAGGGAAUAGUCGACAAUUGUGGAAUCUUGGUUAAGUUUUUACUAAUUUUUUGUUGUAGAAACUAACUGUUGCUAACUUUUUGUGUUGAAGAUGGCUGAAUAUGGAGUGUAGUGACUCUAGAAACGCAUUUUCAUCGUUUGAAAAAAAAAUUCAAAAAAAAUUCAAAAAAUUCAGACAUUUUCUUUUUCUUUAUUAAGUUUUGAUGUUCAUUUUUCUUCUUCUUUUUUAAUUUCUUCUUUAUAAAUAUACAUUUUUAAAUAUUUGAGUCGAAGAUGGCUGAAUUGGAGUAUAGUGCUUCUAGAAACGCAUCUUCUUAGUUAAAAAUAAAAAAUUAAAAAAAAACAUUUCUUUUUCUAUCAUUUUAAAUGUAACUUUUCUAAUUAAUUUUUCUGCAUCAUUUUCACAUUUCUGCAUACAUAUUUUCCUUUCAUGUUUAAAAUAUGUUGGGGGGUAGAAUGUUGUUUUAAAAUAAAAAUUGUGUGAUUUGUUUUAACAUUGGAUGACAUGAUUCAUUUCAAAUUUUAAUAUUUGUAUUAUCUUUGGUCUUAAGUGAUGUUACACUAUGUUUGCUACUCUACAUGUUGAUGUCGAAGACAAAUAUAAGUUGCUUGAAGGAAUGAACAUGUCAUAAUAAGUACCAAGUGAGUUUUUGAGCCUAUCCUUUUUCUUGGAGAGUAACCCUUUUGCCCAUUCUUUAUACAGCUUAGCAGUUUAUUAUUGUAUACACGAUCUCUAGAUUUCUUUUGAGUUAACCCUUAAAAAAAAAAAAAUGUGUGUUACUACAUUUGGAGGCCCAUCUAACUAGUAGAUAUGGAAGGUUAUUUAGAACCCUAAAAGACGAUGAAAAGGCCAUCUUUGAUCCGUUUGAGCCUUUCUAGCCAUCCAUUUUAUCAAAUAUCCAUAGUUAACCAUUUUGAGCCUUAAAAAAAAAAAAACUUUUCUUUGUCAAACUUAUCAUCUUGACCCACUCCGAUUUGGAGUAUUACCCAAUAUCUUACAAGUUCCAUCACCUAUUUAUGUUUGAGAAAAAUGUAAAUAAAUAUUUUGUAUAGUGAAGUAAUGCUAAAAAAAAUUGUUAUUUUAAAAAAAAGAAGAUGAAGAAAAAAAAAUAACAAUAAUAGGUGAAAUCCACCUUGCAACUUCCAAAAAAAAAAAAUUCCUCUGUAUUUUUCUCAAACAUACACUUCGUUUUCCUUAUUUUCCUUCUUUGUUAACCAUGUCCCUAGCCUACGUUACGUCCUAAUAAAAGUCCUUCUUGAUUUAGGGAACUAUAGUCUGAAGUAGAAGCUAGUUAUAUGGGCUAAAAAAAUAUAGUGGUGCAUAAAAAAAAUAAUAAUAAUAAAUAAAUUGGGUUGACUAGCAUUUUUAUUUGACUUGAGAUCGUAUUAUUUCUAAGCUGAGGGCAUAUUUCUUUCAUCUUGGUGAGAGCAUGUGAUAUCAUUUUUUUUUAUUAUUUUCUCUUAAUUACCAUUCAUUGGAGUGACUAUUUUUAUUGGGUUUAAUUUCUUUGUGAGAGUGUCACUACUUCCAGUGAGAUUUUGGGGUUUGACAUGUCAUUCUUGAAGGUAGCUAUGACAAAGUCUACUAGGCUGAUUCAUGUGGAUGGUUGAUGUGGGUGUGAUGUUUCUUUAGACUUGAGAUAAUGCUUAUACUUUUAUUUGAUUGUUAUCAUUAGUCUGAUUGAAUAAACAAGAGUGUUUAAAAAAAAAAUCAUUUUGGAUGUGAAUUUUGUUUUCGCUUUAUUUGCUAGGGACUAGCAAUAAGCUGGUUGGGGGUGUGUUGAGUGUUAGAAAAUGUAUAUUUAUAAAGGAGAAAAUCGUCAUUUUACACUUCAAGUUUUACUAACACCCUUACUUUUAUGUAUUUAACCUUCUUUUGAUUUAAUUCCGUGUGUUUUAUUUUAAUUAAGUAUUUUAUGUAUUUUAGGGGCAUCAUAGUCAUUUCACAAUGAACGAGAGGUCAGACGGCAAAACAGACAUCAAUUUUGAACUCAGGACGGUCGAAAACCUUAGGAGGAGCAUAAAAGGAAAAAUGGCAUUGUUUACAUGUACGGUACUAUUCACAUGUGCGGUACUGUCUACGUUACUGUUCACGACACUGUUCAUAUAGACGGAUCGAUGAUGUGGCAUUGACCGAUGAUGUGGCAUUGAAUGAUGAGGUGUCACGAUCCUGUUGGACUAAAAUUCUUAUGCACUGUUGAUCGAUGACGUGGCAGCAUAUCAGUGGACUAGAAAUCUCGCGUACGGUACGUGCAUUACACAGGAUUAUUUUCAACCAAACCGUGUUACUAUUCAAGCCGGGUCAAACCGUGUUACUGUUCACCCACGUGGUCAAACCGCGUACUGUUGACUGAUGACAUGGCGCAAUCCUGAGCGUCCAAACUGUUUUUAAUCCGAUGGCCAUGAUUUACUCCAUGUAUCUAUAAAAAGGGGGCCUCCCCCCCUAAUUUGAUAUCUCUGAAUCCAUUUUUGGACUCCAUUUUCUGUAAUUCCUUCUCUAUCUUGUAUUUUCUACAUAUUUUAAUAAAUUCUCAUUUUGCCCCUAGUUCAAUUAUGAGUGGCUAAUUUUCUUUCAAGCUUGGGUUGAAGGUGAAGUCUCAACAUGUGUCAUGGGCUUUAUUUGGUAAAUUUAUUUUCUCUUCCCCUCUAGUUUUUGUGGAUGUUUUGACUUCUCGUCGACAAAUAAUAAUAAUCUUGUCUAGUACCGCCCUGGUUUCACCGGCUCCCUAGUACAAGGUUAUUAUUAUUUGGCACGAUAAGCCCUUAGCACCAUAUUGAUUAGAGUGUGGUUCAUGAGGUGUGGAUUCCCCCCUCAUGAUUUAAUUGGUAUUAAUAAGGAAUAUUUAGCCCAUGAUGCAUGUUGAUACGGAUCCAGAUACCCAAGUAUGUCAUUUUAAUAGAUUUCUAUUCAAUUUAUUCUCGCCAUUUAAAUUCCAAUUUUAGGAUAAUCCAAAUCAUUUUCACCACAAAUCCAACCACCUUCAUACAAAAUUAAUUCUACAUAUAAUUAAAAUCCACCUCCUCGUGGGAUCGACAUUCGUCACCAUUGAUCUAUACUACAAUAGAUUCGUGCACUUGCAAGUUCAAUAAAAUUUGCACAACAGUGAUCACAUAAAUACAUAUAAUAUGAUUAAAUAGACUUUAAUACAAAUAUUAAUGCAAUUAAGAUAUUUGAAUAAAAUAUCUCAUUUAUUUUAUUAAUCAGAAAAAUUAUUUAUUACAAUUAAAUAAACACAUAUGCUUUUAAAGAGCAUAUUUUCCCAACACUGAUACCGUGGCCCUAGUGGAGGUUGGGCUUAAUACACAAAGGAUCAUUUGGUACUAGCAGAAAGAAAAUCAGGAGCCCUUGGAGGUGGAUAGAGAUUUGAUUGAAGAAAAAAGAUAAAACGUAGCAGAAAGAUUAGUAGCCUACCAGAAAAUGAUCGCCAAGUAUUAAAACACCAGAGUUAAAAUACGAGGGUUUCAACCUGGACACCUAGUACUAAAGAAAGUAGAAACAAUAUGGGUAGAGGAAACCCUAGGCCCUAAUUGGGAAGGCCUAUACAUGGUUAUAAAGUAAGUAACUCCAGGAACGUAUAUUCUGGCGGAAAUAAAUGGAAAGCGGUUAACUCAAUCUAAGAAAGCAGAACAUCUUAGGCGUUACUAUGCGUAAGAACGGAACAAUUUUUUUUCCUUAUUUAUCACUUUUCUCUUAUGAUCUGCUUUUUGAAGAUGGUUAGUUGAGAAGUUGUCAAGUUUGAAAUGUUAGAUCUAAUAAGCUUGUAGUUGUUUACAUGUCGGCUUUGGACCCCAAAUUGAUACCGCUAAUAUUAGGUGGUCCACCACAAGCAAGAGGAAAAGUCUUUUAUGUUAUUGUCAGUUGUUUGUUAUUCAUGUCUUUGAACCCCACACUAGCAUUACAAACAUUAACUGGGCCAGUUCAAGCUAGGGGGAAGUCUGUCUUCAAAUUUUAUAAAAUAAAUGUUCAUGCACAUUUUGUCAUUUUUUGUAUGUUCAUACAAUUUCACACUUUACAUCAAAAUUUUACCAUAAGAUGUUGCAUGGUACCCCAGAACAAAAGCAAGCAGACAAGAUUCAAAACGCCUUACAAGGCAAGAAUAAUGUUGCCUUUGAGGCAUGAAAAAUACAGCCCUACAAGCCAAGAAAUCAAAACGCCUUACGAGGUAGGAAUAAUGCUGCUCUUGAGGCAUGAAAAAUACAGCCUACGAGGCAAGAAAUAAAAAAUGUCUUACGAAGCAUGAAUAAUGCUGCCCUUGAGGUAUAAAAAAUACAGCCCUACGGGACAAGAAAUCAAAAUGCCUUACAGGACAUGAAUUAUACUGCCCUAAUCGAGGCCGGAAUCAUAUGGCCAUAUCGAGGCCGGAAUCAUAUUGCCAUAAUCAAAGCAUGAAUUAUUCUACCUUAAUCAAGGUAGGAAUCAUUUUGCUCCAAUUAAGGCAUGAAUUAUACUGCACUAAUCAAGGCAGGAAUCAUAUUAUCCUAAUCAAGGCAUGUGUUGUGUAAAUUUUAUUGAACUCGCAAGUGUACGAAUCUAUUGUAAAAUAAAUCAACGGUGACGAGUGUCGAUCCAAUGAGGAGGUGAAUUUUAAUUGCGUGUAAAGUUAGGUUUCUAAGUGGGUGGUUGGAUUUGUGGUGACAGUGAUUUAGACUAUCCUAAAAUUUAAAUUAGAAUGACGGGAAUAAAUUAAAGUAAAAAUUAUUAAAAUGAAGCGUUUGUGUCUCUGGAUCUGCACUCAACAUGCACCAUGGGCUUAAUAUUCCUUAUUAAUGCCAAUAAAAUCAUGAGGGGGGUUUCCACUCCUCAUGAACCUUACUCAAAUAAAUAUGGUGCUAAGUGCUUAUCAUGCCAAAUAGUAAUAACAUUGCACUAGGGAGACAGUUAUACUAGUGCAAUAUCUAGAUAAGAUUAUUAUUAUUUGCUGAUGAAAAGUCAAAACAUCCACAAAAAUCAAAGGGGAAGAGAAAGUAAAUUUACCAAAUUAAGCCCAUGGAACUGUUAGCCUAAAGGGCUACACAUAAUGUAAUUUUGAUGAUAACAAAUAUGUGUAUUAAGUGAUUUAAUAAAUAUUAUAUUUCACAUUUUUACUAAUUUUUUAAGGGUAAUAUUUAUGCAAGUGAAUCAAGUGAAAUCAAGGUCAAGACACUCAAUGGACAACGGCGAAAUUAAGAAUAAAGUUUAGAGCUCAACGGACAAAUUAUUGUGAUAAAUUCUUGUAAAGCCGGUAUGAUUUAAUUGAUGCAUGAUUUAGCAUUUGAGAAGCUCAAGAGAUUUAUUUAAAUAAUUACUUUUCAUAAACUAAAAGGUUUUAUUUUUAUAAGGUAAAGUAUUUUGUGGAUUUGAGUAAUUUGGACUUAAAUGAAAAGUUUUGCAAUCUUUGAUUUUAAUAAGUAUUAUUUUGAAUUUCAAAGUUGGACCUUUUUGCAAACAUUUGAAAUGUUUUGGGCCAUACUAUAAUUUAUGAACAUUUUUUACUAAAGUGAAAGGUUUUGAGAACUUUGGAAAAUAUAGGUAUUAUGUUAAAUUUUAAGUCCAAAAGCCUUGAAAAAUAUGGAUAAUCUCUUGAUUGUAAAGGUUCAUUGACACCUUGAAAGUCAAUUGUAAGAACUUGAAGCUUUGGGAGGUUUGGAUAGUGAAAUCCUCGAGCUUGGUUGGCUUGGAGGCGUGGACGUAGGCGGAAAUUGCCGAACCACGUAAAAAUCCGUGUGUUUAUUUUUCUCUUCCCUUACUCUUUUAUUUUUAUGCUUGUUUGAAUUUAUUGUUUUCUAUUCCAUUAAGGCGUUAGAUUGAUUGGUUGUGCGAAUUGUAUUGCAUAAUUUUUAAAAACUCAAUUCACCCCCCUCUUGGGUUGCGUAACUUGCAUUUCAAGAACAUGUUGAGACUUUACUUUCAAUCCAAGCUUGAAAGAAAAUUAGCUACUCAUAAUUGAACUAGGGGUAAAAUAAAAAUUUAUUAAAAUACGUAGAAAAUACAAGAUAGAGAAGGAAUUGUAGAAAAUAGAGCUCAAAAAUGAAUUUAGGGGUGCCAAAUUAGGGGGGAGCCCCUUAUUUAUGAUACAAUGAGUAAAUCAUGGCCAUUGAAUUAAAACAAUUUGGACGCUUAGGAUUGCGACACGUGGUAAGUUCUGAUUGGAUAGAACACAUUAUCAAGGCUGUCAUUCCGUGUAUAUGCAUGUACUGUACGUAUGUUUUUCGGUCCACUUACAUACUGCCACGUCACGGUCAAUGCCAUAUCAGCAUUUUAGUCCAAUAGGAUCGUGACACAUCAUCGGUCAAUGCCACAUCAUCAGUUAACGCCACAUAAGCAGUCAAUGCCACAUCAUUCGUCCAAUCGAAUACUGCCACGUCAUCGGUCAGUGCCAUGUCAUCGAUCAGUGCCACAUCAUCGUAUUGUAUAUGUGAACAGUGUCGUGAACAGUACUAUGAACAAUACCGUACAUGUGAACAAUGUCAUUUAUCUUUUUAUGCUCCUUUUAAGGUUUUCGACUGUCCUGAGUUCAAAAUUGCUAUCCGUUUUGCUAUCUGAUCUCUCGUUCAUUAUGAAAUGAUCACGAUGCCCCCUAAAAUACAUAAAAUAUUAAUUAUAAUAAAACACACUUAAUUAAAUCAUAAAAGACUUAAAUACAUAAAAAUAGGAUGUUAGUGAGACUUAGAGUGUAAAAUGACGAUUUUCUCAUUUAUACAUAUACACUUUUUAGCACUCAACAGCAUGCAUUAUACUGCCUUAAUCAAGGCAGAAAUCAAGGUGUGAGUUAACCAGCCUUACGAGUCACGGAUUGAGCAAAUCUACAAGGCGCAAAAUAGACAGUCAUCUGAAACACGAAUUAAAUAACCCUCAGAGGCAUGAACUAUGUAAUUCUUCUAGGUGCGAAUUAUACCACCCUAUAAGACAUGAGUUACGCCACACUCUGAAUCGUGUUAAAAGAAACAGUACUACCAACCGUGAUCUGUUACGGCCUAAAUAGAAAGUAGGUAACCACAAAUUUUCACUAUCUGGCCGACAUGUAGAUAGUAAUGAGUUACUACUGUCUGGAUAAAAGAGUAGGCAAUCAUAGAUUAUUCCAAUUUUGACGCAUUAAUGGGCACAAGUUGCUCAUACAAGAAGAUAUGAAUAAUUAACAUUUGAAUGACCAUAUGAGUCAGUACGAAUCUCUACCACCUAAGCAUAAUUCACAGUCAGUUUAACAGCAGAGCAAGUAAACGCGAGUUAUUGCCACUUGAAUGAUUCCAGCUUACUUGGAGGAACAUCAAUUAUAGGGGUCAGAAAAUAACUCAUGCUAGACAAUGAAGCACAAGACGAAGGCAAAAACACCAUCAAAGUUAAAUAUAGGAAAUUGAAAACAGCCCAAAAAGAGAACAUUACAUGCCAAAAGUACCAGAUGGCAGUAAAGUAAUACAUAAAAUAUAAAAAAUUUAAAUAGAAUUAUUGAAUGUUCAAAGCACCAGUAAAGGAGGUUAAAUCGGCCUUAGCUAACUUUGGGAUAUCACUUGGGUAGAUAGCGGCCAAAGGGGGGAUGUUCAAAGAAGAUUCACCCCCUCUUCAUUUGUUUCUCUACUAACAGGUCUAGAAGUAAUAGCAGUAUCCACAGGAAAAGUGGGCUGAGGUGGAACAUGAGCUGGUUCGUCUUGCUGACCAGUUGGCUUAUCAUCACUAUCUCUAGCCAACUUGUCCUCUGGAGACAGGUCAAAGUCGUCCACUAGGGGAGUCUUAGAAUAAUAAUCAUCCAUGAACUUCAAAUCCCAUUUAGAGUGAUGGUCCUUCAUAACUUUCUUGCAAUCUCGACCCCAACAAAGAAUUCCACAUCUUUUACCUGCUUGAAUUCAGCCGAUUGGAGGUAAGCUUCGAUAUGGGUUUGAUAAUUGUUCUGAAGCUGUUGCCUCAAACAAGCUAUCUCUUCAUCCUUGUUCUUGAUCACCCCGCUACUGAUACUAUGCUCUAAUUUAAACGACUCAUGUACAGACUUGAAGGUUGAAAGUUUGGUCCUCAACUGGAUUAUUUCGCCUGCAACUUUGUUUUUCUCGUUCCUAGCUUUUGAGCAUUCAUUUUCUGAAUCACAAUACAGAUUGUAUAGCCAGGAGUGAAAGCAUUGAAUCCAAGAGUGUAAUUAUCAGGAGUAUAGCCAGAAGUAAAGGCAGGAUCUGAAUACACCACAUUUCCUUGAAAAGCAAAAUUUCUUGUCAUGUAGGUCCAAGACCUCUGCCAAACCAUUAAAUGAUCUGCCUCUGCCAUACUAUCGUUGUCUAAAACCUCCAUUGAAAUUUCCUCCGCCAUAGUUCUUUUAACGUACAAAGAAGAAUUAUAUGUGUUAUUGCACCUAUUUGCUCCAUGUUCAGGGAUGAGGUAUAUUUGACAGAGAAUGUCAACUGGCAUGAGAAUUUCCUCCACCAAUGAAUUUUCCAAAUCCAUUAUUAUUAAAUCCACCAUUUAAGCCACCAAAUUUGAAUUAUUGCCACCUCCAAAAUUACCUUCAAAAUUUCUCUGAACUCCACCACUGUUCUUUCCAGAAUAUGAACCUUUUUUAGCUACAUUUGCAGUCAUAUAAUGCAUAACAUCACUAGCAAUUUCACCUUUCAUUUGCUCAGUUCGAUUUUCAUGAUUCAGAAGUAUAGAAAUACAAAUCAUGUAAGGUGAUUGUUCCUUCUCUGGCUAGAACAACAGUUAUCAAAGAUUCAUAAUCAAAGAAGCCAAGGGCAAUCAACACAUGCAUAACAAAAUCAUUCAAUUCAAUUGGCUUUAAAGCUAAAGAUAGUGUGUCUGCUAUACGUUUGAUUUUAGUAAAGUAAUCAGCCAUAUUCAUAAGUCUUUUCUUAAUAGUCUAAAUUUGCAUUCUCAGAGUUUCGAACUUGAGAUUUCGAGAUAAACAUACUGUUAAGUGAUUCCCAAAGUUACUUUGAAAUUGCACAAUUGAUUACUAUUAAAAGCAAGCUUUGCUGAAUAGAUGACAUCGUCCAACUUAGAAAAAGUUGAUCAACUUUUAUCCACGCUGUAAGCACAGGAUUUACAGAUCUAGAUCCACUUUCAACUGAGGCUCUAGCUCCGUUACUGCUCUCAGGUCCGCUCUGGACAGUUUUGAUCUCCAUUAAUGAAGCCUUCUAAUCCAUUUCCUUUAAUUGAAGCUAAGACUUGUGUAUGCCACAUAAUGAAAUUAUUUUGAUCGAGUUCAGCAUGUGUAGCAAAGCUAUAAGAUGAACUAGUUUGAGUCAUGCUUACCAUUGUUGGCUCUGAUACCAUGUUAAAAUCUUAAGAAACUGUGUUUAGCAAGCAAGAAAACUAAAAAGAAUUGAAAGAAAAUUCAGAAUAGAAACUUGUAGAAGCUUCUCAUCAGAAUUGAUUAGAAUGAGAACAGCUUACAUUUAUAUAGCGUGCUAAAAUGAUUUGCUAUAAGUUGUUAAUAAUUUGUCAUACACAUGUGCAUUAAGCCAAACCAAUUAACUAACUAUGCCACAUCAACUAAGUGAGCUAUUUUGCUGCUGUUGAUCAUACAAUAAUAGCAUGUACUCCCUUCCUUUGCUCUUCACGUAUUAUCAGCUUCAUUUACAGGUUAUUAUUGUAAAAAAAAUAAUAAUAAAAAGGAUAGUGGCGUAAUAUAUUCAGCAACAAGGGUAACUUAAGGUAUCAUUUUAAAUAUAGAAACUAAACGGGCACUUAACUCAAAAUAUAGGACCAAGCUAGUAUUUAUCCUUGUUUCGUUUAAUAUCUCUGCCUCAUAAUAAAAGGCUAUGCUUUUAUUUGUAAUCUUCAUGAAAAAAUAACUUCAGUUUUUUAGCGAACUCAAACUUCAAAUUCUUUAGCACCAUCAAUUUUUUUUUCAUAACUAUAGAUUUUUCUUUUUCAUAUCAGUUGUAGUUUUUAAGUCACUCAUCUCAAUAUAAAAAAGGACCUUAGUUGAUGAUUGAAGAUAUUAAAAAAAAAACCAACCAAAAAUAUUAAAAGUGAUGAUAAUUAGGAGAAGAAAGGAGGGGAGGGAAUCGGCAUCCGGUUACUUAUUAUUAAUACUCUACUUAUGUACAUUCUCAUUCCCAUCAUAAUUCUUCAAAGGAGGGGAUGACGAUCCCCAAAUAAUAAAAGAGAAUCCCAUAGGGUACCUAAUUCCCAAAUAAUUGAUAUUUUUAUUUUCUUAUCUUAAUAUAAUCAUAUUAAAGUGAAAGUACAAAAUUGUAUUACCAUACAAAAGCAUCAAAAUAAACUAGUGCAACUUAAAUAAUUUCCAAUAAACUAAGUCAAUGUCAUCAACAUUACAAGAUAAUUUAUGAAAUUAAGCAAAAGCAAAUCUUCACAUUUGGAUACAUCCAUAAAAAUGAAAUUAUCUCUUGCAUUAACAUUUAUCCAUUAUAAAAGUCACAUGGUAUAAAUUAUCAACAAAAUUGUCUCUUAUAUAUGAAUAAAAUAAUUAUGGCAAAUUUCAGUCAAAUGUUUAUAUUAGCUCUUACUUACAUCAUUAUUAUAAACAUGUAUUUGUUAUUUACAUAUGUACUAUUAAAAUUUAAGUUUUAAAUGUAUUUAGAAAGAAAGACACCCACACCUCUGAAGUUUACUUAAAUGGUUAUGUAGACUCUCUUAGUUUUAUAAAUAAUCACAUAAACCCCUUUCUAACUAUUAUAGCCUUGGAUUUUAAUAAGAGAAAAAUUAACUUUAAAUAAAUAAAAAAUGUAAUAUUUAAAAUAAUAUAAUUUAUAAAAAAAUCAUAAAUUACAAACUAUUUUGAAUAUUAGACAGAAUUAUUUUAAUAUUUAAUAUUAAUAAAAUCUUUUUCACAAAUUAAUACUAUAAAAUAAUUGUGUUUAACAUUCAAAAUAACUUACAAAAUCUAUACCAUAUAUAUUCUUUAAAAUAUUUUUAUACUUUUGUCUAUAUUAACAUAAGUUUAAAGCUAUCUUUUGGAUUAAAUGAUUUAAGUACUAAUAAAAUCUAUGAUGAAAUAUUGACAAUAGCUUAAUACUAAAAGUCAUUUGCAUGAGAUAUAACUGUCGUUAUAUUAAUUAUAUUUGUUUUAAUAUUUUAAUUGUAUUUAUAUGCUAUUUUAUAUCUUGCUCUUACCUUAGAAUUGUAAUUAUAUUUAUCAUAAAAGUUUUGACUAUAAUCCAAGGGUAUAAACAUGAAAAAAAUAAUCUAUGUGACCAUUUAUAAAAUUAAAGGAGAUUUUGAUAUUAUUUAAGCAAACAUUUGAGGUGUCAAUGGCUUUUUCCUAAUGUAUUUCCUAAAAAUUUUAGGAAAAAUAAAAAAGGGAAAUAUGAAAAUUUCAAUGAAUCUCCCUUUUCUUUUUCAAAAAAGAUAUUAGGUCUUAAGUUAUUUUUUCCGUUUUUUAAAUAAAGCAUUAAAUAUAAAUCUAUAUCCAUAUCACCCCAAAAUACGAAAAUUCCUCAGGAAUUAUCGUUCCUAAACAAGAAUCUUUGCCAUCCCUAACUCUUAUGCACAAAGUUUAUGUUGCUACAAGAAGUCAAGAACGACUUCGAUGGGUCUACCGACAUUAUUAUAAAUGGACCCCGAUUACAUUUAAAGUCUUCGGCUUCUUUCCCAUUUUCUUCUUCUUUUUCAUAAACAUGUUUUCUAACCCUUGUUCGGUUACUUCACGAAUACGACUGUUUGUGAUAUUCAUUUUUAUGCUUACUUGAGUGCCGCCGGCCGCCGUGAGGAUGACAAUGCAAUCACAUGAGAAAUUUUUCCGAACGCAUGAAAAAUUAACACCUGUCAACAAAUCUUUUGUUACAUAAUAUUUGUAUUUAAUAUGCUAUAAAUAAUUUGAACAUCUAAUAGAAAUAAAUUAAGUUAUUAAUUAUAUUAAUUUAUGACCAAAUAAUGAGCAUGGCCUUUUUUGGUAAUUAUAUAAGUACACUGCACUUUUAUGAUUAAUUUACUAAACAAAUAUAAUAAAUUAUUUCAUAAUUGAUUGUCUCACCAUCUACAUUUUUCAAAAACCUUGGAAAAUUAUUUGUGUUUGAGGAAUUAAAUAGAGCGACCAUGAUCUCCUCCGAGUGAAAGUGAGCAAAUGGUUGAGCAGGUCACCUUGACCAUGUGGUAUGAGCUUGAGCAGAUCACCUCGACCAGGUACAAUGAGGUUGAGCAGAUCGCCUUGACCAGGUGGUGUGAGCUUGAGCAGAUGAGCAUGUGGUAUGAGCUUGAGCAAAUCACCUCGACCAGGUGCUAUGAGGUGGAGCAGAUCACCUCGACCAGGUGCUAUGAGGUGGAGCAGAUCACCUCGAUCAGGUGCUAUGAGCUCGAGCAGAUCACCUCAACCAUGUGCUAUGAGCUUGACCAGAUCACCUCGACCAGGUGGUCUAAACUUGAGCAGAUCACCUCGACCAGGUGAUGACCAGGAAUAAAGACUCAAUUAAAAUAAACCACCACAAAGAUCCUCCGAAAAAUCAGGGCACGAAUUUGAUCAAUUAAUGGUUAUUGGCACGAUCUAAGGUCGUGGGUGUGGGGUGUUUAUAAAAACCCCGAGAAAACCACGCCAAGGAGGCUCUUAAUUUCUCUUGAUCUGACAGAGAAAUUCUUUCUGGAUACUCGACUUUACUUUCCUGCAAAUUAGUCAAAAAGCUUUGGGUUUUAAAGCAAUGUUUAUUAAGCCAUAUGAGGAUGGGCAUAUUUGGUUUUUCCUAUAAACCCCAUAACUGACUUGAGCGUCGGAGGGUUUACGCCGGAAAAACUUCCGGCACCUCUGACCAUUCUCUGUAAUUUCAGGUACUUAUUGAUUGUCAGUUUGAAGAUUAUAUGCUCAUGAAUGUUCUGCUCAUAGUCAGAGAAUAUUCUCGGAGAUCAACCAUCAGCUUCCCACCAACAAAUUUAAUGCUGAUGCAGGGAUCUGAAACUGAGUCACUAACCAACUGGUUCAGAUUUCGGCAUCAACAAUUUGCAAAGUUGACUAUUUGAUCAAAAGUUCAAUUUUUUUAACAGAAAUUAAUGUUGGGAGUAUUUGAACUUAUUAAUUUUUUUUUUUAAACAAUCAAGAGAUACAUAUAUUACAAACUAAAUUCUAUUGGUAGUCUAGAUAGUUGUAUUUCUAACACACCCUAAAAAUCGGCCUAUUACUAAUUCCAUAUUGAAGAGAUAUAUAUUAUAUAUCCACUUUUAUUUGGAUAAGGAAAUGAGAUGCGUGAGGUCACCAUUGGGCUAUGUCAACCUUUGCUCCAAACAUUCACAAUUAUAUUUAGUAUUUUCUCGUGCUAGGUGAUUCAAUUACAUUGAAUUAUAUUAAUGUUGUCAUGUGUUUGGUGUAACGCGAGAUUGGUCAAGGUUUUAUAUAAAAUUUACAUUAUUAAAAUGAAAAUAAAUAGUUGGAUAUUGGUUUAAAUUUUAUUAUAGAAUUUAUAAAUAUUAUUACCAUGUAUUUUUUUCUGUCUUCUAAUUUAUCCCUUAAUUAAUAACAUAAGAGAUCUGUUAUUGAGAAAUUAUUAAUUAAUAUUAAUUUUCAUUCAAUAUUGCCCCCGUAGAUCGAAACAGCGUCAGUUAAGAGACUCUUUCGUUUAUGUUAGCGAUGAUCGAAGCUUCAUUUGAAAGAGAUGCUUUACGGAUUAUUUAGCUUAUGUCAUUAAUAAAUAUACAUGAUCAUAACUAAUUUCCAGCUUCUGGUGAAGUUAAAAUCGUUAUUUUUCCAUUUUGUGAUUCAAGCAUGUAUUUUUAAAAUUUUAUAAUUAAGUUUAAUAAAUUGAAUGGUAUGUGAGUAUCAUUUCAUUACAUUUACAUCUCUAUCUUUAAUUUUAAGGAAGCUAUAUUAGCUGAUAUUUCUAACAGACAAUCGAAUCUGUUCUAAAUAGAAAAAUAGAAAUCCUUUCAGCCAAAAAAAAAAAAAUUCCUCCUUUGAAUCUGGCGACAAAGGAUAACUUGUUUUUUUUUUUUUGCGAAAAAUUGUUCAAAACAAUAAGAGUAUAUCUUGUUUGUAAAGAGAGCACUCCUUUUUUUUUUUGAUAUUUCUAUCUGAUUUAACCAAUGAGUUAGAACGAAUGAACGAAUCAGUCACUACAAGGAUAUUGGUAUUUAGCAAUGAAAAUAUUUCUAUUGCUGUAAGUACUUUUUAGCAACGAAAAAAACUUUUGUCACUAAAUUCAUAAUAGAAAAAAUAAUAUUUAAUUAUCACUUUUAGUGAUGAAAGAUUCGUUGUCAAGGAGGACAUAUUGCGACCAAAAAUUUUGUUCAUCGCCAAAAAAUUAAGCGGUAAAAAAAAUGUUGAUGCCUAAACCUUUAGCGACCAAAAUUUGAUAUAUGACGAUGAAUAAUUUUCAUCGCUAAAUAUAGUUUUAGCGACGAAUAUAUUUCGUCGCUAAAACUCCUUGAUAUGCCAAAAAAAGUAUGUUUCAGCAACGAAACUAAAUUUCGUCGCUAAAAAUUGUUUUAGCGAUGAAAUCUAUUUAUUGCUAAAACUUUUUUAUAUGCAAAAAGAACAUGUUUCAAUAACAAAACUAAAUUUCGUAACUAAAGCUCUAUGAUAUGCCAAUAGAGCAUGUUUUAGCGACGACACUAAAUUUCGUAACUAAAUCUCUAUGAUAUGUCAAAAGAGUAUGUUUUUAGCAAUAAAAAUAAAUUUCAUUGUUAAAAAUAGUUUAUUUCGUCGCUAAAACUCUUUUAUAUGCUAAAAGACCAUAUUUUAGCGAGAAAAAUAAAUUUCAUUGAUAAAAAUAGUUUUGGCGACGAAAUCUAUUUGUCACUAAAACUCUUUGAUAUGCUGAAGAGCAUGUUUUAGGGACAAAAAUUAGAUUUCAGUGACGAAAUUUGUAUUGCGUCGCAAAAAAAAUGUGUAAAUUCAAAAAAAAAAUUUGACGGAUGACUUUUCACCAAAAUUUAAGACUUUUAGCGACAAAACUAAAUUUCGUGACUGCAUGUGUACUUUUAGAAACGAAAAUUAAGUUUUCUGGCUAAAUGUGCACUUUUAGCGAUGAAAUAUUCAUUUCAUCACUAAAAAUGUCAAAAUUUAAAAAUUUUUAGCGGGCUAUUUUCCGCCAAAGUUAAGUUUUAGCAAUGAAUUUUAAAAUUCGUUGCUAAAAACUCUUGUAGCCUAUUUACAUAUCAUUUACUUCAUUUCUUUCGUUAAUUCUUUCAUUCUCUCAUUCCCUUACUUUAAUUCUUUAGUUCUCUCGUCUCUAAAUAUGUAAUUUUUAUUUUCUAAUUUAAUCUCUACUUCUUUUCUCUUUUAUUUUUGAUGUGGUGUAAUUUUUUUUUUAUCUUAUUUAUUUCAACUUAUAUUAUUAUUAUAUUUGUGUUUAUUAUGUUAACUAACUAUUGUGUAUUUAUUUGUAGGGAAUAUUGAAGAUCAAUUACAUCAAGAUGAAGAAAAUUAAGAAAUUUAUAUUCAUUUGUAACAAUUUUCUUUCAAAAAAUAGAUAUUAAAUUUUGUAAUUAUUUUUGUAUUGUUCAUCAAUAAUAAUAAUUAUUUUUAAAAGUAAUUAAUUUUUUUUAUCACAAUGGUUAAUUGUCCUUAUAAUUUAGUAUUAAAAAUAAUAAUAUUUUAAAAAUAAUAAUAUUUUAAAAAUAAUAAUAAUACGAUGAAAUAGUUUUCGUAAUUAUUUUUCGUCGCUAAAAGUUCUUUUGCUGAUGAAAUAGAAUUUGUCGCUAAAAGAGCUUUCGCAUCGUUAAAAGAACUUUUUGCAACAAAAUAGAAUUCGUCCCUAAAAGAACUUUUGGCGAUGAAAUUUAAAAAUUCGACGCCAAAGAACUAACGCGAUCUCCUAUUGCGACGAAAUAGCGAUGAAAAUUUUUUCAUCUCUACAGCCUUUAGCAACGAAAAUGACAUAUUUUAGAGAUGAAAUUGUUCGUCGCUAAGACCUUUAUUUAUUGUAGUGAUUUUUUAUCGUCACUAAGACAUGAUUUUUUAAAGCGUCUGCUUUUAUGUUAUUUUAUAGGGUUCGAAUAGGAUGACGACUUCUAAAAUAUCAGUAUUAAUUUAUUAUUAGUUAGGUGAGAAAUAAGAUAUUUAAUUCUAUAAACUAUUGUACAACAAAUGAUUACAAGUAACGAUCAGUCAAGUCAAUGUGUGUGUGUGUGUAUACAUAUACAUAUACAUACACAUACAUACAUACAUACAGCUAGAAAAAUGUCUUAUUUGUUUUGUCAUUUUUAACUUUCCGGUCAAAUACGAUUGCACUUGGAAUCUCGGACCCACCAAAAAGUUUUCCAUUGAUAAGGACCGAUUGCAACUUACAGACAGAUACAAAAAAAUGUAAAUACAAUUCCAAGUCCUUUCUGAAGUUCUCGCCCUGUUCUAUACGUAAUUUAUGAAAUAUUCGUCGAUUCUACAUAACAAGUGGGCCUUAUCUGCUCGACUAAUUGCUCGUAUUUUUUGUUUUUACUGUUGUUCAUAUCUGCUAGUGGGGUUUUUCGAAAUCAUUGAUUUUUUUUUUCAUUUGAAAUUAAUAUCAAAACACAGCACCAUACUUUUUUCUGUGUAAUUUAGAACUAUCGCAUAAUGUUUUCUAUUCGGCCAUCGAUUAUUUAAUUGAUAACGGCCUAGCGGUCACGUGGCUAGAAAUUCUCUUCUUCUAUUUUAAUUAAAUUUCGUAUAUACUUCUCAUUUUUUGCGAGUAUAUUGAAGACCAAAAUAAUAAUAAUAAUAAUAAUAAUGUAUUACUUCCCAAAUUGCCUUCAUUAUAAUAUUUGGCCGCAAAACUAAUAAAACUGACAAAAAUUGCAAAGAAUAAAUAAAAAUUUAAAUUAAUUGAUAAUGGGAGAAUUACCAUUAAAAAAAAGAUUGAACUAUUUUUUAGGGCUUCUAACCCUUUUAUCUAAUACCGUUAAUAGAGGAUAAAGUUUUAGAUUUAGGGAUUCCCUUAAGGUGUGUUUGGCAUACCUCAAUACAUGGGAUUACAUUAGUUAAUGCAAUGCAAUCCCAUAUUUGGUAAAUCUUCCUAUUCACAUUAUGGUGUAUUACACAAUACACCAUAAUAUGAGGAGUGCCACAUUAAAAUAACUUGAGGGGGGUUGGAUUUGUGUAAUACGAUACUGUUCACAUUUGUUUUUUUUUAAUUUCUUUAAUUAAAAUAAUAAAAAAUAAAUAAAAAUGUAUAAUAUUUAAUUAAAUUAAAAACUCAAGUAUGUAGUCUGCCCGUGUGCAUAACUUCAUGUUUUGCACAAAAAUUUAGUACUAUUAACAUCCUUAUUGCUGAGGUUAAAAAAUAAUGCAAUUAUUCCCAGUACAGUAAUAAAAUUUGAAGACCAAAACUUUGACCGUACAUAUAUGACGAAUGAAAAUUUCUUUGUUGUAAUAUUUGUACCAUUGCAUAGCCCUGACAAUAAUGAUUCUAAUGAUAUCAAAAUAUAGUUCAAAUGACAGUAAAGUACGAUUGUCAACAGUGAAAAGCUUUUAUUUGAAUUAUAAAAGUUUAAAUUAUUAAUUAAAUAUAAGUAAUAAUAAAAUAUAAAUGAAUCUUAGAUUAGUAAUUUAAUAUAAAUAUGAAAAUAAAAAAAUAUUAUUUUAUAUAACAUAGUGCAUAUUAUAUCAAAUAUAGUAUCGCAUUACAGUUUAAUACAAUAUAAUGCAAUACAAUACAAUGUGUCAAAAACACGUUUAAAACAAAAUGUCACAACCACAAGAUUAUUUGGUAGGCCUACUUGUGUCAUCCUUAGUUUUUUUUUUUUUUUUGUGCCAAAUAGUAUAUUGGGAUUAAAUUUUAACAAAAUUAGUCUAUUCCACCAUCCUUAACUGCACCCAAACAUACCCCAAGGAUUAACUAUGAGAAAACUUUAAUAAAGACUUAUGGUACGUAUACUUGGAAUUGAAAUGGGCAGAAAUUGGAACGAGCUGUAAUCAGAAAAGACUGAAAUUGAUCACAUGAGGAAUGAGAAUUAAAAUAAAUUGUUUAUAUAAGCCAUAAGAAUCAAAACCAACAAUAUUACAACCGAUGUAUUUAAUUCUAUCUUGUAAUUCAAAUAAAUCAUUGCAAGUUAUAAAAAUACACCUAGUCAUGAUUAUGUAUUUUUCUAUUACAAAAUAAAUAAACAAAUAUUUUUAAAGAAAACAUAAGCAUAUUUAUUAUAAUAUUGAGCGUAAUACAAUGAUUUUUUUUAGUAAACUAGUUUUUAUUAUUAUUAUUAUUACUACUACUGCUAUUCAUGUUGCUAUUAUUAGUAUUAUCAUUGUUAUUAUUAUUUUUCUUUUAAUAAUCAUAUAUCUAUCCCUACCUAUUAAUAGGAGAGAAAUUAAAGCCCUAAUUUUCUAUUAAUUUAAUUCCUCUUAUUACUAGAACAGGAACCAAAGUUCUAACACUAACUUUUUGUUGUUUGUAGGACUGAAACCUACGCCCCUCAACUUUCAAAGCGUAAGUUCUCCCAUUAGAUUACAAAGCUGGCCUAUGUUAUUGUUAUUGUUACUAUUAAUACUAUUAUUAUUAUAAUUGAUUGUUGUUGUUAUUAAAUUAAUAUUAUUAAGAUUAUUUAAAUAUAUUAAAGGGAUAAGAUCGGAAUUUUAGAAAUUAAAUGAGAGUAAAAUGGUUAAUUAAAAGAACAAAUAUCUUAUUCCCAUCUCCCCAUGGGAAUGAGAUUCCCAUUCCCAUCUCUAAAUUUUAGUGGACCUCACAGAUUUUUUUCACAUUCUCAAAUACCAAAUAAGCAAAAAAAAACAAUGGAAUCAUUCCCGUUAGUUUAUUCCCAUUCGUCCACUCUUAUUUCCCAUUCCAAUACCAAGAAAUAAACAUGCCUUUAAUAGAAUAUUCAAAUAAAAAGAGAAGCCGGGCCCCCAGAACUGACGUCGAUCAAUUAUCUCUUCAGAGUUAGAAAUAUAUGUUAUUUGUUUUGUCAAUUUUUUUUUUUCCUUCCCAUAUGAUUACACUUGAAUCUUGGACCAGCAAAAAGUUUCCGUGGACAAGGACCCAUUGCAACUUAUAAUAGACAAAUACAAAACAAAAAAGUUAAUAUUUCUAGUCCUUUCCCUCGUUAUAGACAGCUGGCAAUGAUGAUGGUACCCCGGAUUUUUCUGAGAUUCUCACCCUGUUCUACACGUUCAUAAGUUUAUCAAUAAAGACUUAAGUAUAUUCUUGUUGCACAGUAUGACUAAUUUUCAAAUUUUAAUCUGAGAAACUGAAAUGAAGUGCCUUCCAGUCUUCAAUUUCUUUUACCUAUUGUCCUUCAUAUCAGUCAUUGAGUUGUCAUUUGGAGGUGAUACCAUUACCAUAGGACAAUCCAUCUCUGAUGGUGAGACAUUAGUCUCCUCUUCCCUAAGAUUUGAGCUAGGCUUCUUCUCUCCAGGCAAUUCGAACAACAGGUAUCUUGGAAUAUGGUACAAGAGUAGUCCGAGGACUGUUGUAUGGGUCGCAAACCGAUAUAAGCCCAUUACUGACAAGAACGGAGUUUUAACUCUGAGCAACAACGGAAGCAUUUUACUUCUCAACCAAGAAAGGAGCACUAUCUGGUCUUCAAAUUCGUCAAGAGUGCUAGAAACUGCAGUGGUGCGGCUCUUAGAUUCUGGAAAUCUUGUUCUCAGAGACAAUGUCAGCAGAAGUUCUGAUGAGUACAUGUGGCAGAGCUUUGAUUAUCCAUCAGACACGUUGUUGCCAGGCAUGAAGCUGGGAUGGAACUUAAGAACUCGUUUUGAGAGAUAUCUGACAGCAUGGAGAAAUGCUGACGAUCCAACCCCUGGAGAAUUCAGUUUCCGGUUCGACAUUAGUACAAUGGCUGAAUUGGUGACUGUCACGGGAUCAAAAAUAGAGGUGCGAAGCGGACCAUGGAAUGGUCAACAGUUUGUUGGCAUUCCAAUGUUUUUUCCCAGGUUAAAAAACAAGGUUUACAUACCAAUGUUGGUGCGUACAGAAGAUGAGGCAUAUUACACAUAUAAGCCUAUCAAUGACAAAGUAAUUCCAAGAUUAUACUUGGACCAAUCAGGAAAAUUGCAGCGCUUUGUAUGGAAUCAGACGAGCUCUGAAUGGCGUAUGUCGUACUCGUGGCCAUUUGAUGCAUGUGACAAUUAUGCACAGUGCGGUGCUAAUAGUAACUGCAGAAUUAGCAAAACACCUAUUUGUGAGUGUUUGGCGGGGUUUAUAUCCAAACCACAAGAUGACUGGGAUUCACCUUACUCUAGGAGAUGUGACAGGAAACCAUCAGACUGCCCGAGUGGAGAAGGGUUUCUAAAGCUUCAAAGAAUGAAACUACCUGAAAAUUAUUGGUCAAACAAAAGUAUGAAUCUCAAGGAAUGUGAGGCAGAGUGCAUUAGGAACUGUUCAUGCCGAGCUUAUGCAAAUUCAGAUAUUACCGGAGGAGGUAGUGGUUGUUUGGUGUGGUUUGGGGACCUGAUUGAUAUCAGAGAGUGUACGGAAGAAUUCAGCUGGGGACAGGAUAUUUUUAUUAGAGUACCAGCUGCAGAUUUAGGUAAGUGUUUUAAUUGAUGUACAGCAGCUUAUUUCAUUUUUAUUACUGUUUUAGAGUUCGCCCACAAGUCCCCUAGCCAGAAUGUGAAUUAAAAUUAGUAUUAGCUGAUUCCUAUACUCAAUAGUUUGUUUUUAGAAGGACCUCAGACUAAGAUUGACCUUGUAUGGCAAAACCAAAAUAGAAAAUGAAUAGACCAACAACAAACUGAUCUCUUUUCUUGACGUUUUAUGUUCUAGAAUCAACUCAAUAUUCAAGUAAGCACUCGAAUAAAAAGAAAAGAUUAAAGAUCAUAGUGGCAAUGUCAAUCAUCUCCGGUAUGUUGAUCCUGGGCCUUCUACUCGGCAUGGCAUGGAAGAAAGCAAAGAACAAAGGUAACAUAUUCCUCUGACCUUAUUAAUUUUUAUGAAAAAUUUGAUGGUCAUUCAAACUGCUGCUCUUUUAGCAGUGGUGCUUAUAGGGGGCUAUUAAAUUCAUAAAAGCAGGAGACAUGGGUAAAAUUUGCCCUAUUUGCAUUCAAAAAUUUAUAUUUGUUGAUACCAAAAUUUGGCUCGAUAGUAAGAGUUGAGAAAGAGUUAUUUUACUUGGUGAAUAGGCUAUGAGAAAGCUUGAUGUCCUAGGGAUUGUCAUUAUUGAGAGUGAAGAGCCCAGUGCUCGUAAUCCUAUAAAACAAUAACCCAUUAGGGAUUGUUGGGGUACUAUCAACGUACACCCUCCAAUGUUUAAGUCAGAGAUCGAAAAUAGAAAGAUAACAAAUAAAUAAUAUAAGAGAGAAAAGAAAUUAAGAGAAUGGCCUGGAGAAUAUUGUACCCCCUCCUUUAAUAUACCUAUUUCUCUAUAUCCCACCUUUGAGUGAUGCCCACUUUAUAUAAGAGAGAUAAUUAGAAGUAUAAUUAAGUUAGAAAAACUUUUCUUUUAUCUUGUAGGAUUGGAGUUUAGCAAGAAUUAGGACCUAUAUUUUUUAAUGCUGUUUAGAUUAGGAUAUGUUAUUAGAUGUGAGUCCUUGAGUUCGAGGCCCUUUCGUUAUGUCAUUAGGUAGAAUUUGGUAAAAAUAUAGGUAUAACAUGAAUCCCCAAAUUAUAGUAUUCACGAAUUUACAAGUGAAUGCUGUAAACUGAUAUAUUUUAUAGUAUGUUAGAUUUUCUUAUUGUCCCUUGUAUGAUAUAAAGACAUCUCAAGUGUUGUGAGGAAAUCUUGAACGACAUGAGUGAAUCUUAAAUAUGAUGAGGAAAAUCUCGAAUGACAUGAGAGAAACACGAAUGACACGAGGAAAUCUCGAGUGUCAUGAUGACAUCUUGAAUGGCAUGAGGACAAUAUGAAUGACUAGAGGAAAUCUCGAAUGCCAUAAGGAUAGCUUGAAUAACUUGAGGAGUUCUCACAAUAUGGGUCAUAAAACAAUUUGAAUGGCAUGAGGAUAAUAUGAAUGACAUGAGCAAAUCUCAAAUGUUAUUAGGAUAACUUGAAUGACAUGAGGAGAUUUUGAAUGUUACGAUAUGGGUCAUAAAAUUAAAAUAAUACUGCAAUAUGGAGGUAUAAAUUAAAAUAAUAUUGCCAUAAGCACCAUUAGAUUAAGAUAAUGCCACAAUAAAGGGCCAUAAUUAAUAUAAAAAUGAAGUCGUGAUAAGGGCCAUAAUUAAGAUACAAAUGAUGUUGUGAUAAGGGCCAUAACUAAGAAAAAAAUGAUGCCGCGGUAAGGGCUUGCAAAAUGUGCUGCGAUGAGGGCCAUAAUUAAAAUAAAAAUGAUACCGUAGUAAGUGCUUGCAAAUUAUGCUGCGAUAAAGGGCCAUAAUUAAAAUAAAAUGAUGCCGCUGUUGAUGCGAGAUUCUGGUUUUCUGCUCGUCCACGACCAGGAUCUCUCCUCAACUAACUCGUUCACGACCAGGAUCUCUCUUCGUAAGACUUCCUCUCCGCAAACUCCUGUGUACACAAAGACAGGUCAGAGCACGCCGGGUGUUUUCCCGGCGUAAACCCUCCGACGCUCAAGUCAGAAACGUAGGCUUUGCCUUUCUGGGAAAAACGGCCACUAAUCUUAUGGCUCUUUUAUGAUUUCUCAAUAGAAAGCUAUUUUCCUUAGUUCUAAUCUCAAAAAGUCUAACCCGUUUACCUUCGUUGGUCACCUUUUUAUAGCCUUCCUCUGAAUACGGCCCUUCCUGCAAUCCACGUCCAUCACCCCUCUCAACACUCGGAAGUGGGUGCGUCAUUACCGUAGUUUUGGCUGAGUGGAUUUCGUGCCUUGAUUCUCGGGCAGCAAUGCAUCUCUUGCCAACCGUCAUUGACCAUGUCUCCCCCCCUUAACCUCUAGCAGGAAUGGCCUUAUGCUCCUAGCUGGAGGCCGACUUCCGCUAUGGCCCCGUGGAGGGUGCAUUUGUGAACGAGCAGAAAAUUCCUGUUCGUGGUCACCUGCUACCAUACUUCUGCAGAAUACUCCUGUUCGUAACAUCCCGCUACCAGACAUUUUCUCAUCAUGGUUGGUCUUGUCGAAGUUUACCCCCCAAACAUCGGUCCCUCAGUUUCUGAUGUUGGGUAAUGUAGUGGACUGACAGUAGAAACUCAACAGUUCUGGCUUGCGCAGGAUAGGAAAAGGCUGUCAGGAGUCGUGUCGCAUUUAAUUACGGGCGAAGUGAUGUGGCAGAGAUCUAUCCCUCCAUUUGAAUUUCAAACCGAUGGUUAUGAAACCCUUGGAAAUCGUGCCGUUAAAUGAUGACAGCCCAAGAGUUUGCUCCUCAUUAGGGAACCCAAAAUCCCAAAAGGGAAACUCAUCUCUAAGCCCUCUUCUACCUCUAUCCACUUCGUGAAAUAGUCUAUCGCUACUAUUGCAUGUGUUGCUGUUCCUCGUCCCUUUGGCAACGGCCCAAUCAAAUCAAUUCCCCAUUGAGCAAAUGGCCAUGGCGAGGCCAUAGAAGUGAGCUUCUCUGGUGGUUGGGUAGAGAAAUUUGUAAAACUCUGGCAACUCACGCAACUCAUGGUUUUCUCCUGCGCAUCUUGGUGCAUUGUCGGCCAGAAAUAUCCCUGCCUUAGAGCCUUGUGGGCAAGGGAUCUCGCGCCAGAAUGAUUUCCGCAAACUCCUUCAUGUACUUCUCUCAGUACGUAAUCUGCGUCGUCCUCAUCCAAACACCGAAGGAACGGUAGGGUAUAUCCCCGCCGAUAUAAUACCCCAUCCAUCAUUAUGUACCUCAACAUUUGGGCUUUGAUCUUUCGAGCUCGUAACUUAUCUGGUGGUAAUACCCCAUCCCUGAUGUACGAGAUUAUCGGGUCCAUCCACGAGCAUUUCUGUUCUAUCUGCAACACCUCCAAAUUCUGCUUGAUGCUAGGGCUGGACUUCACCUCCAAAGGGAUCGACUUAGGCAUUUUUGGAUCUGCUACCGCUGCCAUCCUGGCCAGAAUAUCUGCUCGACUAUUCUCCUCCCUUGGGAUUUGUAUCACCUUAACCGCCUCAAACUUCCCCAUCAUCUGUUUGACUUUCUUCAAGUACUGUUCCAUUUUCCCAUCUCUCGGCUGAAACCUUUCACUGACAUGAUUUGCAACUAGUUGGGAAUCAGUUCAGAUUUUCACCUUGUCCGCUUUCACUGCCUUAGCCAAUUUCAAGCCCGCUAUUAGAACUUCGUAUUCUGCCUGGUUAUUUGUGGCUGUGAACUUCAACCUUACAGCAUAAGAGAUCUCCUCCCCUUAUGGGUCCUCCAAAACAAUCCCUGCUCCAGACCCCUGCUCCCCUGAGGAUCCAUCCACCGACACCUGCCAUACCCGAUCUUCGUUGUUGGCUGUAGCAGCAUCCAGCUGGUCGAAGCCUACUUUGGGCUCUGCGAAUUCUGCCACAAAAUCGGCCAUUGCCUGGGCCUUUAUUACUGCUCGGGGUUUAUAACUUAUAUUGAACUCGCUCAACUCUAUGGCCCAUUUCACUAGCCGACCAGAAGCAUCCCGCUUGUGGAGAGUCUGGCGUAACGGUUGGUUUGUUAUUACCGAGACGGGGAAUGCUUGAAAGUAUGGCCUCAGCUUCCGAGCAGCAACCAUAAGAGCAAGUGCGCAUUUCUCUAACGGUGGAUAUCUGGUCUCGAGUAGGGCCUUGCUUGUGUAAUAUAUAGGAUAUUGAACCCCUUCUUCCUCUCUCAUUAGAACAGAACUCGUGGCAUGAUCCGAUACCGCCAUAUAUAAGAACAGCACGUCCCUCUCCUGCGGUGUGGACAACAAAGGUGCUUGCUGCAAAUAUUGCUUCAAAUUUUGGAAGGCUUCUUCGCAUUCAGGGGUCCAUUCUGUUUUCUUUCCCCUUCUUAUCACUUGAAAAAAUGAGAUCUGCAUUGUGUCCAACCUAUGGCAGGCGACCUCAGGGUCGAUUCUCGGCGUGUCUUCAUGUGUCCAAGCAAACACAUCUGCGUGAGCUCGCAGGCAAUGCACCAGCUCUCGUUUAUGCUCUUCUUUAAGCCUCGACCCGAUUCAGAUUGUUUUUCUUGAAUCACCUUGUUCCAAGCUCACUAUUUCCAGCUCCUCUAUAGGCUCUUGUCUGCCAUUCUUGACUUCCACUUGAGUAUCAAGUGAUGUGAUCUGCAUUGCUUCCCUUGCUGCUGUGGAGUAACAGCUUCGGGCAAUUCUCUGGUCUCCUCAUACCACCCCAACUACUCCAUUCACUCGAUACUUGAGAGCUAAAUAAUGGUUGGAAAGUACCGCUUUGCUCAUCCUCAGAAAAGGGCGGCUUAAAAUCAUCUGGUAAGGACCCUCUUCAUCGACAACCACAAAAUCCAGGAUCAUAGUCUUUUCUGUUGGGGAGCUGCCAAUUGUGAUGGGCAGUUCGACCACGCCUAGAGUAGAGGAACCAGCUUUCCUCCACCAAAUCCCUUCAAAGAGGUAUUAGUAUGCUCUAACCUCAGGUCUGCUAUUCCCAUCUCCUCCAGAGUUGAGUUGAACAGAACAUCGACUGAGCUCCCCGUAUCUACCAGAAUCCGGUCAAAAUUCUUGCUAGCAGCAGUGCCUUUAAUGACUAAGGCAUCCUCAUGUGGAUAUAGAAUCCAUUCCUCGUCCUCAUCUGUCCACAUGAUAAGAACUUGCCUGAUUCUUGCUCGCUUGGCUGCUGGGUGUUGAAGAACACUUCUUUGCUUGUCAUGGCAUACCUAGCGUAGUUCUUCCUCGAUCUGUUGGAAUCUCCCGCCAACGUUGGGCCCCCAAUAAUUACUCUUACUAUAGGCUGCUCGUGGCUCAUGUUCCUAUCACUCUGCUCCCCUUCACAUGACGAGGCCAUCAUCGGGAAUGUCCCAUCUACGAAUUUGUCCAGGUAUUAAUUUCUCAUCAAAUCUUCAACCUGAGUCUUGAGAUCUCUGCAUUCGGUUGUGGUAUGACCGUGGGUGCCAUGGAACUUUCAAUAGCGUCCCCUAACUCUCCUGCUGGGUAGCUUUGUUAUUGGGGUAGGGAGGUACAAUAAUCCUCGUUCCUUUAUGGCCUCAUACACCUCGUCUAGGGGCAUCUUCAAGGAAGUAUACCGCCCAUAGUCUUGGCUCUGGUCGAUCAUGUGUACCGCCAUUUCCCUGUUGCUGCCAUUCUGAACUGGAGGGGGUAGCGGUGCUUCUGGUCUGCUUCCUCUACCACCGUGUGGGUGUGGAUGAGGAUAACCAUAUGUCGGGUCAUGCCUUCUCCAUGAAUCCCUGGCUGGUGAACGAGGAAGUUGCGCCCUGCUGCACUGAUAUUGGGGUGGCCUCUGAUGAGGCUGGUAAAAGGUGACCCGGCAUCCUGCACCACUGCCUGAAGCAUGAUGGUCCUUCCUCUUAAUUGGCCCAUUUCCUGGUAGAGCUCUAUUUUCUUUCCUCCUCAACCCUUCCAGCUGAUCUGUCUUAAUCUGUGCUUCCUUUUCCUCCUCAAUCUCUAUGUCCCUCUUGACCUACUCGUAAGCAGCUGAAUAUGUUUGAAUAGCAGGAUUCCUCAAAUUGUACCACAGCCGUCCUAUCUUCACCCAUUCUUUCAAUCCCCUUAAUGCUUGAGGAUGGUUGAAAGCUCCCAAAUCGAGGACAACACGAUGGAACCUUUUGAUGAAUUCCCGAAGGGUUUCCUCCUCUCCCCGCUUCAUGCUCGUCAGCUCCAUUAUGUCAUCUUCAGGCGCCAUUGCCCCAUAAAACUGCUCUGUAAAUUCCUGGCAUAUCUGCUCGAAGGAUUUAACGCUCCCUCGAGGAAGUUUCUGGUACCACUCACGUGCUCGUCCCUCUAGAGACAGUGGGAACACCCUACAUCUUUGAGCUUGGGAUAAUCCUUGCACCCCAGUUAUGUCGUUAAAGCGCUCUAUAUGCACCAACGGAUCGGUUCCCCCCGAGUAUCUAAGGUCUGGGAGGCAAAAAUCCCUCGGAAUGAUUGCCCUCAUGAUUUCUGUUGAGAGCGGGGAUUCUCCGUCCAACAUUAUCCUCCAACCAGGUGCUCUGCUCCGUCCUUGCAUGUCAUCUAUUAUCUGCGCUAAUCUGCGCACUUCUUCUUCCAGUUGUACGGCACGACCAAGGUCACAUGCUGCAACCUGAUCUCGCUCUUGCUCAACAUCAUGCAGGUGUUGCCGGAGUUCUCUUUCCUCUACAUUCGCCACUCUGUCAUCGUUAUCAAAGAUCUGCCUCCCCGGGGAUUGAUCUUCUCCUCUAUGGUUUUCUCCUCGUAGAGAUGAGUUACCCCCCUCACCACCAAAUCUUCUGGUGGUCCGACCUCUCAUCAUAUUGUCGUGCCCUGGUGUCAUUCCGCCACUUCUCACCCCUUCCUCUUGAACUCCCUUUUACUCACUUCUCAGCUCGUGUAGGAUGGUUGUCGGGUCUCCAUCUGUUUCUCUAUCCGUUCCAUCCGCUCAUACAUUGCUUUUUCCCGUGCUUCAUUGGCUAUCUCUCUCAACGUCACGGACUCGUUAAACCUCGAGUCAUCUCCUUGGGCACUACCUCGGCCUACAUCCAUUGUUCCCUCACUUCUUUUCCUCUUCUUCUCUCUAUUAACAGACGCUUUUUGCUCUCCCCCCACAGACGGCGCCAAAAUAUUGAUGCGAGAUUUUGGUUUUCUGCUCGUCCAUGACCAGGAUCUCUCCUCAACUAACUCGUCCACGACCAGGAUCUCUCUUCGUAAAACUUCCUUUCCGCAAACUCCUGCGUACACAAAGACAGGUCAGAGCACGCCGGGUGUUUUCCCGGCGUAAACCCUCCGACGCUCAAGUAAAAAACGUAGGCUUUGCCUUUCUGGGAAAAAAGGCCACUAAUCUUAUGGCUCUUUUAUGAUUUCUCAAUAGAAAGCUAUUUUCCUUAGUUCUAAUCUCAAAAAGUCUAACCCGUUUACCUUCGUUGGUCACCUUUUUAUAGCCUUCCUCUGAAUACGGCCCUUCCUGCAAUCCACGUCCAUCACCCCUCUCAACACUCGGAAGUGGGUGCAUCAUUACCGUAGUUUUGGCUGAGUGGAUUUCGUGCCUUGAUUCUCGGGCAGCAAUGCACGUCUUGCCAACCGUCAUUGACCGGGUCUCCCCCCCUUAACCUCUAGCAGGAAUGGCCUUAUGCUCCUAGCUGGAGGCCGGCUCCCGCUAUGGCCCCGUGGAGGGUGCAUUCGUGAACGAGCAGAAAAUUCCUGUUCGUGGUCACCUGCUACCAUACUUCUGCAGAAUACUCCUAUUCGUAACAUCCCACUACCAGACAUUUGCUCAUCAUGGUUGGUCUUGUCGAAGUUUACCCCCCAAAUAGUCGCGGCAAGGGCUUGUAAAUAAGGGUCAUAAUUAAGAUAAAAUGAUGCCGUGAUAAGGGCUUACAAAAUAUGUCGAGACAAGGGUAAAGACAAAAGUGAUGUCACAGUAAAGGGCUAUUUAACAUCUUUGUGUUCCAAAUUUUCAUGACCUCGGGUCAAUUAGCACUCUGCAAUGUCAUGAGAUCGAGACUUAAGAGCGUGGGUUAGGGUACAUGUUAUAAGAUUGAGGCUUAUGAGCAUAAGGCCGAGUUAUGUGCGAUGAGAUUGAGACCCAGAGUAUGAGAUCAAGAUACAUACCAUAAAAUCGAGAUAAAAAAAGUAUGAGAUAUAGAUACGUAUUACGAGAUCGAGGCACAAGAGUAUAAGGCCAAAAUUUGUAGAAUAAGAUCGAGGCCUCUAGCACACUUAACAGAGAUUCCAAGCAUUUAAUCUUUGUAGCCAUGUGUAUGGUUUUAAUCCAAUCUAGAUUAUUUCGAAUAAUCAAUAACAGAAUAAAUAUUAAAGUGAAAGAAAAUGGGCAAAAUAGUAAAUUUCACAUAGUGAGGGUUUACCUUCCUGGCCACCAGUGGGCGGAGAAUCAAGUGAAAGUGGUCGUGAUAUAGGCUUCAGCCUGCGAAGAGUCCAACGGUGGUGGUGGUGAGUCGUAUCGCGCUGUGGCGGCGGCAGAUCGAGAUCCUUAGCCGCAUGUGCUUCAGCGGCUGUUAGCGACCAAUUUGGUGACUUCUGGUUAGUGUUGAUGGCUGGAAUUUGAAAGCAGCAAAACCCAGGUGACGAUUAGUCGUGAUUCCGGCAUAUGUGCAUUGGGUCUUGGCGGCGGUUUCGCGAAGAUUGUGGUUUCGUGCAGCGGCUUUCUGGACAUUUUUCGGCGGUGUCGAAGAAGGUAUUUUGUUAGCCGGAAUUGGAGGCUUCGAUAGUGGCCAUCGGAAAUUGAAUCGGGGGGGGGGGGUAGUGAUUGCCGCGAGUGGUGGCUUGCUUUGCACUCGAGUUUGGGAAUUUGUACCCAACCCGUUUCCUCUGGUCCAUUGAUAUUUGUUUAUUUAUUUUGUUUUGUUGCUUUUCCGACCUUAAUUGUUGAGAUAUGUAGGCUUUUUGUAUGAUCCCCCAAAAAAUGGCGCGAAUUGUUGGUACUUAAAUUUGAAUCAACAAUAAGAAUCAAAAAAUAAUUAUUUUGGGAAAUAGGUUGUGAGAGAACUUGAAAUCCUAAGAAUUGUUUUUGUUAAUUUAUUUUUUUUUUACUUUUCUACCAUUAUUGUUGGGUUCUUUAGGUUUUUUGUUUCAUCUCCAUAGACAAAGUCAAACUAUUGAUUUCUAAAAUUUGGAUCGACAAUAAGAGUUUAGAAAGAGUUGUUUUAAUCGGGGAAGAAGUUGUAAGAUAAAUUGAUGUCUUAGGAAUUGCUAUAAUUGAGAGUGAAGAGCUAAGUGAUCAUAAUCCUACAAAACAAUAAUCUAUAAGGAAUCGCCAAGGAUAUUAUUGGCGUAGAUCCUUCGAUACUUAAGUUAGAUAUUAAGGGUGUUAUCGGCAUAAACCAUUCGAUACUUAAGUUAGUGAUCUAAAGUAGCACAAUAACAAAUAAAUAAUUAAAGAGGGAAAAGAGAGCAUGAAAAAGGCUUGGCUCCUCCAAUAUACCUAUUUCUCUAGAUACUACCUUUGGGUAGUGACCUCUUUAUAUAAGAGAGAUAAUUGAAAAUAUAGUUAAGAUAGGAAAAUUUAUCUUUUAUCUUGUAGGAUUUGAGUAUGGAGAGAAUUACGACUUGUAUUGUUUAACCUAUUUAGAUUAGAACAUGUUAUUAGAUGUGGGUCCUUGGGCUUGAGCUCCUUUAUGUUAUCAGGUCAAGUUUGGUAAAAAAAUGGGUAUAACAAUAUUCAUUUGUUUCCUUUCAAUUAAUUUUUGCAAAGGUUUUCCACUAAUGGUCUUUAAACAAAUUCUUUACCAAAUAGAUAAUUCUUUGUAUACAUCGAUACCUGUAUAUCUGUCCCAUGAUAUAGAAUUAAGACAACAUGUCACCUAGACCUGGGCCAAGGUAUUUGAACUUGUAAAUUUUUUGUAGGAAGAAGACUUAUAUGUAUUUAGUAUUUUUUUUCAAACCAUACUUCUUUCUCACCUAUGAUUCUGCUUGUACUUGCAAUUUCAUAUUGGUUGGAAAAUACAUAUUUGAUGAAUUAAAUAGUUUCAAUGCUAUUUUCCUGAGAAAACAGGAUACAACAAGAGAACUGGUCAGGAAAAUGAAGAUCAAAAUGAAGACCUAGAGCUACCACUGUUUAAGUUAGCUACAAUUGCUAAUGCCACCGGUAACUUUUCAAUCAACAACAAGCUUGGAGAUGGUGGCUUUGGACUUGUAUACAAGGUAAAAUUGCAACAUGCUAGUGAAAUGAUCCCAAGAAUAAAGUACUUAUUUUACUCGGGAUGGCAUAACUAAUUUCUUCAUAUAUUUUUUUAGGGUACACUAGCGGAUGGACAGGAAAUUGCUGUGAAAAGGCUUUCAAAGAUUUCCGAGCAAGGAUUGAAGGAGUUGAAAAAUGAAGUUAUACUAUUUUCCAAAUUACAACACCGAAAUCUUGUAAAGCUUCUAGGCUGCUGCAUUCAGGGAGAGGAGAAACUGUUGAUUUAUGAAUUCAUGCCCAACAAAAGCCUCGACUCUUUCAUUUUUGGUUCAGAUCCCUCUAAACCUUACAAUUUUCAGCUAGCUUUUGCCUUAAUUAUGGGUGUUUAUUGUAAUCAGGCGCAAUUUUUUCUAAUUUUUUCUUCUUUUAAGGAAAGUUCAAGCUGGGAAUUAUACUAACCUCAACAUCAUAUUUUCUAGAUCAAACAAGACGUACACUAUUAGAUUGGUCCAAGCGUUUCAAUAUUAUUUGUGGGACUGCUAGGGGCCUUCUCUACCUUCAUCAAGAUUCUAGGUUGAGAAUUAUACAUCGAGAUCUCAAAGCAAGCAAUGUGUUACUUGAUCAGGAUAUGAAUCCAAAAAUUUCUGAUUUUGGCUUGGCUAGAACUUUUGCUAGAGACGAAACAGAAGGAAACACAAACAGGGUAGUUGGAACGUAGUAAGUAUUUCCUUUCAUGUGAUCUUUACAACUCACUUGCACUGAUUAAUGAAAAUUAACUUAUAUAUUUUAAUCCUCUGAAGUGGUUAUAUGGCACCAGAAUAUGCUAGUGAUGGGCAAUUCUCAGUAAAAUCUGAUGUCUUCAGCUUUGGAGUUUUAUUGCUAGAGAUAGUAAGUGGAAAGAGAAAUAGAGGAUUUUACCAUUCAGACAACAAGCUUAACCUUAUAGGACAUGUGAGUAAAAUGCACACGAAAUUUUCUGACAUAGUUUAAACUAGUAAAUUAUGGAUGACAAAAGAGUUUUGAUAUGUUGUAGGCAUGGAAGUUGUGGAACAAAGGCAUGCCUUCACAAUUGAUCGAUGCGUGUAUUCAAGACUCAUGCAAUUUUGCCGAAGUGAUACGAUGCAUUCACAUCGGUUUGUUAUGUGUGCAACAGCAUCCAGAGGAUAGGCCAUGCAUGCCCUCAGUGAUUUUGAUGUUGGGCAGUGAGACUGUGUUGUCUCAGCCAAAGCAACCUGGUUACUUAGCGCACAGGAAAUGUACCAGACCAGAUUCUUCAUCAAGCAUGCCUGAAUCAUCUUCCACUAAUACAAUUACGAUAUCUGAAUUGGAGGGUAGGUAGAGAAUCGAUUAGUAGUAAAAUGCCUUAUUCUACAUUUUUAAGAACAAAAUCAGAAAUGUUUCAACCAAAUGGAAAGUUCAGAUAAAUGAUUGAAUAAAAAAUGAUGAGAAUCAUCCAACCAUGUAGUAUAUGCAUGUUGUGGAUCUAAAUACAACGUAUCCUAUUGUUUAUAUAGAAACUAUUAACUAGAGGAACAGUAAACGGUGUUGGAUUGAAAAAAAUGAUUUGCAGGAGAUUGAAUUAGAUAACAACAAGAUGUAAAUAUUGAAACUUUGAUUAUAUAAAAUAUAUGCUAAUACAUUUAUGCGAAUGUUUUGGUGCUUUUGGAGCAUUACUCUUUAUCCAUUUAUUAUUUACCAUGUGUAUAUACAUAUCAUCGUGGUUGGUUAAAACACACACAUGAUAGGGAGUAAACAAAAAAGGAGAAGUGCUCUUGUAAUACCCAAGAAUUUUCUACAUUUUUAAUUGUUCUCAACGUGCUUUCAUAAAUAAAAAACCUUGUGCAAUAGACUUAUUGUCAAUACUAUUUAAUACAUUAUUUUUCUACAUAAACAUAAAAACUAAGGGUCAUCCAUUCAUCUUCAUCCGAUUUUAAAGUUGAUUCUUCACAAACUUAAUUGCUGAAAAUGUACUAAUGUGGCUGUGAAAACUAGAAGAAUUAAAGCUAAUGUCACCAACAAGCGAAUGUAACGGAUAUACUAUGUCUUUUUUAGUCUCAAUUAUUCUUUCAGCAAGUCAUUGAUUUCCUUCAAUCCUACAAACCCGCUUGCUUGCUCUUUUCCUAAUAUAAUCCAAUCUCUAAUUUUCUUUUAAGAACUUGUAAGAUAAAAUUUGUGAUUGAAUAGCGGGUAAUUAUUGUUUUUAAUAAAUUUGAAUCUAUUUUUAUGAAUAGAAAAAUGUUUUGGGCUAUGGCUUAUGGGUUAUUAUUAUUUUUAAUUAAGAGGGGAGGUGGCACUCCGCUACAUCCUAUUAAAAUCCCUUUAUUCAGUGUACCCCAUUAAAUAAUAUUAGAAAAUUCAUCAUAACUAUUAACACCCUUUUUAAUUCUAAAAAUAGCCUUAUUUCAAUUGUUACAAACAACAUUCUCUCUCUGAAAACCCUAAAUACAUGUAUCUUCUUUCUCUUAAUCUUCCCAUCAGUCUUCCCAUUUUUAAUUUGAAUCAAAUGUACAUUCUAAUUUAGAGUUUAAACUAAUCCUCAAGGAAAUAAUUAACUUAUAAGAAAACUAUUAAAAAAGAGAGAAAGAGAGAUUGAUCUUGAAGUUUAUAUGAUAACAAUAGGGUAAUCAUGAUUCAAGAGGUGUUGAAAAUAGAAGAUUGUUGCUUAUAUGGCAGUUAUUGUUGUGUAGACUAGGGUAACCUACAAGUUUAUAAUUUUCAACUUCAAUUGAUGUGUUUCUUCUUUCUUUAUUCUUUCUUUAAAAAUAAAAAAUAAAUAUAAUUCAUUAAGACUAAAAAAGCCGAUUAAGACAAUACAAAAAAUUCAUCUCAUACUCCUAUUUUUGGAUGUCUCUUAGCCAAUUUUGUGUGCAUUUAACUUCAAAAAUAUUUUUGUUGGUUGCUAAUUCUGAAGCAAUUCGUAUUCAUCCAAUCUUGGAUUAGCAAAAAAUUAUAUCCAUAUAGUAGCGAAACAGGAUGGAUAAUGAAUGCAAAGUGUUGGCCAAAAAAACAAAAGAUAAAAUAUGCGGGAAUGGGUAUGAAGAAUUGGUGGAAAGAGAAAUAAUGAUAGGUUUAAAUGAAUUUAUAAAUAUCCUUUAAUGUAAUUUUAACAUAAAGGUGCUUUAUAAGAAUAAUAAAGGAGUGUUAAUUAUAGCUCAACUCUUUAAUCAAAGUGUGAGUUUUACAAUUCAAGUUAAAAUUUAAAGUUUAUGAGUUUAUGAAUGUAUAAAGGGUAUUUUAACAUAUCAAUGGGGUUAAUUAAAAGCCUUCAUAAUUUUCUCUUUUAUUUUUAUUUUUUUCUUUUAGGUAGCUUGAGCCCCUGCUUGUCACAUGUUAGAUGUGCUGCCCCAAAUUAUGAGAAUUGAGAUGAUUUAAUUUUACCAUAAUGUCAUAACAAAAGAUGUUUUAAUAUCUUCGUAGUUUUGUCAAAUUACUUAUCAUUCAAUAAUCAUAUUUACCUCAACUUUCUUCAUAACUACAAUAUUUUUUUCCGCAAUAACUAAUAUAUAUAUAAAGCUAUGACUAAAAGAGUUGAUGUGACAUCACUAUUCCUCAUCCUUUUAUAUUCUCUAUUAUCUAAUAUAUUCAUCAAUAUGUAACCAUUAAAAUAAUUAAUUAUAAGUCUUAGAAACAUUCAUUUCUUUUAUUAUGCUAGCAAUUAAACUUUCAUGACUUAAAAUACAUCAGUCAACUAAUUAAUAUAAGAAGGAAGACUAUUUCAUCUUCCCUCAACAAUAUAUAAAGCUGGGACUAAAAGAGCUAAUGUGACAUCACUAUUCCUCAUCUUUUUAUAUUCUCUAUUAUCUAAUAUAUUCAACAAUACGUAACCAUUAAAAUAAUUAAUUAUAAGCUUUAGAAACAUUCAUUUCUUUUAUUAUGCUAGCAAUUAAACCUUCGUGGCAUAAAAUACAUCAAUCAACUAAUUAAUAUAGGAAGGAAGCCUCCUUCAUCUUCCCUCAACAAUGCCACUACCAGGGCCUAAUUUUAAUGCAAUAAUCUCAUAUUUAAUUAUACAACCUUUUGUUUAGUGCCUUUUCGCUUCUUCAAACUCUCUAAACACUAAGUAUUUAAGAUUUGUUAUGUUUGGAUUUUUUUCUAUUUAACCAACAUCAUCUUUAGAAAGAUUCUUGUGUUUUUAUUGUUUGACUUAUUUGAAUUUUUAGUAUUGUGUGCUUCAUGUAGUACUCUUUUCUUCAUGAGUUGAACAAUGAUAGAGACAAUUGGAUGAUAAGGGUUAGGCUUUGUAGGAUGUGGAAGUCUGUUAAUACCAAGAAAAAUGGAGAAUUGAUUAGUGUGGAUAUGAUUUUUAUUGAUGAAAAUGUUGUAUAAAAAAUUCAUUCUCCUAUUGUUUUCUCUAAUUAUCUUUUUUUUUUCCAAUUGUUUUACACUUAAUGUAGCAUUUUUUUUCGUAGGAAAAUCUAAUGCAUGCAACAAUCAAGAAAAAAUUAGUGACAAGAUUUAGGCACAUGUUGAGUGAGGGUUCUUUGUACAGUGUCAAGAAUUUGAAAGUUGUUUCAACUACAGGCGAGUACAAACCACUUUCAAAUUAGUAUAAGAUUAUUUUCUUGGUUAUAACUUCGCUUAAGAGGUUAAAAAAAUGAACUGUUAAGAUUCCGAUCAAUGGAUUUCGAUUCGUAUCUCCGAAUUUGAUUGAUUUACGUGUGAAUGAUAACACAAUCCUCUCAUGUAUUUAUUUUAAUUAUUACUGUUUGUUAAUCUUUAAGUGUAUAUUAAAAAUUAUUGAUCCUUAUGUUUUAACAUGUUUAUGUUAUUUUUCCAUGAUAUUACAGAUGUUGUCGGAAGUUUAUGGGGUGUUGGUGACAUUGAGAUCAUUGGAGCUGGUUGGAAAAAAAGAGAUAUAAAAGUUCUGACAGAUUAGUAAGUUGAAUAUAAUCAAGAAAACUAUGAUUAUAUUUUUUUGGGAAAUUAUCAACUAUAUACCCUUAAUUGACACCCGUAUCAAACGUAUGUGAACACUUUUCAAGUGUAUCACUCUUAUACCCUAAGUUGACAAAACACUUCUGUCAUCCACCAAUCCGUUAACUUCCGUUUGCAAGUGCUGACAUCAUAAGGGUAAUCUAGUCCUUUAAGAUGGAUGAAACUUUGAUUAAAAAAAACAUGUCAUCCCAUUUACCUAGUAAAAAAUGACAUGUCAUAUGAUAUAUAUUGAUAAAAAUGACAUGUCAUCCCAUUUAUCGGAUACUUAUUAAUAAUUGCUAAAAAAAAACUAUUUUACAACCAAAUCUACUCCUCUAAAAUUUAACCUAAGUUUUUGAAGAUCUACUCAUCCAAGCUCCAACUGGAAUUUUUUAUGGUAUAAUAUGUAUAAUUGUAAAUAAUACGUUGUUAAUAAUUUUUUAUGGUAUAAUAUGGAUAUUUUUUAUGGAUAAUUGUUAAUAAUAUGUACCAUUAAUAAUUCAUUUUUUUAAUCAAAAAAUUUAUUGUUAAUAAAAAAAUAAAAAAAUAAAAAAAUUGUGUAUUGAAAAUUUACGUUAAUUUUUUGGGCAUAUUUAUCUUUUUACCUCAUUUUGAGUUUCAAGGGCGAAAUAGUCAAUUUGCCACAAUUCUAUUAACUUUCUAAUGGAAGUUAACAGAUUGGUGGACGCCAGAAUUGUUUUGUCAACUUAGGGUAUACGAGUGAUACACUUGAAAAGUGUUCACACACGUUUGAUACGGGUGUCAUUUAAGGGUAUAUGGCUGAUAAUUUCCCUAUUUUUUUUUAGUUAUUGUUUUAUCAUAAGAAUUGAUCAAUAGUUAUUACUUAAUUUUUAAUUUUCUUUUUCAAUGAAUACAUCCAAUAUUUGUUGAAGAAAAACUGUUAAAAGUACAAUGAAAAAGGGUAUAGGCCUUAGAGAUUAUUCAACAUAUUCACAAGAAAAAUGAAUAAUACUAAAUUCUUUUUUCAAAUUCGCGCGAAGCGCAGUUCUAUUUCCUAGUUUUUAAUAUAACUUGUGUAAAAAUCUAACUUUCAUUCAACCAACCAUAAUUAUCAUGCUCAAAUUCUACGUUGCUACAAGAAGUCAAGAAAGACUUUAAUGAGGGAGAAAUUAUUUUCAUUACCGACAUUAUAAAUGGACCUCGAUUAUAUUUAAUGGAGGACAAAGUAUUUUUCUUACAUUUACAUUAUCUUCGACGGGACUCCACUUGUAUUCGAAGAUUUUCUUCCGUGUCUCAUUUACCAGGUGUUUAAAUUACCAUUUUCUUUUUUUUUUCUUUCUGAAAACCUUAUUUUCUAACCACUGAUUCGAUUACUUUAUGAAUCCGACGGUUUCCCUUGUAUGUGUGUGUAUAUAUAUAUAGACACACGUUGAUGCUUUGAUGGCUCUAAACUAUUUUAGAUUGCAGUCGUGGUCAAAUGAAAGAUCGUCUAAUAUUGCCUAUGAGAUUUUAGUAUCAUAAUCUUGUUCAUAUUUUCAUAGAGAUGUUGAAUUUUCAGGUACAACUCAUUCUAUUUCAAGGUCCCAUCACUUUACAAUAUUAUAUAAUUAGUUCGUAAGGGAAUCUGAGCCUAUGCAGGCAGAACAUGCCAACUUCGCUGCUGGCAUUGACCUGAAGGUCAACAAAACUUCUAAUUUAAAUAAGCAUUGACCUCAAGGUCAAUGCCUCCAAGAUAGAUCAUUAGUCAGGGUGUUUAUAUGUAUUCAACUUGUGAGAGAGAUCUAAGUCUAAAUAAUAUAAUCCAAUGGAUGCACUUUCGCUCUUGCUAAUCUAUUGCAAGUUACUAUUUAUCUUGUUAGGAAUAUUGUAGAAGGCUCCAAAAGACUCUAGUAAGUUCAGUGUUGCUUCAGGUACAGAUGCUGAUGUUGAAGAAGCUUAUGCUCAGGAAGUUAGUUAUCAUUCACGUGUGUGUGUAAGCCAGCACGACAUUAGUCUGUUAUGAAUAGUACAACUGUCACAUUGUUAUUGGUUGUACAUUAGAUGAGUUUGUUACAUUGAUAUUGUAUAAAUACCCGCCUCUGUAUACAUUCAUAAGCAGUUAAGAAAUGAAUUAAAAUCUUUUCUUCUUCAUUCAAUAUUUUCUCUCAGUUUCUUGCAAACCAACACUUUACUAUAAAUCUUUGCACGGUAUCACAACCAUACAAGGGAAAUUUAUAAAAAUAACCAUAAAAGUUUAACAAAUUACAAAACUAACCACACAGAUUUUUUUUUUAUCAAAACUAGCCUAAUAACAAAAUUUUGGACCAAAGUACCCCCGUCAAUCUCACCCAAGCUCACUAAAAUCUCUCACUCACUUAAACCUCUUACUUAUCGCCAACACCGUAGAGCAACAUCGGAGUUUAUCGUCGGCGGCCAAUCUCACCGUAACUACAUCCAAUAACACCAAUUCCACCAAAAUCACGUCUAAUAGCAAUCAAGAUCUCCGAGAUCAACAGUUGAAGUUCAAAAACCCUAGGUUAGCAAUUUCAAAUACAUGCUUUAUUUUAUUCUUAUGUUGUGUUGUGGUUGUGUGUUGUUGUUGUUGUGGUGGUGUUGGUGGUGGUGGUAGUGGAGGUUGUUGGUGGUGGUGGUAGUGGAGGUUGUUGGUGGUGUUAAUGCAUUAUUGGAGUGUGUUGCCUAGAAAGUCUUGCAAUGGGUGUUGACCAAUUCGCGAAGAUUCGCACAAUGGGCAGCGCCCAUCGCAUGAAAUUUUGUGCGACAGGUGCUUGUCGCAACAACUUUUGUGCGACAGGCAAGCCGUCGCACAAAAAUUCAGAUUACAUAAUUUGAAUUUUUGUGUGCAGGGUGGUCGUCGCACCAUGUUUUGUGAGACAGCUCGCCCGACACCCAAAAAUUCAGAUUUGAAAAAAAUUCAACUUAACCCAAAAUUAUAAUAUAUACGGCGACUAUUUUUUGGAGGUCAUAACUUAGGCUACAUGUAUCCAUUUUUUUUUUCGUAUAAUAUACCGUUUUGAAGCUUGCGACGAAACGACUCAAACCCACAAGCUUGUUUGCCGGUCUCCUCUAUGGCCAAAUAAAAAAAUUGCCUCAAGUUAAGUGUGACAAGCACUUGUUAUUACUGUUUCUGCAAUAUCCAUGUAAAAUGUGUUGUAUAUUCACUUUAUCAUGCUUUGUAGUGUGUAACCACAUUUGUUUUAUUUGUUUUAAUAUUUUCAGGUUUAACAAAUUUAAUUAUGCUUCAAUUGUAUUAUGACGGUUGGUGUGAGACGUUGGCGGAUGGACGUAUGGAGUAUGUGAAUGACAAUAAUACAACUUUUCUAAUUCAAAAAGAUUGUACGUUUGAUUAGUUUCUGACAAGAGUUGAUGAUGUUUGAUAGAUAAAUCGUAAUGAAUACAAUAUCACCAUGAAGGCAACUUUGAGGUCUAGAAAUACAAUAUAUCGUACAUGUUCACUACAUAUGGACAUAUUUAACGACGAAAUGGUCAAGGUUGUGUUACAUAUAGCCUCAGAUGUGAUAAAUUACGGAUGCAUCCCUGUAUUUGUUACCACGCCUCCUCGAGUUGAGAACCAAAAUGUUGAGCCACCUGUAAAAAUUGAAACUUCCUUCAGAGCAAAUGUCUCUGUCCCCGAUAGUGAAGAAGAUGUAAGUGGUUAGCAGCUCUCGGUUUGUGCAGGAAUUGGCAAGCACAGCUUCGACCCGCUUGAGCGGCUCGAGUUUAAGCUGGUAGUGCACACCCCAGGAACCUGCAAUGCGAACAGAUAUUGGGUUAGAGAAAAUACAGCAAAAUGAGAACCACUAUGGAGACAAGACAUCUGAAGCGAGCAGGCAACCUGGGACCACGAAACGGGGUGGGACGCGGUAAUCCUUCCCGUCAAUCUGUGCAACUUGACCCCAGGGACCCCCAGCAAAAAAGAAUUUUUUCUUCCAAGUCCCACCACCACCAGUUGGAAGCUCAGUUAUGGGUUUCUUGGUCUUGGUACUAGACUGGAAGUAAUACCAGCCGGCAUCUUUGGGGCUGCUCUUUAGCUGGUACAAGUGCUUCACCUCGUCAACUGUUGGCUCGCUUUGGCAACAUAUGUCCCACAAUAUGAACAGACCAGAAAGUACCCGCCACCCAUUGGGGUUCAGUUGACCAGGAGCUAAAUUCAACCCAUUGAGUAUUCGGGCAAAGUAGGGCUGCAUGGGGCACCUUAACCCAAGUUUAAAACUCUCUAGAAACAGAGUAACAUAUCCCCUAGGAGGCCGGCUGGGGGUAUCCUUCUUUCCUGGGACCCUAAGAGGUACCUCAUCAAGAAUUCCAUACCUAACCCGGAGAUUAGUAAGCUCGUAUACUGUGGUCGUGCACGUGAUGAAAUCAAUAGCGUAAUGCUGUGAUAGAGCUCUACCUCCUACUGUGCUCCUCCUAUUUGGCCGCGAUGUUCCUGGUGAGGACAUCUCACCAGAAUCAUCUCCCUGAUCAUUACUCAAGGUGUCUUCCGAACUAGAAGAACCCUCGUCGUCACUAUUACCGAUUGAGGAGGUUAUUUGAGGGGACAUCCUCCUAGCACUAGUCCCAACACUAGAUCUAAUGGGUUCUAGGGGGAUCCCGGGGUCAAAAACAGAAUCAGCGAGCAGACUAGACAAGAAGUCUAACUCGUCGUCAUCAAUCUCAAUGACCUUCUCUUUACCUUUUGACAUUCCCUAGACUAUAACCAGAACUGCAUCACCAAACACUACCCAAGCAAAACGUAAAAGAAAUUGUCUACAACUAUCCACGACCGAGGUAAAAAGAAAUAAUACAUAAAGUUGUGACUUAGUCAGAGAGAGACAAUGAAAGAAGCUUUUACGCCGAGGGAGAGGAAGGACUCAUUCGCCGGAGAGACAGAAAUAGAGUAAAUGACGAGUUUCUCUUUUGGGGGUUUUGGGUUUUCUAAUGAGGAACAAACUCUUGGGCUGCCAGCAUUUAACGACGCAAAUCCCAAGAGUUUCAUAACCGUCUGUUUGAAAUUCAAACGGAGGGGUAGAUUUCUGCCACAUCACCUCAUCCGCAAUUAAAUGCGACACAACUCUUGGCAGCCUUUUUCUACCCUGCGUAAGCCAGAACCGUUGAGUUUCCAAUGUCAGCUCACUACGUUACCCAACACCAGAAACUGGGGGACCGAUGUUUGGGGGAUGUACUUCGACGAGACGAGCCGUGAUGAGCAGAUAGCUAUUAGCAGGGUUCGCACGAACAGGUAUAUCUUGCAGAAGUCUGGUAGCAGGAGAACAGGAGCAUGAAUAUUCUGCUUGUCCACAAAUACGCCAUCGGCGAGGCCGGUCUCCUGCUAAUGGUUGAGCCUCCCGCUAAGGGUUGAGGCGAGGAGACCCGGUCAACGGCAGUUGGCGAGACGUGCGCCCCAACCCGAGAAUCAAGGCACGAAGACCACGCGACCACCCACGAUUACGAAAAUGGAGCAUCCACUUCCGAGAGAUGGGAACGUAAUGGGCGUGGGUUGAAGGAGGGUCUGAACUUAGAAGAAGCCUAUAAAAAGGUGGCCAACGAAGGUAAAAGGGUUAGAACUUUUGAUACUGAAACUGAGAUAAAGAGAGCAUUCAAUAAUCGAUACCAAAAACAAGCCUUAAAAUUAAUGGCUAACGUUCCCAGGAACACAAAACCUUCAUAUCUGACUUGAGCGUCGGAGGGUUUACGCCGGGAAAACAACUGGCUUGCUCUAACUUGUUUCUGUGUACGCAGGAAUUCUUGGAGAAGAAAGCAUACGAGGAGAGAUCCUGAUCGUGGUCGAGUUGAUUGAGCAGAGAUCCUGGUCGCGGUAGAAAGGGUAACCAGAAUCUCGCAUCAACAAUAUGUAAAAUAGAAACGUUUCGCAUACAUCAAUAUUCAGAUGAAUACAAUAGCCUAAAUUCUGAUAUCACCAUUAAAUAUGUCCACAACAAUCUUCUUCCUAAAGUACUGGCCAUGGAUACCACUAAAAUCAAGUGUAAGUCCGAACAUUAAAUAUAUUAUAAACAUCAACCAAAAACCACCGGAAAGUCCUGUAACUAGGCACCACUCUCCGAUCGAUAAACAUGUCAAAUGCUCUCUUAUUUGAAACCACAACUGAUCUUUACUGGUUUCUUCAUGUGUGACUAGCCUAAGCAAUAUGUUGUGGAUUAUAACACCAUUGAACGCAUAACUCUCGAAAUCCAUGAAGUGCCUGAAAAUAUCAUUCUUGAAUAACGAUAAUUGUUUUCGCGUUAACUUACUCUGGAUAGCUUGGACGACUCUCUUAAAUUUCGAUGUCUUUAUAAUACGACCCGGGAAAUGAUCAUCAGAGCCUAACUUCAUCAUGCUUGGAUCUUUUCUUCGUGCGGGUGGAUUACGCUUUGCCAAUUUAUUUUUUCGCCAUGUAUCUAUAACAAAAUCAAAUUUUUAUUCGUUAUUUAAAUUUACAAAAAUAUUACAAUAAAAAUUUAAAAUAAAAUUUAUGAAAAAAAUACAAAUAAACACAAAUUAUGCAACAAAAUACACAAUUUGUGCACAAUCUUUGUUUUUUUACGACGAGAGCCCCUUGCAUGUAAUUUUGUGCGAGGGGCAACCCGUCGCACAAAAACACAUCGAGUGUGAAGUACAUAGGCUCUGUGUUUUUGUGUGACGAGAUGCCAAUUGCAUAAUGCCAUCGCACCAGAUUUUGUGCGAUGGGCUAGCCCAUCGCACCAAGUUGGGGCGAUGGCCAGCCAUCGCACGAAACUCACGCGAUGGGCUGCUGCCCGUGAACGAGUUUGGCGUGAUGGCAGAUGUUGCCCAUCGCACAAAAUUCGCGCGAUGGGCUAUUGCAUGUCGCGCGAAUUCUGUCCAGUGGGCAACAGCAGCCAUCCAACACCCACAAAAUACAUACAUAACAACAACCUCACCCACCAUCGCCAUAAAAAACCAUAAAUAUUCAAUCUAUCACCACUGCCACCAACAGAACACAACAACAGCAACAACAAUAACAACACAAAAUCACAACGCAAAUAAAAAAAAAGUAAUAACUCACCUAGGGUUUUGAAUUUUAACUGUUGAUUUCAGAGAUCUUAGAAGAUUUUGAACGUGAUAUAGCUUAUUUUGGCCACUGACGAUGGACUCAAAUGCUGAUCUACACCACCGACGAUGUGUAAGGGAUUUCAGCGAGAGGGAGAGGAUUUGGUGAGAGAAAAUGGUGAGAAUGAUAGUGGUAGUUUGGUUCUCAAACUUGGUGUUUGGCUAAUUUUAAUUGAAAAAAAAUUGGGAGGUCAAAUUUGAAAAAUGCAAAAGUAUUGUGGCCAAUUUUGUAAAUUUCCCCAAUCAUGGCAAAUACAAACACUAAAACAUCAUCUUCGUUAUCCUUCAGGUUCAUGCAACCUGUCAAGCUAGAUCGAGCUAGUUACCUUGUGUGGAAAACACAGGAUCUUGCAUCAAUAAUUGGAAAUGAUCUUGGAGGUUUCAUCAAUCGUGAUAAACCUUGUCCUACUUAAUUUUGACUGAAUCAUAUGAAGAAUCAAACAAAUUUGAGAUCAUUCCUACAAGGAAAACUGAAAAUCCAGAAUAUAUUGUUUGGAAGAAAAUUGAUAAGUUGAUUUAGAGCUUGAUGUUCUCUUCAAUGGUAGACAAUGUGCUGAUAAUGGUAAUGAGAUGUGAGACUUCACAUGAAGUAGGGAAGAGACUUGUUGAGAUCUUUAUGUCUCAAUCUAAGGCACGUCACAUUCCUCUGUUGAUCCAAAUACGAGCACAAGAAUACAGGGACCACAUUGCUCAAAGGGAUUGCUAGAAAUGGACUUUAUCAAGUGGAGGGUUUAACCACAUUCUAUCAUUCAAAUAAAUCUUAUGCCCUGUCAUCUUCUAAAUCUUUGUCUAUUGUCAAUUCCAAGUUUAAUCCUUUGUCUACGUUUUCACAAUGUACUGUAGCAAAUGCAAUGCUUUCUUUUGAUGUAAACUCAUUUAAAUUCAAUAAAGAUGUCAAAGUGGCCUUGUUUACUCAUCCUGUCAAAUCUUUUAAUUGCAAUGUAAUGUAUAAAUGAUUGGGACAUCCAACCAUUCAUGCUUGAAAUAGGUUAUGAAAAAUCUUGAUCAUACAUUCCACCUAAAUAAACAUAUCACACUUAAUCUUUGUAGUGUACGUUAGUUUGGUGAAAGUCAUAUGCAACAUUUUGUAGUGCACGUUAGUUUGGUAAGAGUCAUAUGCAUAAAUGAUUGGGACAUCCAACAAUUUAUGCCUUGAAAAAGGUUAUGAAAAAUCUUAAUCAUACAUUAAACCUAAAUAAACAUAUCAAACCUAAUCUUUGUAGUACAUGUUAGUUUGGUAAGAGUCAUAUGCAAUAUUUUCCUUCAAUUGCAACAAUAAUACAUCCCUUAGAAAUAAUAUAUACAUAUAUUUAGGGACAAGCCCCUAUUUUGUCAUCCCAAGGUUACCAAUAUUAUCUGUCUAUUCUAGAUUCACUAGGUUCACUUGGAUUUUUCCCCUCUUUGCAAAAUCCAAAGCCCUACAAACAUUCAAAGAAUUCAAGGCAAUGAUUGAAAACAGUCUAUCUAGUAAGAUCAAGUAUUUAGAAACUGGUUUAGAAAACAAUCUUUCACUCCUUUGAGAGGGAUUCGUCAAGGGGACCCCUUAUCACCUUAUAUUUUUGUGUUGUGUGUAGAACGCCUGAGUCAUGGGAUUAAUAGUGAAGUCAAAAAAGGGCGUUGGCAGCCUGUUCGUUUGAAUCGCAAUGGAGUCCCCCUCACUCAUUUGUUCUUUACAGAUGAUCUCUUACUACUUUCGGCGGCGUCUCUAGACCAAGCCCAAGUUAUUUCUGAGGUGCUUGAUUUUUUCUGUCUCGCAUCUGGUGAAAAAGUCAGCAAAGAAAAAAUCAAUAUUUAUUUCUCUAAAAUUGUUAGAGUUGAUGAUAGGCGUGAGAUUGUUUCUGAGCUUGGUUUUUAUGUGACUGAUAACCUAGGCAAUUAUCUUGGUGUUCCCCUUUUACAUAAUAGAGUUAACAAACACACCUAUAAGGGUGUCCUUGAUAAAGUCCAACAGCGCCUCACUGGAUGGAACGCCCUUAAUCUUUAUUUGGCUGGCAGAGUCAUGCUUGUUGUUGAGUGUUAGAAAAUGUAUAUUUAUAGAGGAGAAAAUCAUCAUUUUACAUUUCAAGUCUUACUAACACGCUUACUUUUAUGUAUUUAAGCUUCUUGUGAUUUAAUUACGUGUGUUUUAUUUUAAUUAAGUAUUUUAUAUAUUUUAGGGGCAUCAUGGUCAUUUCACAAUGAACGAGAAAUCAGACGGCAAAACGGACAUCACUUUUGAACUCAGGACAGUCGAAAACCUUAGGAGGAGCAUAAAAGGAAAAAUGUCACCGUUCACAUGUACGAUUGAUAACUCUAGGAAAUGAGAGUUAUUACAUCAAUUCUAGACUUGAAUCAAGAUCAUAUAGAGAACAAAUAAGGUGUUUUUAUUACAUUUUGAUUACAUUUUGCUUAAACAUUCAUUUUAGUUGAGUAUUAGUAAGUUUUGCUAGAAUCAUAGUAAUUUGUGCUAAAAACAUAUGCAUAAUUGUAGGUUCUUAGAAAGUCUUAAUUCAUGAGGGGAUGUUGAGACAUUAGAUGAGCAAGAGGAGGAAAAAAGACGGCCAUAAAAGAAGAAAAGCACAAUCGAGAGCAAUGCAGUGCUGUUGCGGAUGUUAGAGCAACUCGUGCUGUAGCAAUCUGGAAGUAAAUGCGGGAGAAAACUUAGGCGCGGGUCAGCACAUGUUUCCUAAUUGAAUGCAUGCACGUUCAUGGGCUUGUGUUUAACCGAAUUUGCAAUAUAAAAGGGAGGCAAUACUACAAAGAAAGGCGGCAAGGGAAUUAUCAUUGGAAUAAUUACAAAGGAACGAAGAAGAAGAAGAUCAGAAUUAAAGGAGAUUGUUUUGGCAGCAUUGGAGAAUCGGGCAGAAUUACUUGGCUUUGAUCUUCACCGUGCUCAACUUAUAUUUAUCUUCUUCCUCUAAUUGUUUUGAUGUAUUCCGAGAUUCAAAUAUUUAUGUUUAUUUUUCUCAUCCAGAUUAUGAACUAAAUUUACUUGUAGUUGAGUGACAAAUAAUCCAAUGGGUUCUUAACUGUUCUUAUAUGUUGUUAUGGUAUUGCUGUAGCAUUUUACUCUGGUAGUUUUUAUGAAUAUAACUGUUAUUUUGGUUGACCACCCAUUUAAUAGUUUCAGUUAAGAUAGAGCAGCAAAAGGGAAUGUCUUAGCGGACAUUAUUAGAGUAUUACUUGUUCUUAAGUCGAGUUUCCUGGAUUAGGUUAUCUUGAAUCCCAUAAGGGCAAUACUUGACGUUAAGAUUUGUGACACUCUAGACAUAGGUGUUCACCUUGUAGGGUAGAGAGAUUAAAGGAUAUAAUGUCGUACCAUGAAUAUAUGAGCAACUGGUCAUUGUCAGUAGAUUUAAAGGUAUGAGACUUCCAACAUGCGAUAGCUGAGGAUGCAAAUUUAUUCUGCCCAGUGCUACAGCACUUAUUGUAACAACUGAUGCUAAUUUGGUAAACAACAGUCACCCCAUUAGGAGAGUUUGAUCAUUCAACUACUAUAAUCUCAAUUGAAUCUUAGACACAUUUAACUUAGUUUAUUUCUUUACAAUAUUUUUUUAUUUCCAUCUUUCGCAAUUAUUUAUCACGAUAGAAUUAUUAGACAAUUGUUUGUUUUGGUUUUUAAUUGAUUUGCGAUAUCGUGAUUGCUUUAGCAUUUUGAGUAACAUCAAUCCCUGUGGAGACGAUCUUGAAUACUCAUCACUUUAUUACUUGUUGUGUAUACUUGCACAUUGGCAUUGAUAAUAAUUGAUUAUAAAAAUCAACCAACAAGUUUUUGGCGCCGUUGCCGGGGAUUGAUUGUUUAUUUUUGAAGUGUGAAGUAAAUCGUGAUAGCGCCAAAUUUGACUUGAUUCAUUCUAUUGAUUGGUAGAUCAGUACGUGCAUGCGCAAGGACAGAUAUGUGGUAUUCCAAUUCGAUCUUAAGAUUGAAAGGACUGUCAGGAGAUUACGAAGAGAGCAAAGAAAUUCAAAGACUGUUUCAGGCAUGAAUAAUUUGCAGGAUGAGGGAAAUUUGAACCCUCACGUGCCUUUACAACCAGUCAACAUUCAAGAAGAGCUGAACGAACAUGCUAAUGGGAGACAGCUAGGCAAUAACAAUAUUAUUUACAUGGCUGAUGAUAGAGACAGAGCUAUAAGAGAUUAUACUGUGCUAACUCCUCAAGUUGUACAUCCUGGCAUCAUCAGACCUGAAGUAGACGCUGCAAAUUUUGAGUUAAAGCCAGUAAUGUGUCAAAUGUUGCAAACAGUUGGGCAAUUUAAUAGAUUGCCAAAUGAAGAUCCUCAUCUCCAUUUUAAAUUGUUCUUGGAAGUAAGUGAUACUUUCAAGAUUGCUGGAGCAACACAAGAUGCCUUAAGGUUGAGGCUCUUUCCUUAUUCCUUAAGAGAUCGAGCAAGGGCAUGGUUAAAUUUAUUAUCAUCUGAUUCCAUCACUACAUGGAAUGAAUUGGCUGAUAAAUUCCUAAUGAAAUAUUUCCCACCGACAAAGAAUGCAAAAUUAAGAAACGAGAUUACUUCCUUCCAUCAACUUGAAGAUGAGAGUUUGUACGAGGCUUGGGAAAGGUUAAAGGAAUUGCUCAGAAGGUGUCCUCAUCACGGUAUUCCUUGUUGCAUUCAAUUGGAAACUUUCUACAAUGGAUUGAAUCCGAGUACAAGGUUAAUGGUGGAUGCUUCAGCAAAUGGAGCUUUGUUAUCCAAAAAAGAAAACUACUUUCUGUUUGUCAAUUUGUGUGUUAUUUUCUAAGGUCUUCCAUAUCCUUGUCAGUUUGUGUGCCUUUGUUAUCUAUGCUUGUAAGGACACAACACCUCUCAAGUUUGGGGGGGUUGUGUUUCCGAAUGCAUAUGUGUAUGUUUGUAUGCAUGUGUUUAUGUGUGUGUGGUGUAAAGCUCUGUUAUCUAAUAUUUGUGUAUGGAAUUGAAAACCUAAUGAAGAGAAAUUGAGUGCUAUUCAGUAUUUAUAUGCCAAGUAGAGAUAAUUAUAGAUGAAAGUGAAAUUCUGUCCUGACACUUAGACUUUGGUUGAAUUGUAUGAGACUGUUAGAGCAAAGCCAAAAGAAUAGAAAAGAUCCUAAGUUUGGAGGGAAGAAGCAAGUUUGAUUAACUGUGAUAUCUAUGAAAUACAAUUUGUUCCAAUGGCUCAAGUUGCUGGGUAACCAGAUCUGAAUAUGUACCCCAUAUGCAGAAUUGUGUUCAAAGAUAGCGAGAGUUAUGAGCAAUGCUGUAGCAUGUUAUAAAAAAAAAAAUCUUCUGUCUACAAUCACAGUUUGAGUAUGUGAAAUUUAUGCUACCCCAUUUAUGAAUGAAGUGUAUCAUUGCUGAAAGUUAUGCAGUCCUGUGGUGAUGUUAUAGCAUAUUUAGAAUUCAAUCAAAGGAAGCACACACACACUAUGGACAGAAAGAAGCUUGAGUCUAGAACUGAUUUACUAUAGGCAUUUUGUAUGAUUGGAAUUGUUAUCUGAAGGUGGAAGAAACCUUGCAAAUUUGAUAAAAGAGCUAAAAUUAUAUACAUGUUUGUUUGCGGGAAAUGUUAGUAUGUGUCAUUACUUGAGGGCAAGUAAUGGUUUAAGUUUGGGAGUGUGAUAACUCUAGGAAAUGAGAGUUAUUACAUCAAUUCUAGACUUGAAUCAAGAUCAUUUAGAGAACAAAUAAGGUGUUUUUAUUAUAUUUUGAUUACAUUUUGCUUAAACAUUCAUUUUAAUUGAGUAUUAAUAAGUUUUGCUUGAAUCAUAGUAAUUUGUAGGAUGAGGAAAAUCAUGCGCAAAGACAAAUCUGUGGUGUUCCAAUUCGAUCCUGAGAUUAAAAGGACUGUCAGGAGACUGCGAAGAGAACAAAGAAAUUCAAAAAUUGUUUCAGGCAUGAAUAAUUUGUAGGAUGAGGGAAAUUUGAACCCUCACAAGCCCUUACAACCAGUCAACAUUCAAGAGGAGCAGAAUGAACAUGCUAAUGGGAGACAGCCAGGCAACAAAAAUAUUAUUUACAUGGCUGAUGAUAGAGACAGAGCUAUAAGAGAUUAUGCUGUAUUAACUCCGCAAGUUGUACACCCUGGGAUCAUCAGACCUGAGGUAGAAGCGGCGAAUUUUGAGUUGAAACCAGUGAUGUUUCAAAUGUUACAAAUAAAGGGACAAUUCAAUGGAUUGCCAAAUGAAGAUCCUCAUCUCCAUAUUAAAUUGUUCUUGGAAGUAAGUGAUGCUUUCAAGAUUGUUGGAGCAACACAAGAUACCUUAAGGCUGAGACUCUUUCCUUAUUCCUUAAGAAAUCGAGCAAGGGCAUGGUUAAAUUCAUUACCAUCUGAUUCCAUCAUCUCCAUAUUAAAUUGUUCUUGGAAGUAAGUGAUGCUUUCAAGAUUGUUGGAGCAACACAAGAUACCUUAAGGCUGAGACUCUUUCCUUAUUCCUUAAGAAAUCGAGCAAGGGCAUGGUUAAAUUCAUUACCAUCUGAUUCCAUCACUACAUGGAAUGAUUUAGCUGAUAAAUUCCUAAUGAAAUAUUUCCCACCGACAAAGAAUGCAAAAUUGCGAAAUGAGAUUACUUACUUCCAUCAAGUUAAAGAUGAGAGUUUGUACGAGGCUUGGGAAAGGUUCAAGGAAUUGCUCAGAAGGUGUCUUCAUCAUGGUAUUCCUUGUUGCAUUCAAUUGGAAACUUUCUACAAUGGGUUGAAUCCGAGUACAAGGUUAAUGGUGGAUGCUUCAGCAAAUCGAUCCCUGUUAUCAAGAUCUUACACGGAAGCUUAUGAAAUUCUGGAGAGAAUUGCUAAUAAUAAUUAUCAGUGGCCUUCAGCCAAGCAACCAGCAACCAGAGGAUCAGCAGGGGUUCAUAACAUAGAUGCAAUUACAGCCUUAUCAGCACAAGUAACUUCAUUGACUAACAUGGUAAAGGCCAUGACAUCUGCUCCAGCAACAGUAAAGCAAGUUACUGAACUUUCUUGUGUAUACUGUGGUGAAGAACAUGAUUUUGAUAAUUGUCCUGGAAAUCCAUCUUCAGUAAACUAUGUAGGUAAUUUCAAUCGACAACCUCAUAGCAACCCAUAUUCAAAUACUUACAACCCUGGCUGGAAACAGCACCCAAAUUUCUCAUGGAGCAGUCAGAAUCGAACUACUCCAGCAUUAAAUGGACAAAAUAGAAACACACAACCACCUGGCUUUCAUCAGCAGAGUCAAGGGCAAAAGCAUAUCAAUCAAGAUCCAAUCACUUCACUGGAAGCACUGAUUAAGGAGUAUAUUGUUCUCGCUUGGAGAAAUGGGAUUAGAAAUCUAGAAGUGGAAGUUGAUAGCUUAUGUGUAACCCAACUUGUCUUGAAUAAAAUGGUCGCUCCUAAUGAUUAUGGUCCAAUUCUACAUGCCAUUAAAGAAAUCCUGACUCGUGAUUGGAAUGUUAGUCUCCACCAUGUGUAUAGAGAGGCGAAUCACUCUACUGAUUCCUUGCAAAUUUGGCUACGUCUCUCCCCUUAGGUCUUUAUGUACAGGAUUCACCCCUUGUUGGUUUAAAUUACUAGUUGCUUCAUGACAUGUACAGGGUCUCUUACACGCGUUCUGUUCUUCCUUAGCCCUUGCUAAGUGCUCCUCUUGUACCAAAAAAAAAAAAAAAAGAAAUACUUCUCUUACAAGAAGUAAUUACUAUAUAUAAGGAGGUUAAUUUGUUUAUAUAACAUAUGACAACAAUAUGUUUCUCUUCAAGUAGACAAUUUCUAAUAUAAGAGAAACAGUGGGUCUAUUGAGAGAUUGUGUGUUAUUGGGGUUUUGGUACGAGGAAAAUAACAAAGUGAUUGUAAUAAUUUUUCACAUAGUAUAUUUUUCUCUUGUCAUCCUUGGCGACCGUGUUUUUUCUCCAAUAUAAAAUUUUUUACAUAAAUUCUUGUGUUGUGUGAUUAGUUUUAUUCUUCAUCUAUUUUUUAUUUAUUAUUUGUUUGAUAUUUUUGCUUGUAAGAUCUUGAGUGAGAUUAAAAAUUCCUAACAAGUGAUAUCAGAAAAAGGUUAUUCUAUAAAGCAAUAAUGUCUGCAUAUAAAAUUCCCUAAUAGAUUAUAUCUACUCUCGUGUUUAGUAAUGGGACAGAAUUAGAUUACAUUAAUAUUGUCUUAUGUUUGGGGUUACAUAGGAUUGGACAAGAUUUAUAUAAUAUUUGAAAUUACUAAAAUAAAAGUAAAUAAAAAUUUAAUAAAUACUUAGAUAUUAUUGUAAAUUUCAUUACAAAGUUUAUAAAUGUUAUUAGAGUGUAUAUUUUCUUAUUUCUACCUUUAAUUUAACAAAGUUGGAUAUCUCUUAUCGAGAAAUUACUAAUUAAUUUUUGUCUUCAUUCAAGAUUGCCCCGUAGAUCGAACCAGCGUCCGUUAAUAGACGCUACCGUUGUUCUUAACUAAUAUGGAAGCAGCUUUAUUUGGAGGAUAUGUUGUACUUAUGAUUUAGCUCACGUCAUUAACAAAGAAUUUAGUGGUCCAAGUUUUUGCAGUAGAGUAACUAAAUAGCAAUGAUGACCCAGUCAAGUCAAUGUAUAAAUAUUGAAAUGACUAUUACCUCAAAGUUUUCAAAAUGAAAUUGGACCACCAAAAAAUUUCCCACUAAUCACUACCGAUUGCAACUUGUAGAUCGCAAUUUAUAGACAGAUAUAUAUUUAAAAAAUAAAAAAAUAAUAAAAAAGUGUUCCAAGCCCUCUCUGAGGUUCUCACUCAGUUCUACAUGUAAUUUACGAAAAGUUCUUGCGAUUUCACUCGGUUCUACACGUAAUGUAAGAUAGAAAGAUUCCAAUCAAAAUUUUGAUUCUUGUUCAAACAUAACUACGAUAUCCGCGAAGUCUGUGUUGCCACAAGAACCACUUUUAAUGGAGGAUAAAAUAUUUUUCUUACAUUUACAUUAUCUUAGGUGGGACUCCACUUAUUAUCGAAGAUUUUGUUAUGUGUCUCGUUGCCAGGUGUUUAGGUUGUCAUUUUCUCUUUUCUUUCUCAAAAACAUUUUUUUUUAACCAUUAAUUCGGUGACUUUAUGAAUCCGACGGUUUCCUUUUUUUUUUGCAUAUAUAUAUAUAUAUAUAUCUCUACUGAUGCAUCGAUGCAUCUAAUCUAGUGAACAUUGCUGUCGUGGUCAAAUGAAAGAUCGUGUAAUAUUGCCUACAAGAUUUUAUAAUCAUAAUCUUCUUCAUAUGUUCACAGAGAUCUUGAAGUUUCAGGUGCAAGUCAUUGUUUUUCAAGGUCCCAUCACUUUACAACAUUAUUUAACUACUUCGAAAGGGAAUUUGAGCCUAUGCAGGCGGAACAAGCCAAAUUCGGCUACAAGCCCUGACCUGAAGGUCAAUAUGAACUUCCAAUCUAAAUAAGCAUUGACCUCACUCCAAGAUAGAUCAUUAAUUAGGGUGUUUAUAUGUAUUUAACUUGUGAGAGAGAUCUAAAUCCAAGUAGUAGAAACCAAUGGAUGCACUUUCGCUCUUGUUAAUCUGUUGCAAGUUACUACUUAUCUUUUCUGAAUUCUCAUUUGCAUCAGAUGUCCUUACUUCGUCUCAGUGUCUUAGUGAUGGAAACACCUUAAUAUCAAAAGGUAGAAGCUUUGAGCUUGGUUUCUUCAGUCCCGGUAGUUCCGAAAAUGUAAGAGAGAUUAUAACAUUUUUCAAUCUUUGGUUUGAUAUUCUGGAAGAAAACGGUUUGCCAUUUUUUGGAGAAAACGGCUAACGGUUUAAUUCCAGAGAGCAUGUUUUCUGUUCUAGAGAAAACGGCUAACCGUUUGGAGAAAACGGCUCACCAUUGGAGAACACAGCUAACGGUUUAAUUCCAGAGAGCAUGUUUUCUGUUCUAAAGCAAACGGCUAACCGUUUAUUUCCAGAGAGCUUGUUUUUGUGUCAACUGGAAAAACGGUUAGCAAGCUUGGAAAUUUCAAUUGUCAAUCGAUGCAAAAUCAAACCAAAAGAGUGUCUUUGAAGAAGUACCAUUUCUAAUGGUUGUAUUCUUUCAAAUAAACAUCUUCUUCAUAAAAGAAAGACGCACAAUUAGAUCAAUCAUCAGAUUUUGCAGGUUUCAUAUAUGUUCUGGAAAUACAAUCUUAUUUGCUAGAGAUUGUAUUCAGGAUUUGAUAUAUCUUAAGGGUAAUUUGCCAUUAAAACUCUAUAGCAAACCAAAAAUUGGUGAAGGCAAAUAAAACCUUAAAGGAAAGUGUGCAAACACGUCUCAAAUCCUAAGAAAUUUUCUUUGUUCUUUGCCUCCAUAUUCGAAAUUCACCAACAAUCUUUAAGGUUUUAUUUAAUGCAAAUGGAAGCUGAGAAGAGUUUGACAUCAUUUCUGAAUCCUAGUGUCCAUCUCGAUCGUUUUGAUGGAACUAAUUUCACUCGUUGGAAGGGAAAAUUGUUCUUUCUCCUUACUGUUCUUAAAGUGGCAUAUGUUCUUGAUCCGAAAUUGGAACCAUUUCCAGAACCAAGAGAAGAUGAUACCGAAGUUGUUAAGGCUGCAAGGAAACGUCGUGAAGAUGAUGAAUUGAUGUGCCGGGGUCACAUACUCAAUACGCUUUCUGACAGGUUAUAUGAUCUCUACAAUUCUAUGACUUCUCCGGUAGAAAUUUGGAAUGCUCUUGAGUACAAAUACAAAACGGAGAAAGAAGGUACUAACAAAUUCCUUGUAUCUAAAUAUUUUGAAUUUAUUAUGGUAGACACAAAAUCCAUUCUUGAUCAAAUACAUGAGUUACAAAUUAUUGUUGCUAAGCUUCGAGAGUUAAAAGUUGAAAUUUCUGAAUCAUUUCAAGUUGGGGCUAUUAUUGCUAAAUUGCCUCAAAGUUGGAAUGAUUAUAGAAAGAAACUCCUUCAUAGUAAAGAGAACAUAACUUUAGAAGAAUUACAAAAACACUUGGUAAUUGAAGAAGAGACUAGGUCUCGCGAAUCCAAGGAUAAGCAUGAUUCUACUAAAGUUAAUGUUGUUGAAGCUAGUAAAUUCUCAAAGAAUUUUAAAGUCAAGAAUGACAAGAAAUUCAAGAAGUCCAGCACAUAAAAGUUUUCUGGAAAUUAUUUCUUUUGUGGUAAGAAAGGCCAUCGCCAAAGUGAUUGCAGAUUCAAGAAGAAAAAGGAAUAAGUGAAUUCCCAUAAAGCUAAUGUUAUUGAAAACAAAUCUGAAGAGAUUUGUGCUAUGGUUUCUGAAAUGCAAAUUGGCAUGAUUACCGAAACCAAUAUGGCUGAAACUAAGUCCUAUGAUUGGUGGCUUGAUUCGGGUGCAACAAUUCAUGUUUGUAAUGAUAAGAAAUUUUUCUUAUCAUACAAAGAAGAAACGGAAGGACAAAUGGUUCUCAUGGGGAACAAUAAUGCAGCCAUAGUAGUAGGGAAAGGAGUAGUUGAGAUCAACUUCACUUCUAGAAAGAAAGUCACAUUGUAUAAUGUCUUUCAUGUACCUUCCGUUAGGAAGAAUCUUAUUUCUGCUAGUUGUAUGUGUAAGCAUGGGCUUAAGAUUGUGCUUGAGGGUAAUACUUGUAUUAUCUUAAAGAAUGGAUUAUUUGUUGGGAAAUGGUAUUCUUGUGAUGGAAUGUACAAACUCAGCAUUAAUAAUAAUAAUAUCAACUUAGCUUAUAUUGUUGAGUCUUGUGAUGUUUGGCAUGCUAGAUUAGCACAUUUGAACUUUAGAUCUAUGAAAUACAUGUCUAAGCAUGGUUUGAUUAAUUGCAAUGAUGUUAAAGGUCAUAAGUGUGAAAUCUGCAUCCAAGCUAAAUUAACUAAGAAACCUUUUCCUAAAGCUGAACGAAAUACUCAAAUAUUGGAUUUAAUAUAUACCGAUAUUUGUGAGUAUAAUGGCAUGUUAACAAGAGGAAGUAAGAGGUACUUUAUCACUUUGAUUGAUGAUUGUUCUAGAUACACUUAUGUGUAUUUACUUAGAACAAAAAAUGAAGCCUUUGAUAAAUUUAAAAUUUUCAAAGCUGAAGUUGAGAACCAAAAAGAUAAGAAAAUCAAAAUGGUUCGUAGUGAUAGAGGUGGUGAAUAUUUCUCAAUUGAAUUUNNNNNNNNNNNNNNNNNNNNNNNNNNNNNNNNNNNNNNNNNNNNNNNNNNNNNNNNNNNNNNNNNNNNNNNNNNNNNNNNNNNNNNNNNNNNNNNNNNNNNNNNNNNNNNNNNNNNNNNNNNNNNNNNNNNNNNNNNNNNNNNNNNNNNNNNNNNNNNNNNNNNNNNNNNNNNNNNNNNNNNNNNNNNNNNNNNNNNNNNAAAAACACAUAUAUCUCAUAUGAAAAUUUGGAAAGGAAAAAAACCAAACUUGAUGUAUUUAAGGGUCUGGGGUUGUUUAGCUUUUUAUAAAAUACAUGACCCUAAGUCAUCAAAGUUGAGAGCUAGAGGUAUAAAAAGUUUUUUCGUAGGAUAUGCUGAAAAUUCCAAGGCUUAUAGGUUGUUAGAUUUAGAUUCUAAUGUGAUUGUGGAAUCUAGAGAUGUUGAAUUUAUUGAGAAUAAAUUUCAACAUGAUUAUAAUAUUGAAUUAGAAUCAAGUAUUGGUCAACCAUGUGUUAAUACUCCUGGUACCUCCACUAAUAAUAAUAAAAGGAAAGAGUCUAUGACAUCUUUCGAACCAAGGAGGAGUCAACGUGAAAAGAAAGAAAAGAGUUUAGCUCCGGAUUUUAUUUCAUCACAAGCACUACUCUUCUUGGUUGAAGGGGAUAGAAAGAAUGUACUUAACAAAGUACCAUUGUUGUUAAAUAUUGAAAAAGAUCCAAAGACAUUUAGCGAGGCUAUGUCUUCUAGAGAUGCUUCUUUUUGGAGAGAGGCGGUAAAUGAUGAAAUGGAUUCGAUUAUGUCGAAUCAAACGUGGGUCUUGGUUGAUCUUCCUCCAGGAUCUAAACCAAUUAGCAGCAAAUGGGUAUUUAGAAGAAAGUACAAUAGUGAUGGUUCUUUGCAAACUUUUAAGGCUAGAUUAGUAGCCAAAGGGUUUAAGCAAAGAAAUGGUAUUGAUUAUUUUGAUACAUAUGCUCCGGUAGCUAGGUUAACUUCUAUAAGAGUGUUAUUUGCAAUUGCUUCAUUGAACAAUUUGUAUGUGCAUCAAAUGGAUGUUAAAACAGCUUUUCUUAAUGGUGAUCUUGAUGAAAAAAUCUAUAUGGAACAACCUGAAGGAUUUGUUUUGCCAGGAAAUGAGAAAAAGGUAUGCAAGUUAGUCAAAUCUCUUUAUGGUUUAAAGCAAGCACCAAAACAAUGGCAUGAGAAGUUUGAUUCAGUAAUUUUAUCUCAUGGUUUUAAGCAUAAUAAUGCUGAUAAAUGUAUAUAUUUUAAAUUUAUGAAUGACUUUGGUAUGAUUAUAUGCUUGUAUGUUGAUGACUUGCUUAUCUUUGGAACAAAUAUGCAAGGAGUAGAUGAUACAAAGAAGUAUUUAACUUCACAAUUUAAGAUAAAAGAUCUUGGUGAAGUAGAUACUAUCUUAGGUGUCAAAGUGAAUAAACAUAGUGGGGGUUACUCGUUGUGUCAGUCUCAUUAUAUAGAGAAAGUGCUUCUUAAAUUCAAUUAUUUGAAAUUUAAUGAAGCUAAUACCCCAUAUGAUUCUAGUAUUAAAUUACUAGAGAAUUCAGGCCGAGUAGUAGCACAACUAGAAUAUGCUAGUGCUAUUGGUAGCUUGAUGUAUGCUAUGCAUUGUACGAGGUCUGAUAUAGCAUUUGCAGUUUGCAAAAUGUCAAGAUUCACGAGUAACCCUAGUGUUGAACACUGGAAAGCAAUUGGUAGGAUACUUAGUUAUCUUAAAAGGACCAUUAAUUUGGGUUUGUUUUAUAAUGAUUAUCCUGAAGUACUGGAAGGAUAUUCAGAUGCUAGUUGGGUAACCAAUACAAGAGACAAUAAAUCCACUUCUGGUUGGAUUUUUAUAAUUGCUGGAGGAGCGGUUUCUUGGGCUUCAAAGAAACAAACGUGCAUAACUCAUUCAACAAUGGAAAGUGAGUUUAUAGCACUUGCAGCUGCAGGCAAAGAAGCAGAAUGGUUGAGAAAUUUGUUGUUUGAUAUAAUGUUGUGGCCACAACCGAUGCCAUCUAUUUCUUUGUACUACGACAGUGAAGCUACAUUGUCUAGAGCUUAUAACAAAGUGUAUAAUGGAAAGUCUAGACAUAUUAGCUUGAGACAUGAAUAUGUGAAACAAUUAAUAGCAGAUGGUGUUAUUAAUAUUGUUUAUGUUAAGACUAAUAAGAACCUAGCAGAUCCUUUAACAAAAGGUCUUUCAAGAGACUUAGUUAAGGAUACAUCUUUUGGAAUGGGAUUGAAACCUUUGCAUAAUAAAGUCACCAACGACGGUAACCCAACUAUGUAGUAGUUGUACCGCUACUCCAUAGUUAAAUGGGUAAUAACAAGUUGUUGUUUUGUGACUGGUUUGGCACCGAGUAAUAAAUAAUCCCAUUCGAGAUAUUCGGUGCAAAUAGCUACAAGGUUGAGGUUGAGUAUUUACUCUUAAUGAAGUUCAAGUCUUAUAGUAGCUAAAGACAUGAUUUGAAACUUCACCUAAGUGAACAUAAGAAAUGGUGCCGUUUCUAACAAGAUCAUGGUUUAAUCUUGUAAAUGUUCAUGAAUCCAAGAUAGAGCACAAGGCCGGAAUAAUGCUAAAUAUUGGAACACAACUUUGAAAUCUGGGAUAACUUAUAUGUGAUGUAUCUCCGGUAUUUACUUAAGAGACAAAGUUUAAUGCUUAGCACACUAUUGUCUUGUAAAUACUUUGAAAUACACUCACUAAUUAAAGGCUAAAAUCGAAAGAUACCUUUUUGUAUGUAUAAGUUUAUUAUUAACAAAUCUGAAAAAUAUUACAAUCUAGUGGGGGAUUGUAAGAGAGAUUAUAACAUUUUUCAAUCUUUGGUUUGAUAUUCUGGAAGAAAACGAUUUGCCGUUUUUUGGAGAAAACGGCUAACGGUUUAAUUCCAGAGAGCAUGUUUUCUGUUCUAAAGCAAACGGCUAACCGUUUGGAAAAACGGCUAACCGUUUGGAAAAACGGCUAACCGUUUAUUUACAGAGAGCAACUUAUUUGACAUUCUGGAAGAAAACGGCUCACCGUUAUUGAGAAAACCGCUAACCGUUUAUUUCCAGAGAGCGUGUUUUUGUGUCAACUGAAAAAACGGUUAGCAAGCUUGGAAAUUUCAAUUGUCAAUCGAUGCAAAAUCAAACCAAAAGAGUGUCUUUGAAGAAGUACCAUUUCUAAUGGUUGUAUUCUUUCAAAUAAACAUCUUCUUCAUAAAAGAAAGACACACAAUUAGAUCAAUCAUCAGAUUUUGCAGGUUUCAUAUAUGUUCUGGAAAUACAAUCUUAUUUGCUAGAGAUUGUAUUCAGGAUUUGAUAUAUCUUGGGGGUAAUUUGCCAUUAAAACUUUAUAGCAAACCAAAAUUGGUGAGGGCAAAUAAAACCUUAAAGGAAAGUGUGCAAACGCAUCUCAAAUCCUAAGAAAUUUUCUUUGUUCUUUGCCUCCAUAUUCAAAAUUCACCAAUAGAAAAUCGUUAUGUGGGAAUUUUGUACAAAAGUAUACUAGUUAAAACAGUUUUUUGGGUUGCAAACCGCCUCAAACCCAUCAAUGAUUCUUCUGGCUUGUUAACGAUAAACAGGACAGGCAAUCCUGUUUUAACAAGCCUGAGCAUGGGCAUAGUUUGGUCAGCAAGCUUGAGCGAAGAAGUGCAGCAGACUCCAGUGAUAUUACAGCUACUGGAUUCAAGAAAUCUUAUCCUCAAAGGUGAACAAGAUGGUGAUUCUGAAAAUUAUUUUUGGCAAAGCUUUGAUUAUCCUUCUGAUACAUUGCUACCAGGAAUGAAGCUCGGAUGGGAUUUAAAGACUGGUCUUGAGCGGCGCGUAACAUCAUGGAAGAGCUUAAAUGACCCGUCUCCUGGAGACCUUAUUUGGAAAAUUGAACGACAAGGAAAUCAUGAGCUAGUCAUGUGGAAGGGAUCAACAAAGUUCUAUAGGACUGGCCCAUGGAAUGGCGUCACAUUCAGUGCUUCAUCAAUAAAGCCAAACCCAAUCUUUAACUCAAGCUUUGUCUCUAAUGAGGAUGAGCUCUACUACACAUACAUCCUCGUAGAUAAAGUUGUUUUCUCAAGGACUCUCGUGAACCAAACACUAUCUUUAUGUCAACGAUUCGUGUGGAGUAAAGCAACUCAAAGUUGGGAGCUGUAUACAAGUGUGCCAAGAGAUCAGUGUGACACUUACAAUCUCUGUGGUGCCUAUGGCAUUUGCAGCAUUAGCAAAUCGCCUGUUUGCCAAUGUUUAAAAGGUUUCAAACCGAAAUCAGAGGUUUAUGUGGAACGUUCUCAAGGGUGCGUGCGUACUAAGCCGUUAAACUACUCUCGACGUGAUGGUUUUGUCAAAUUUAAUGAUCUGAAAUUGCCAGAUUCUACUUCCUCUUGGGUUAGCAAAAGUAUGAAUCUCAAUGAAUGUCGGGAGAAAUGCUUAGACAACUCUUCUUGUAUGGCAUACACAAAUUCAGAUAUCAGAGGAGAAGGCAGUGGCUGUGCCAUGUGGUUUGGUGAUCUGAUUGACAUCAGAUACUUCCAAGAUAGUGGGCAGGACUUGUAUAUUCGAAUGUCUGCUUCAGAGCUAGGUAUCCGUAUACUUAUUUAUGUCAUUCCAUUAUGAGAACUUAGGAGUACCACUCCAGUUAGACUAGUUCCACAAUUUUAUUGUGCAAUUUAGUAUUGAGUUCUGAUUGAGAAGCACCUUUCGCAUAAAGCAGUUUCUGGGUAUAGCUUCUAUGCAUAGAAUUUUGCUGCUAUUUGAAUCCUUUUUUCUUAGCUAUAUGAUUAUUGACUUGCUUUGCUAUAUCU
Molecule: long non-coding RNA, 98683 nt
Filed under: Citrus x clementina
Lineage: Eukaryota; Viridiplantae; Streptophyta; Magnoliopsida; Sapindales; Rutaceae
Description: Citrus clementina (C. clementina) long non-coding RNA (CCLE_LNC006737)
Source: RNAcentral